RNAcentral lists this long non-coding RNA (100610 nucleotides) under Pelobates cultripes (western spadefoot toad). The record is from RNAcentral. Lineage: Eukaryota; Metazoa; Chordata; Amphibia; Anura; Pelobatidae.
CAAUCACAACUAAUUCUACACAAGUGGAUUUCACAGACUUACUGCCAGGCAGAAACUACUCCAUCACUAUACAGACAGUUAGUAGUAACUGCAGCCAGUCAGCAGCUCCAGUGAUAGAGGCAACAUGUGAGUAUGAUGGGAUCAUUGGGACAGAACUUUACAUUUUAAGCUAAAACCUACUAAUUGAGCACUAACUGAGUCCCUCAGACAAGCUGAAAAUUUAGAUAUAAGGCUUGAUUUAAUAUUUUUGCAUAAGCUUUUCAAAUUACACAAUUUUUUAUGUAUUGUAUUCUGUUGAUUUUGUUUGUAUUAUUAGAUUUUUUAAUAAUUUGGAAAAUGAUUUUGAAAGUUUCUUUAAAUAUAUAUACCGUAUAUUUUUCACUCCAAAAUUGAGGGGAAAUGUCUGUGCGUCUUAUGGAGCGAAUGUGAAGCUUUACUUACCUGUCUUGUAGCGUGGGCCAGCAGCACAGCGCGCACCGCGGUACAGGAACUUCAAUUUCAGAUCCCGGUUUCCGGCGGGACUGAAAGGAAGUGCACACUCAGUGUGCACACUUCCUUUCAGUCCCGCCGGAAACUGGAAACUGAAAUUGAAGUUCCUGUAGCGCUGUGCGCGCUGUUAAGCCGGCCCACGCUAUAAGACAGGUAAGUAAUUAUGGGACGGGGGGGGGGGGGACACUAUGGGAGGGAAAGUGCACUAUGGGACAAGGGAGGGGGACACUAUGGGACAAGGGGAGGGGGGACACUAUGGGACAAGGGGAGGGGGGACAAUAUGGGAGGGAAAGUGCACUAUGGGACAAGGGGAGGGGGGGGACAUUAUGGGAUGAGAACACUAUGGGACAGGGGAGGAGGGGUUAACAAUCACUAUGGGACAGAGGAAAGGAGGUUAAAAAUCACCAUGGGACAGGGGAGGGGGAUUUAAAGAUAACUAUGGGACAGGGGAGGGGGGUUAAAGAUCAUUAUGGGACAGGAGAGGGGAGUGGGUGGUAAGGAACACUAUGGGACAGGGGAGAAAAAAAAAAUAUUCUGAACAAACUGUCCCAUAGUAAGAAACACUAUGGAACAGUUCAGAAUAUUUUUUUUCUGGGUUUCCUCCUCUAAAAACUAGGUGCGUCUUAUGGUGAGGUGCAUCUUAUGGAGCGAAAAAUACGGUACAUACUAAUGAACCAUUAGAAAAGUGUAUCCAAAAAUAUUGAAUCGAGGCCAAAGUGCAUUAUUUUGAGGAUAAUGCAAUAAUGAUUCCUAUAACUAAAUGUUUUGUUUUUUCGUAGAUCCAACCCCUCCAAACUCAUUAAGCUUUACAAAUAUCGGAACAAACACCAUUUCAUUGUCAUGUGGAGAACCAGUAAAUAUGGCCAAUGUGACAAAGACUUUCAAUAUAACUUACAGCAAUUCUUCAUCCUCUUGGACUGUGACAGUAAACACAUUAAAUUUCACACUUCAGAACCUCACAUCUGGCACUAAUUACACAAUUACUGUAGUAACAGUUGGUGCUCAUCAGUAUCAGAGUUCUCCUGUGACCAGUUCCAUCUACACAAGUAGGUUUACAGCUUUCUGUAUGUUCUGCAAUAGAACGUUUUAUUAUGUUAAACUCUGUGUUCUGAGCUGGUUCCACUCAUAGCGCUGCCUGAGAAUGGGAUAUAAUGAGUUUUGCUGAAUAUGUUGGAAUCAACACGAUACUCAACAUUUUUUAUUCAGACAUUUAACAUGUUUGGCUAAAAUUUACGAAAGGCUGGAUUUUAGUGAAUUAAAAAUAAAAUUGGAAAAUUUAGACAAAAACUGUUGAUUAGGUUGAUUCUCCAAUUUGACUAUAGUUACAGCUUGGCUAUUUCACCAUAAAUGUUGGAAAUGUUGGGGGAGCAGAACAGCUGCUAUUCAGUGUGCAAUGUGCUAAGCGCUCAGAGACAUUCUAUAGGUAUCGUAAGUGAUACUGUGCUGCCUGGAAUACACAGCUGUAUUUCUGUCAUGACAGCUCCCUUUGCCUCUCCCUUGCUCUCCCCGCCGCGGUGAAUAAAUGCUUAAAAACCCUUUAUUUACUAACCUGAUCCCAGCGCCGAUAUCACUAUAGUUUCCGUUUAAGACUACAGUAACUAGAAUUCACAAAUAAGUUUUAUUAGGUUAAUUUCUGCAUUAAUGGAGUUUUUCAUUUUCCUACAAUAUUUAGUAGAUUUUUGGCCAAUCAAAUUUUACACAAAAAAAAAGCUUCGGGCAGACAAAAUUUAGUCCACGUGGCAUACUAUGCCUCCAUCCACUCAGAUCUGCUGUGCACGAGCAUCCUGUGAUUCAGUAUCUCCUCCCACUGCAUGCAGACACUGAACUUUCCUCAUAGAGAUUCAUUGAUUCAAUUCAUCUCUAUGAGGAGAUGCUGAUUGGCCAGGGCUGUGUUUGAAUCAUGCUGGCUCUGCCCCUGAUCUGCCUCCUUGUCAGUCUCAGCCAAUCCUAUGGGGAAGCACUGUGAUUGGAUCAAGCUACCACAUGUCAGUAGACUGCUUGUUUUUCCUGAGUCUAACAGCAUGCAGAUUUACACCUUCUGGCUUGAAUACAGUAAGAUUUUUACUAUAUUUAUGGAGACAUGAGGGGCCCAGGGGGGCUAGAUGGUUGUGUUAACACUAUAGGGUCAGGAAUACAUAUAGUUGCACUGGUGUCUAUAGUGUCCCUUGAAGGCUACAGUAUCUAGAAAUCAAAAAAAAGUUUUAUUAGGAGAAUUUUUGCAAUAAUGGAGUUUAUUUCAUUUUUUGUUAGAUACAUAUUAACAUAUAUUUUAUAUGUUAAUAUAAUAUAAUAUAAAUAAUUCCCUGAGAGAACAUUGCAAUCUACAGAAUGAACCAGAUCGUGUUUUAUUUUCUAACUCUAGAACCAAUGCCAGUGAAACAGCUCGGAAAUAAUGGAACAACUACUGUAUCUGUUUUCCUGAUUUGGAAUCAACCUGAUGAGUAUAGAAGUGAUUACAUCUACAGAGUACAAAUAGAAAACAAUUCAUCUGUAGUGAUAAAUCAAACAACGUCAUCAAAUCAACUCAAUGUAACUAAUCUGACACCCGGAGUAACAUAUACAUUCACUGUAUUUACAAGAGCGGCUGAUAAUGUCACUGAAAGUCAAUCUGUCUCAUAUACAACCUGCACAGGUGAGUGUAAACUGGCAUUAAAGGGAAUCGACAUAAAGACACAUGACAAUACAGAGUCUGACUUUUAUUAGUCAUUACAAGGUUAUUUGAAAUGUGUAUUUAAUAAUGUUUGUCUUAAAAUGUAAUAUGCAGGUGAUACUUGUUUGAGGCACUGGGUUGUUUUAAACACAUAGUUACUAAUAUUCUGUGGAGUAAUUAAAACAUAAAAGUGUAAUACCUAUUGUUGCACUUAUUUCUUUUUUUACAAAGCUAAAUUUUUAAUUGUAUCUCUAAACAUGCAGCUCUAUCAUGUGUUCACAUAACAAAUUUAGUGCGAUUUAACUUUAGCUCUCUCCUAUUCAUCUUGGACAAGAAUUUCAUUCUUGAUCUCGUCUAAGCACCAACAUGCUAAAUAAUUUUGUAUUUUCAUAGGCACGAUACAUUUCAUCUCAUCUUUAGCGCCCAUGAGACAUUAAAGGCAUUUACUUGAAAAACGUGGUAGACUCAUUCAUCCACAUUAUGCGCAGCACAUUGGAAUUGUUAGUUAGUACUAAGUAGGCAUUGAAGACCUCUUUGGGUGAUCAUUAGUUAUUUUAUAUUGAGAACAUUCACUUACUUUCACAGCAACCUCCAUUAUAUUCCAGUUAAUAAUUAGUAUUUGUUCCUGUAUUCAUAUUUGAAUGAUUGAUUCUGUUUUGAUAUUGAGAACAAUUGCCCACAACUGAUUCUUAGAUCAUCACGGGGGACGAUUUAUUUAAUUUUCUAAUAUUUUUAUAGCCACUCUUCACGUGCAAGAUACUCAGCCAAAAAUGGGGUAUAUUCAUUCAUGAAUUCAUUUGAAAUAUGAGUAUAGGCAAUUAUGACAAUAAAGAUCUUUCUACUGGUUAUUACCAGUUACUUGAUAUCAAGAACAUCCAGUUAUUUUGACAGUAACUCUAUUUAUUUCUAAGCAUUUUGUCUCUUCGCAAGGACCAUGCAUUUGGUCAUCAUGUGACUGUCUUACUGUGUCUGUGUGAAAUGAUUUUCUUGAUGGAUAUAAAAGAAGUACUCAUGUAAUGACAAAGGACUCAUUAAAAUCGCCUCACAUUUAUUUUUACUUAUGGACGUUGCACAUGGUAGACUGACAUUUUGCAGGCACACCUCACUUACCGCCUGGGUUCCAUUCUUACGACCCCGUUGUAAAAUGAAUUUGUCAGUAGGUGAGGAGUUGAGGGAUUCCCUGCUCUGGUGUGCUUGUUUAUGUCUGGGGGAAAUUUCUACGAACAUAGACGAACGCAGCAGAACAGGGAAUCCCUUAAAUCUAUGUUCGGGGAAAUUUCCCUGAACAUAGAUUAGAGGGAUUCUCUGCUCCGGUGCAUUUGUCUAUGUUCAGGGUAAGUUCCCCAAACAUAGACUAUUGCACCAGAGCAGGGAAUCCCUGUAAUCCCCAUGAUGGCUCACAUAUACCCCCACACUAGAGAGCUGGUCGUAAGUGUGAGCCAUCGUAAAACAGGCAGAUCCUAAAAUGAGAACCACCUGUACUUCAAGAUGUAUUUAAACAGAACAUUCCAUUGAGCUCUACCUUCCCAUAGUCCUACUAAUGACCCUAUAGGGUUGUUCAAUAAUUGCCUAUUCUUUGGUCUGGCCUUAAGCACUGCUUUACCAGGAGUAAGGGGGAUCGACUUAAACUUUUGUUCCCACCUACUGUAUAUGCUCUUCUCCAACAUCAUUGGCAGAUAUGAGUAUACACUUCCCGAAUUUAUAUUCAUUAGUGUCUGACCGUUGAUCGACACAUCUCCUAAGCAAGCUUAGGGGGUAUUGCUGAUAGUAAGUUGCAGCCAAAGUUGAAACGAAGAGAGCACAUGGUCUUCUGCUGUUUUAUUGAUACAGCAUGUUGCUGGUGGCUUAGUUUAUGCUCUGUUACUAUGGAGACAUCACAUGACUUUAGACCAAUAAACCAGCAGUAGGAGAGGGCUAUUUAAAUGUCCGAUCUUGUUAUUGUGUUUUGGUAACUCCUGAGGUUGAAAUGCAUGCUGAGUGCUCAGAUUUGUUUUAUUCUUGUUAUUACCAUUUAACAUUUCCCCCUUUCUCCCCCAUUUUUCUCUUUAUGGUUAAAUAACAAUUCUGUGCUGUAUGCUUGGCAAUUAGGGAUAUUUAGAAAUUAUUAGGGAGAAGACAUUAUAGCACUUCAGUAUCAUAUGUUUUUGCUGUAUACGUUCAAUUGGAGAUUUGGCUAUCUUUGUAAAUAGACUCAGAGAAUAUUUUUCCUCUUUUUCUCUUUUGGUUUUGACUUUUAAUUUUGUGUUAUGUGUAUAGAUGUGAAUUUGCAUAGAAAAAGAAGAGGAACAAGAGAAAUAGGUCUCACAAAGGGAAUAAUCCAACUGUCAGGGCCUAACUCUAAUGAUAACUACAAAAAUGUUCCAAAGAGGUGAACCGAGGGGUGUUGGAUAACCCUUAAGAGUAAGAGCAUACAUACAAUUAGAGUUAAGGAAUCUUUAACUCUAAUUGUAUGCUCUUACUCUUAAGGGUUAUCCAACACCCCUCAGUUCACCUCUUUGGAACAUUUUUGAAUUUGCAUUCUACAUGUGAAUGUUGUGGCGACUUCUAGUGACUAGAAAAGUGUAAUACAAUAAUAGGCAAUCAUCUCGGGCCCAAGACCACAGCGACCCCUCUAGACUAUAGAAGAUUAUUACAACUACUUUAGGUUACCAUGACUUUAGUGGAUGACCUAACUAGGAAUACAUUAUAACAUUAUAUUUCUCCAACAUGUGUUUAUUGAAGUUGAAAUAAAAGCUACAUUUUAGCAACUACAGUUCCACAUUUCUUCUUUUUUCUAUCUUUUCUUGAAUCAUAUUUUAGGGGGGUAAAUCACUAAGUUGUGUUGACAAUUCUUCCAAAUGUAAGGAUUCCAUUAUUAUUUUUACAACAAUAGCGUUAGAAAUACAAACAUUCAUUCCUCACGCUAUAGUGCCAUGGUCACCAUUUAGGUGCCCCCACUACAAGGGUUAAAAAGGGUUGUUGACUUGCUUUUUCUCCAUGCAGCAGUGGUCUCCUCGGUGAAACUCCACAUCAAUGAUCUCAGCCAACCCAUUGCUUUCCCGUAGGCAAAACAUUGCUCUGUGCCAAUCACAUGGUCACUCUUUCUCCAUCUGAUAGAAAUAGUGGAAUAAAACUCCAGAAUUUAGUGGUACUGCCUCUAGUGGUUUUUAGUAUGGCAGUCAUUGGAGGCAAGUAAACCCUGUAUAGAAAACAUUGCCGUUCCAGCAGAACAUAUUUUCAGCUACAGGGUUAAAACAUGGUGGACGUGGCUCCCAGGUCACUUCAUUGAGAUUCCUUUAACCUCCGCAUUACAGCUAUUUUGGUUUGCACUGUGGUCAUAAAUGCUUUGAUAAAGGGAGGAUUUACCGAAAGCUUGUUACUACCAGAGUCUGUUAGCCCAAUAAAAAACUUAUUACAAGAACUGCAAUACUCCAUUAUUUUGUAUCUACAUUACUGAACUAAUACAGCGACUCAAAUAUAAUUAAUGUUCAAAGAGUGAAAUAGGAUGCCUCUACGUUGUCCAUUUUCAGGGUAUUUUCAUGACACCAACUAGUUAAUAGCUAUUGGCUUUUAGCAUAUCUAUUUGUUUGCUUUAGCAGCAGAGGUAACCCAAAUAGUAGAUAUAACUCUGGCUUAAAUUUGAGCAAUCACAUAAAGUAGUGUCCCUUAGUUUGGGUGCCCAAAGUGUACAGCAGCAACAUUUUGUCCACUUCAACAGUCUUCAUCAAGCAUGAAACAUUGCUGUGGUACACUUUGUGCACCUGGAUAAAUGGACACUACUUUCAAAAAAGAGCAGGAAUUUAUUUUUAUACUUUCCUGCAUAAAUACUGGUUUGGGUGGAACUGGAUACCUUGCACACUUGUGUGGUUAAUAGUUGCAGGUCUUAUUUUUAUUUAGGAGUUAUAAAACAUCUUCAAUCUUUUAUUUGCUCAGGCAAAUCUUCCUGAUAGGGUGAUAUUGUACAGCACUAUGGAAUCUGAUAAUAAAAUAAUAAUAAUAAUAUGGCUAUUGAAAUUAUCUUCUUUUUCUUCUUUUUUUUUUUUUACAAAACUGCCUAGAUGCCUUAGACUUUGUUAUUCACAGAAAAUAUAUGUAUUAUUAAUAUGAAAUCAUUUAUUUUUACAUAUGUUGUAUUCUGCUUUCUUUCAGUUCCGGGUCUAGCUCAGAAUAUCACAGUUACUAAUAACAAUACUACUAAUUCACUGAAUGUGAACUGGACAAUACCAGCAGGGAAAGUGGAUAAUUACACAGUCAUUCUGAAUGGAGACGUCAAUACAACAAUCACAACUAAUUCUACACAAGUGGAUUUCACAGACUUACUGCCAGGCAGAAAUUACUCCAUCACUAUACAGACAGUUAGUAGUAACUGCAACCAGUUAGCAGCUCCAGUGAUAGCGGCAACACGUGAGUAUGAUGGGAUCAUUGGGGCAGAACUUUAUGGUUUAUGCUAAAUCCUACAAACUGAAUACUAAUUGAGUCUCUUGGACAAUCUGAAUUCAGAUAUAGGCCUUGAUUUAAUAGUUUUGGAUAAGCUUCUCAAAUUAAAAAAAAUAUAUUUCAUGUAUUAAAACAUGUUUUAAUAUUUUAAAAUAUUUAAUUUUGUUUGUUUAAUACUUUGGAAAAUCAUUGAUUCAUUAGAAAAGUGUAUCCAAAAAUAUUGAGAAGUGCAUUAUUUUGAGGACAAUUCAAUAAUGAUAUCUAUAACUAAAUAUGUGUUUUUUUUCUUUUAUAGAUCCGACCCCUCCAGGCUCCUUAAACUUUACAAAUAUCGGAACAAACACCAUUUCAUUGUCCUGGGGAGAACCAGUAAAUAUGGCCAAUGUGACAAAGACUUUCAAGAUAACUUACAGCAAUUCUUCAUCCUCUUGGACUGUGUCAGUAAACACAUUAAAUGUCACCCUUCAGAACCUCACAUCUGGGACUAAUUACACAAUUACUGUAGUAACACUUGGAGCUCAGCAGUAUCAGAGUUCUCCUGUGACCAGUUCCAUCUACACAAGUAGGUUUACAGCUUUCUGUAUGGUCUGCAAUAGAACCUUUUAUUAUGUUAAACUCUGUGUUCUGAGCUGGUUCCAUUCAAAGCCCUUGCUGAGAAUGGAACAUAAUGACUUUUACUGAAUGUGUUAUAACCAACAGAUAAAGAGUGGUUGGCCAAGAGUCAAAGGGAACAGAACAGGGGGUAACCCUAAUGGGAUUUGUAGCAAAAAAAAAAAAAAAAAAGAAAAGUUCUGUCCCUAAAGAUAGUAUAAAUAAAGGUAAUUACUUAAAAAUCUAGAAAAUACUUUAUUAAACCGAAUAAACUCACAUACAAUAAACAAAAAAACCCUGACUGUAGCUACCGGGUCAAUUACGGCAGACUACGUAAGGAGCACAAAUAAAAGGAAAAGGGAGUGAGAAAUGACACAUAAAAGUGUAAAUAGUGGAGAGAGCGAACUGAGCUGGCACAAAAAUAUAUGUCAAUAUCUGGUAAUAGAUGAAGAGAUAUCAAGUCCACUGGAAAAUAUCCUAACCAUGUGGAAAACUAGUAUCGUUAAUCAUGCAAUAAGCCAGAGCUCAGUAUAAAAUUGUUACAUAUAUUAGAAAAGAUAAAUUGACAAAAGGUAUCAAAAAAGCCCUUUGAGCCCUACUGUCUGCCAAAGAUACACAAGGGCACUCGACCUCCGAUUGUAUCGGGGAAUAAUUGUCUUACGGAAUCCCUUAGUAAGUUUAUCGAAAUAAUCCUUCACCCUAUGGUGUUAACUUUGCCAUCUUAUUUACAGGACACAAAAUCCACUCUCUUGACAUUACAGGAUAUGACAGUUCCCCCCUAUACCCAGAUGGUGAUUUUGGAUGUGGUGGCACUUUAUACCAACAUUCCUCAUGAAAUGGUCUUAAGAGCAUGCAGGUUUUUCUUAGACAACACCGCAUACAACGACCUUCAGAAAAAUUUCAUCUUAGCCAUUCUUGAGUUUAUUUUAACACACAACUAUUUUGUUUUCAAUGACCGAUAUUACUUACAGGUCUCCGGCAAUGCCAUGGGGACGGCCUGUGCACCCACCUACGCUAAUCUGUUUCUGGGGUGGUGGGAGCAGCAUGUAGUCAUGACAUCUCAAUUCAGCCGCUUUCAUGACUACAUCUUGAGCUGGCAUAGAUAUAUUUAUGACAUGCUGCUCCUGUGGACUGGAUCCGUCCCCAUGUUUAUGACACAUAAAAGUGUAAAUAGUGGAGAAAGCGAACUGAGCUGGCAUAAAAAUAUAUCUCUAUAUCUGGUAAUAGAUGAAGAGAAAUCAAGUCCACUGGAAAAUAUCCUAACCAUGUGGAAAACUAGUAUUGUUGGAUUACCAGUGGAGAUAGUCUGUGAGAGACCAGCACUCCACUACAUUGGUUGGCAGCGCCGGGAUCCAGACUCACAAAGGAACAAGUACCAGUGGAGUACGGAUGGAGAUUGAUUACUCCACACUUAAACGGGCCGCGCUAAAAGACCUCCUAGAAGUAAGGAUAUUUCGGCCAGUAAUAAGACUAAAGCGGUUCUCAUCACAGAAGUCAUGGCAGAAUACCGAACGGAGGGCGGUUCGGUUCCCGAACGGAGUGAUUCGCCAGACGGACAGGAGCAAGCAGAGUUUCAAAGACAGCUACAGUUCAGGAUGUCCUUUUAUGGGGAGAAUCCACCGGCAGAUAUAAUCUCCAAGACAAUGACAGAAGUCCAGGAGUUUGUAAUGCGACAAAGGAUACCACAAACCCCAGAAAGAAGCCCAGCAAUGACUAUGGUACAAGAAGGUAAGUCAAAGAUACCCAACCAAGCUUUUAAAAUGUAUGUGGAGGCAGAGGAAGACAUAGAUGCCUUCCUCCAAGAUUUUGAAAGACUUUGCACUCUGCACAAAAUCAAUGCAGGGGAUUGGGUUCCAAUCCUAGCUGGGCAGUUAUCAGGGAGAGCUGCUGAGGCUUACCGCACUGUACCAGACGCAGAGAUCUGGGAUUAUAGCCGGGUAAAAGAGGUUAUCCACACCCGAGGCAUAUCGGAGGCGCUUCAGGGAACUGAAGAAAGCCGAAAAAGAUUUGCAUGCCGAAUGGGCUUGUUGUUUGCACCGGGCAGCCCUCGGAGGGAUACAGGUUAACCAAGCACGAUCCAUGGAGGACUUAUUACAAAUCCAGUUCCACAGAGUGCCAGUAAUGGGUGAGGGGCCGCAAUCCCACCUCCCUCACAGAGGCGGCUAAGAAAGCCGAUGACUAUUUGGAUGCCCGCAGGCAGCACAAACCUAUGGUCAGCAAGGCCGCAGUACGACCCCUAGGGGGAACCAGCUACCCCAACAGCACCACCCCGACAACUACCAACCCCAACACCAGCCACUUCUCAACAGAGGUUACGCCAGCCCAGCUCUGUGCAAUGUCACCAGUGCCAGAGGUGGGGACACUAUAAGAGAGACUGUCCCCAACUCCGACACCGAUCCACCUGGAUCUGACCGGGGCCACCACCACCACCGAGAGCAGCAGCCCACUAUUACCAGGAUGAAACCACAGCCCCCUAUGGCUCUGCAGUUCCACUCACCACCGUGGAACAGUGGGAAGUGCUGCACGAAGCAGACCCCUUACAGGCGAAUGCAGAUAACCACAAGCCUCACAGACAAACCGUCUACCUGGAGGGCAAAGCUGUACAAGGGCUCCGCAACUCAGGAGCCACCAUAACCCUGGUCAAAAGCCACCUAGUAUCUGACAAAGCCAAGAAUAGCAGGACUGUAGCCGUCAGGGUAGCCAGGGGAGCAGUAUACCGGCUACCUACAGCAAGGGUUAAUUUGCAUUGGGGAGCGGGGUCAGGAAAUGUGGAAGUGGUGUUGAUGCCGCAAUUGCCAGUGGAAAUUUUGCUGGGGAAUGAUCUGGGAAAGCUCACUUCUGCUUUUGAGCCCCAGGCCCCAACCACUGGAGAAGCUCAUCCCGUGGUCACCAGGCAACAGGCCCGCACCCAGGAUCACAACACACAUCCGGUAGGAGGUUCAGGUAAGAGAUCCUUCCCCUUCCUUUGACUGUGUCCCCUGGGCCACCCUAACAAAUUUGCAGCAGAGGUGAUCACUGACCCUACCUUACAAAUAUAUAGGGACAAGGUUGCAUCUGACCAACCCGGGGGGAGGGCGAGAGAUUAUAUGGGAUAAGCAUAUGGAUCACAACCCGUUGGUAUGGCUCAACCGGGUAGCUGUGGACAAUGCCAGGCUGCUGCGCUGGAGUUUGGCGCUGCAGCCAUUUUACUUCAACAUCCAGUACCGCCCGGGAAAACUGAAUGGUAACGCUGACAGGUUGUCUAGACAAACUGACCUGGAAAAAUGAUCCGUGAGCAACCCCAGACAUCCCCAAGCCGAUCCGUGCUGGAUCAGACUGUGUAUGCCGGCUUGUCGGCAAGGGGGAGCAGUGUAGCGGAUUGCAUUAAGGUUGUCCUCAAAAUUCUUGUGUUUUAAUAUGCUUUCGUGUAUUGCUUAUUCUAUGUAUUCACAUUGUAUACAGCAUUCGCCUGAUUGUUCGGUAAAAUCACUCAGUUUAUUAUUCGAGUGAAACUACCGAACAAUCAGACCACACCCAGGGAUAAGUGUGCCUCUCAUUACCGUUCGCAACAAUGUUGCAAACCCAUAAUUGGCAAUCAGUACUCUGUUCUAUGGGUGGCCGCCGUUCGGGAUACGAACACGUGGUGGUGGCCAUCUUAACUCCCGAACAACGGUGAUAAAUCUUCCCCUAUGUUUUCAAUACACUGCAAUUCUGAGUUUAAUAAAAGCAACAUAAAGUUUAAGGCUACAGUAUCUAGAAUUCACAAAGGUGUUUCAUUUUGUGAAUUUCUACAAUAAUUGAGUUUAUUUUAUAUUUAUCUACUAAUUAACUAGUUCCUAAUCCAUUUAUUUCAAGAUAAAAAUACAUCUAAUCAGAGGCGUAACUAGAAACCUGCAAAAAUUGCCCUGGCCCCCUCCUCCCCCGUACGUCUACCCCCACGCCACUCUCUCCCCCAUACGUCUAAUGUCCCCCUCCCAUACAUUCCCCCCCGCCCCCACACAUGCAAAGAGACACAUAGACAGACACACAUAUGCAAAGACACACAUAUACACCCACAGACACACACAUACAGGCACACACACAUACACACACACACACACAUAUAUAUAUCCAAAAAUACAUACACACACAAAGACACAUACAUACAGACAGACACACAGACAGACAUACACACACAUACAUACAGACACACAGAUAUACAUACACACAGACAGACACACAGACAGACAUAAGCACAUAUUGACAGACACACAUACAUACAGACACAAAGACAGACAUGCACACACACAUACAUACAUGCACACAUACAGACAGAUAUACACACACGCAUACAUACAAACACACAUACACACGCAUACAUACAGACACACAGACAUACAGACACACAUACAGACAUACAUACAUACACACAUACAGACACACACACACAGAGACAGACAUACACACACAUACAUACACACAGACACACAUACAUACACACAGACAGACAUACACACACACACACACACAGACAGACAUACACACACACAUACAUACAGAUAAGCAGACAGACAGACAUAUACACCCAAAUACAAAGAUUCAUACAGACACAAAUACUUUUUACUGGGGUCCAGUGGCUCAGCUUGAUGGGAGUCAGAGUUUCCACUCUGACUCCCUCCUCUCCUUCCUCCCGGUGGUUGCUGGGAGGAAGUGACCGGGGCAGUCACUUCCUCCCAGCUUCUGACAUCAUCAGAGGGGGCCCGGUCGUGGCAUGGGCCACGAUAGGCCCCUUCACUGCGACUCAGUGGUUACACCGCGCAGGCCAGGGCCACAUUACUUAGCCAGCAGGACCUGCAGUCGCAGGGGUCCCCAAGGCGGCCGGGCCCUCUGGAGUGGCGGGCCCGGUCGCAGCUGCGACCCCUGCGACCGUGGUAGUUCCACCACUGCAUCUAAUGAUAAUAAUUCCCAGAGAGAUCAUUGUAAUCUACAGAAUGAAAUUGAUUGUGUUUUAUUUUCUAACUCUAGAACCGAUGCCAGUGAAACAGCUCGGAAAUAAUGGAACGACUACUGUAUCUGUUUUCCUGAUUUGGAAUCAACCUGAUGAGUAUAGAAGUGAUUACACCUACAGAGUACAAAUAGAAAACAAUUCAUCUGUAGUGAUAAAUCAAACAGCGUCAUCAAAUCAACUCAAUGUAACUAAUCUGACUCCCGGAGUAACAUAUACAUUCACGGUAUUUACAAGAGCGGCUGAUAAUGUCACUGAAAGUCAAUCUGUCUCAUAUACAACCUGCACAGGUGAGUGUAAACUGAUAUUAAAGGGAAUCGACAUAAUGACACAUUACAAUACAGACAAUUCUACUUAUCAUCAAAUAAUAGCAGAUAGAUAAAUGUACUUAACUUAGUACAAAAUGAGAAUAGCUUCCCUGACGGCUUUUCCCUCUAGAGCCUCCGUAAUAUCAAAUGGAUAUGGAUAACAAUAGGGAUACGGCUAGGUGCUAAAAAAUAAGAGAAAAACAGCACAUAGUGAUAUACAGCAUACAACGCUGACACGCAAAAAAUAGUAUAAAAACAGUGAGAGCACUCAACAAGUGAAUUUUACCACAGGUUAUUGAUUGAAUAUACCUGUAAAAAACAUUAAAGAGAAAACGAUAGAGUAGUACAGUUAAAAUCACUUAUUCUUAUUGAACUGUACAUGGUCUCACUCACAUGGUUCUGAGCCACUUAAAAAGCUCUCUUAGACUAGAAGCCUUGUAGAAAAUGGAAAGUUGAGGUAGAUAUUUCUUAGAGUUGGUUUAAAGUGCAGUGCCCAGUUAAUCUAGACGUUCCUUGUCAGCUUACAAAAUUCCAAGAUGCCAGAUAAGUGGCUGAGACCAUAUACAGUUCAAUAAGAAUAAGUGACUUUAACUGUACUACUCUAUGCUUUUCUCUGUAAUGUUUUGUACAGUUCUAUAUUCAAUCAAUAACCUGUUGUAAAAUUAUUUUGUUGAGUGCUCUCACGGUUUUUUAAUAUUAUUUUUAUGUGAAAUAUGUGUUUAACCCCUUAAGGACCAAACUUCUGGAAUAAAAGGGAAUAAUGACAUGUCACACAUGUCAUGUGUCCUUAAGGGGUUCAUGAUUGUCUUAAAAUUUAAUAUGCAGGUGUUGCUCACUUGAGCCAUUUGAUUUUUAAAAAAAGAUGACAAAAUUUUAGUGGAAACAUAAAUAAUAAAUGCUUACUACAUAGUGUUGCAGUUAUGGAGUCCUUUUUCUUUUUAGUAGAAAUGCAUGUUUAAGCUCUAUCUGAAUCAAUGUAUUAAUGCUUGUGUAUGCAAAAUUACAACUACGUAUAAAUGUUUGUGUAAAAACAAAUAGAAGUAUAUAUUUCUGUGAUACGUUGUACAAAAUCCUGCAUUAGUAUAUGUGUUGUAAUUUGUAAAAAUGCCUCCCGGUCAUGUAAAGUCUUUGGUCGUCUUGCAUGAACAGCAUAUUUGAGAUCUCCCCAGAGUGGCUCGAUGAUAUUAAGGUCAGGAGACUGUGAUGGCCACUACAGAACCUUAACCAUUUUCCAUUGAAUGGUCAACUUUUCCUUGUGUUUAGGGUCAUUGUCAUGCUGGAAAGUCCAAAAGCAUCCCAUGCGAAUUGUCUGCCAGUAUUUUCUGAUAACAUGCUGCAUUCAUCUUGCCAUCGGUUUUCACAAGAUUCCCCAUGCCUUUAGAGCACAUACUCCCCCAAAACAUCAGUGAGUCACCACCAUGUUUCACAGUGGGCAUGGUAUUCUUUUCACUACAGGCCUUGUUGACCCCUAUCCAAACAUAGAACUUAUCGUUGUGACCAUAAAGCUUUAUUUUGGUCUCAUCAAUCCUAAUUACAGUGUGCCAGAAGCUGUGAGGCAUGUCAAGGUGUUGUCAGGCAUAUUGUAACCUGGCCUUUUUGUGGCAUAGGUGCAGUAAAGUCUUCUUUCUAGCAACUUGACUAUGCAUCUCAUUUUUGUGCAACUAUUGUUGUAUUGUGCUCCUUGAAACAACCUCACCAUCUUUUUGCAGAGCAACUUGUAUUUCUCUUGAGGUUGCCUGUUGGUUUUUGUUUGUAUCCCGAACAAUUAUUCUGGCAGUUGUGGCUGAAAUCUUUCUUGGUCUACCUGACCUUUGCUUGGUAUAAAGAGAUCUCCAAAUUUUCCACUUCUCAAAAAGUAAUUGGACUGUACAACAAAUAUGUGAUAAUAAAUGGCUUCAUAUGAUCACUGUCCUUCAAAAUAAUAAAUUUUUGCAUGAUCAGUCAUAUUUUCAAAAUCAAUGCCAAAUUUCACAAUUUCUGCCAGGGUAUGCAAACUUUUAAACACAACAGUAAAUGGGGAUUAAAAUUCUCAUUGCUACAAUGCAGUGUGAUUAGUGUUAAAUCACUGCUAACACGAUAGAGUCCCAGGCAUAAAUCGAUAUCUUGGCCUCCCCUUUGUCAGCUGAGGCCAUUUUAAUGGACCCUGAAUGACAGAUGAGCUGCAUGCAGUGCUCAAAUUUAAACACCUAUUGACUGCAAUGUGGUGUGAGCUGCCUUCAAUAUCAUAGUGGCAUAUAUCACAUUUGCAAAGUGCCCAGUAGAAGUGUUGUGUAUGUAAAAAAUUAUACAAAAUGAUGACAGACUUUGGCAUACACGUUUGGUGAGAAAAUGACAGUAUGUUAAUAUACACCAUGCGAUAUGCACAAUAUAACCAUAUGAAAUACCCUGGUGUGUCUAUUUUCACAAAUAGUAGGCCUUUGUGGAGUAAUUUGAACAGUCAAACUGAUAUAAUGACUCAAAAUGAGACAUAGGCCCAUCAAAUUCAUCUAUCAGAAUUCUAAUUGUAAACACUGAAAUGAUCAGGUCUCUUAGAUGGCACUUUAGUUUUAUAGUAUAGUGGCAAGGGCAUACAUUGGGGUAUUGUGCUCAGAAGCUGUAGAUGAAUGCAAUAUGGGGUUGUGUACAGAAAUGGCACAUGUCAGGUUUACGAAGUACAUAUAAAAAAACUGAAAGAGACCAUUUGCUAACAAUAUUUAGCAGAAAUUAACAGUUCAUUGACUAGUCUGUCAUAUCUACUUUAUAUAAAUAUAUACUUUUGUGUGGCAAUUUCGUUUUCUGUGAUGGAUUUUAAACUUAGACGAUAAACAUAUCAAAUUCUAAAAUCUCUCCAUUUUAUUUUAGUCCUAUUUUGUGACCUAUAACUACCAAAAAUAAAUUGAAAUCCUAAACAUAUGAUGUACUCUGAGCCAGGAACCUUUUGUCUCCUUUAGACCAUUCUUGCAUAAUCAGAUGUUCAUGGUACCAUGGACUGGAAAGGUAGCUCCUUUCCUCGUUAAGUAUGAGAAGUAUCUGUUAGACGUGGAAAGUUCCUCUCUGGAAGUGACUUUAAGACUCAAAGAUUUACGGACUCUAGAAAUCCGAUGGUCCACUUGAGCUGGAUCCAGGGAUUCUGGAGUAGGUUGUAUCUCUACCUCUGAGGAAGAAUCUCUUUCCAUGUAUGAUUCCACCUCCAUGGAUUCCUCAGAAGAUUUAUCCACUGAAUACACAAGAGGGUCUGGAUACCUGGGUCUUUUCCAAGGAUGACUUGCCUCCUUGAUGCCCUGGGAAACUGCUUGCUUUAUGAGUUGAAUAAUGUCUGGAGCUGGGUUAGAUGGGCCUGCUGCUGUAGAUAAAUAGCAUGUGCAUAGGUGUUUACCCUCUAAGGCUCUCUUGUCACAGGCUUCACACUGGGACCUUCUUGUAGAUUUUCCGUUUGAUGAUACUGAAGCCUUUUUUCCCUUGGAACUGACAUAUAGAGUAUGACAGUUAGUAAUCUGCACUCUUUUGUUUUAAUACAUGAGAGAAUACAGAAGAUACAAAAUGUACAAAAAUCUUUGUACAGAAAAUAUGGCUUACCUAUGGCUCUUAGAUUGUGACCGAUUAUCUGAAGCUGAUGAAUCAGAAUCCAUUCUUGCUGAUCUUUCUUUUUCCAUUUUAAAUAUGGAAGACUGAAUGAAAGCAAGCAAUACCGAACAAAACUUUUAGUAUGCUCAUAAAGAAAUACAUAGACAAAUUUAAGUUACUGUGUCUUUAAUUUCUACUUACUAGGAAAGGCAGCCGAAGUAAUCAAACAAAGCAAUUGAUAUAAGAAACUAGUGAAAUAAUAUUAUAGAAGAGCUGAUAGGAUUUCCCUAGACUGUGGAAAUGAAUGUUGGUGCUUUUAAUGGGAAGAAUGAUGUCAUCCCGCCAUUUGCAUGUGUGAACCGAACGCAGGGCAUGCAACGGAGCCAAAGCACACAAAUGCCCGUUCGUGUGCCUGCGCUCAAACAGCAAUUUCAGAUGCAUGCACACAAACACUCCAAUGCGAACGCUACAUCCGUUCACAUGAACGGUAGUACCGAAAGCACCUAUUCGCGCGCAUGCAUGCAACCACACGCUUUGCACAUGUGCAAUGGUGCCGAUAGGACGCCAACUAAUAUGGCGAUUCCCAGAAACUCGGGAACUGCUGAAAUAAUGCGAAAUAUUGAUAGAAAAGGGCCGAAAAGUUCCUAAAAGGAGACAAAACUUACCUUAUGUCUAAAAUUAUAAAUAAGAGUGAAAGAACUGCAUGAAAUUCAGGUAGGAAAGUAUUUCACCAUUAGAUAUUGCAGAUAUAUCGUGGCUUGGCAAAUAUUUUGCUACCCCUAGGAUCACUGCAAAUUUUAUAUAUUUUAUGAAUGCCACUCCUGCCUGCUACCUCUUGGUCACUGCAGGAAAUAGUAUCAUGCCAUAGUCUUGCUACCCCUAGGGUCACAGCAAGUAAAACUCCCGGUCACUAAGGGGGUUUCUUCAGGGGUCACCUUUGCGCAGGGACGUAACCUGAAGCAGGAACAAAAGGAAUAAGGGUAGGAAGGGGGGAGGGUAUAUAUACACCUUCUGUUUAAUUAUGUUCCUGUCUAAUUAGGUAUAGGGAGGAGCAACCCAUUGUUGUGCUGCCAUGAGUAUGGCCAGGAAAUAUAGAUAUAUAUACAUAUAUAUAUAUGUAACGGAGCUUCUUGUACCCCGGCUGGGAACCUCUGCCGAAGGAUGCUUCUAGUGCUUACUGAGGGCUCCAAGCACUUCUCCAGACACCAUAAAUACCGCAGACUGCACAAACCGCCGCAGCUUGGUUGGAGUCUCGCCAUCUCCCACCUAUGACAAGGCUCCAGGUUCUAGUGGGUGAACCUCUCUUCCUUCAGACAGCGAAACAGGAACAGCUCUUACAAGAGCUAGUGAUUAUCCAAGGGAGUAUGAUGAUCAUAGCAAUCCCUGUAGUGAUAUAGCAAUUCCCCCCAAUAAGAGACAAGACUCUAGAUUGAGGGUGAAGUAGAACUGGAGGUUUAAUGGAGCAUACUGGUCUUCUAUACAAGUUUCCCCACAAGGUUGCCACCCAGAUGGACCUUGUGGAGCACAGGACAUAAAAUCAACAAGCCAAUAAAAACAGUGUUUUACAUUCAGACACUUCCAGAUACUGUACACAAUCCCUCCCCUCUGCCUGUGAUAUAAUUAAGGCAGAUAAUGCUUUAUCCCCAGGCAGAUUAAACACACAUUUUUAUAAAGUACCAUAAGUACCCCAAAAUACAACAUAUCCCCAUAAAUCUUAUACCCCUGAUAGCUCUGAUCUGGGUGAACAACAUAUCUAUAAUUCGCCCAGAUCAGAUCAGGGAUUCAGAAAUUCUAUGGAAGUCAUAUUUUUGCCCAGGUGAACACAGGAUUUCAUACCCAAAACAGUUGCAUAGAUUCGCGGCUAAGUGCCACUGGAGGACUGACCGGGAACCGCAAGGUUUUCGUGCCAAAAAUAGUUCCAAAGGCAUUCGUGGCUAAGUCCCCCUGAAGUCUAUUCGCGGUUUUAGCCCAUGCGAACAAGAUGGCCGCCACCACAUGUUCGAAUGUCGAAUGGGGGCCACUUCGACUGUUCGGGAGUUUGAAGAACCAUUGUCUAAAGUCCCAAUAGCCACAAAUAGGGUCUUUCAGCCAAAACAAAUUAAAGGGGCCAUAGUCACAGGGCAAAGGGUUGGCAAGUAGUCCUCUCCAAAAACCAGUGGCAAGGUCAGUUUCGCCACAAUAUAUAUUUAAAUAAUAUAUAUUUAUGUCAUAUUUUUACAUAAUUAAAUCAUUUUGUUAAUUACGAUUUGAGGGACCUACCUGACAACCCAGGCAGAAAGUUCACCGAAUUUUGUUUGCAAGCCCUAUAUUUUACUCUGUAACUUUCCACAACACCAUAAAACCUGCACAUGGGGGGUGGCAGGUGAGGGGGGUGGGGUACUGUUUUACUCUGUAGAUUUCGCUGGGCAAAAACAGUAAAAUGUAUCACAACAAUGAUAUCAUCAGUGAAAGUGAAUUUCUUUUUACUUUUCAACCCCAAACAGCACUUUCACUGACAGUAUCAUUGUUGUAAUAUGUUUAAUGUUUUGAAACACUAAUAUUUUUGUUCCGCGAAGUCUCCCAAGCAUAACAUUUCCCCCGCAUGUACAGGUUUAUGAUGUUUUCAAAAGUUACAGAGUCAAAUAUAAGGCUUGCAUUGCAGUUUUUUCACAUUGAAUUUUGCCAGAUUAGUUAUGUUGCCUUUGAGACCGUAUGGUAGCCCUGGAAUGAGAAUUACCCUUAUGAUGGCAUACCCUUUGCAAAAGUAGACAACCCAAGGUAUUACAAAUGGGGAAUACGCAUGUACUGACAGACACAUACACACUCACUGUCAAGACACACAUGCACAAUUACUGACAGAUACACACUCACUGACAGAAAUGCAUACACAAACACUGAGACACACAUAUACUCACUGACAGUUACACAUUGACAAACACACAUACACACUCACUGACAGACAUAUAUACACUCGGUGUCAGACACACACAUUCUCUGACACACAUACACACACUGACAGACACACACUGACAGACAUACACAUUCACUGACAGACACACAUACACAUUCAAUGACAGACACACAUACAUACACUGACAGACACGCAUACACACACUUAGAAACACUCUCAGUGACAGAUACACACACACUGACAGACACAAACACACUCAGUGACAAACACAUAUAAACUCUCACUAACAAACACUCAUACACACCCACUGACAGACACAUAUACACUCUCAGUGACCGACACACACUAACAGACACACACACACACAUUGGUCGGGCAGGCAGGCUCACAUUGGAGGCAGGCGGUGUGGGCGCUCUUAUCUUCCUGUUCCGCUCCCUCGCACGCCUCUAAGUGAAGCUGGGGCCAGAGUGAUGUCAUAUUCCGGCUCUGGCAUCACUGCAUUGAGCGCAAGGGAGCUGAGCAGGGGGAGCUCAGGGGAGAAUGCUCCCUCUCCGCGCAUGCCAGCCUCAGCGGGGGGGCCCUGAAGUGGCUAGCCGGCCAGCUCCUGGGUCCCCCAGGACAAGAAGCUGACCAGGCAUCUUCCGUGGAGAUUGAGGGAUGGCUUUUUUUGCACCCCCUGAAAGAGGGAAUAAAAAUAUGUGUACUUCAUUGCAGUAACAGCUAACAGUAUUAUUGCAUUCACAGUUAAAAUGCCACGCAGAACUAAAAAAAUAACAAACUGUCUUAAUUUCUCAAAUUCUUGUAUAUUUUAUUCAUAUUAGAUUAUGAUUAACAUAUAAAUAUUUGAUAUAAAAUGAAAGCCCUGUUUCUCCUAAACAAAAUGAUAUAUAAUAAGUGCGGGUUCAUUUAAUAUGAAAGAGGUGAAUUAUGGUUACACAGACAUAUAGUGCAAAUUCAAGUUUUUGUUUUGAUCUGAACUUGUACAACUGCCUCAGUCCUUAAGGCGUUAAUCUAGAUCCCUCAGGCUUUGUUAUUCACAGAAGGAAACAUAUUUAGGUAUGAUCAUUUCUUUUUACCUGGAUUGUAUUCUGCUUUCUUUCAGUUCCGGGUCUGGCUCAGAAUAUCACAGUAAAUAAUAAGAAUACUACUAAUUCACUCAGUGUGAACUGGACAAUACCAGCAGGGAAAGUGGAUUAUUACACAGUCACUCUGAAUGGAGACGUCAAUAGAACAAUCACAACUAAUUCUACACAAGUGGAUUUCACAGACUUACUGCCAGGCAGAAACUACUCCAUCACUAUACAGACAGUUAGUAGUAACUGCAGCCAGUCAGCAGCUCCAGUGAUAGAGGCAACAUGUGAGUAUGAUGGGAUCAUUGGGACAGAGCUAUAUCUUUACGUGGAAAUCAUACAAACUGAGUUCUAGUAAACUUUUUUGCAUCAUUUUUAUUUAGAUAUCAUUGGAUUAUUUUCAGAAUAAUGAAAUAUGGAUUUUGUUUAACUAAAUAUUUUGUUCUUGGUUUUCCAUAGAUCCAACCCUUCCAGUGUCCUUAAACAUUACAAAUAUCGGAACAAACUACAUUUCAUUGUCCUGGGGAGAACCAGUAAAUAUGACCAAUGUGACAAAGUCUUUCAAUAUAAUUUACAGCAAUUCUUCAUCCUCUUGGACUGUGACAGUAAACGCAUUAAAUGUCACCCUUCAGAACCUCACGUCUGGGACUAAUUACACAAUUACUGUAGUAACAGUUGGUGCUCGGCAGUAUCAGAGUUCUCCUGUGACCAGUUCCAUCUACACAAGUAGGUUUGCACCUUUCUGUAUGUUAUAGAACGUUAUAUUAUGUUAUACUCUGUGUUCUAAACUGGUUCCUCUCAUAACGCUAGCUGAGAAUGGGGCAUAAUGCGAUUCACUGAAUGUGUUCAAAUCAAAAGAAUAUAGAAUAUUUUUCAUUCACAGGUUACAAGUUUUCGUAUAUAAUUAUUCAAAACUGAAUUUUAGUGAAGUAAAAAACAGAUUUGAAAAUUUAGGCAAAUUUUGCUGAGUUGGAACAAUUUGUCAACUUCACUAUAAAAACAACUUGGCUAUUUUGUCAUACAUGUUGCAAAUAUGUGGGUAGAUUUAUCAAGGCAAAACAGCUGCUAUUGUGAGUGCAAAGUGCUAAAUGCUCAGAGACAUUCUCUAGGUUUCCAUGGUGAUUGCUCCUUAUUUAGCACUUUGCUCCAGAAUAACACCUAUUUUUGUCUACAUAAAUGUUCCCCUAUGUUUUCAAUACACUGCAAUUCUGAGUUUAAUGAAAACAACAUAUAGUUUAAGGCUACAGUAUCUAGAAUUCACUAAGUUGUUUCAUUAGGUGAAUUUCUGCAAUAAUUGACUUCAUUUCAGUUUUAGCUACUAAUUAACAUGUUCCUUAUCCGGUUAUUUCAAGUUAAUAAUACAUCUAAUGAUAAUAAUUCCCUGAGAGAACUUUGCAAUCUACAGAAUGAAACAGAUUGUGUUUUUUUUUUCUAACUCUAGAACCGAUGCCAGUAAAACAGCUCGGAAAUAAUGGAACGACUACUGUAUCUGUUUUCCUGACUUGGAAUCAACCUGAUGAGUAUAGAAGUGAUUACACCUACAGAGUACAAACAGCAAACACCUCAUCUGUAGUGAUAAAUCAAACAACGGCAUCAAAUCAACUCAAUGUAACUAAUCUGACACCCGGAGUAACAUAUACAUUCACUGUAUUUACAAGAGCAGCUGAUAAUAUCACUGAAAGUCAAUCUUUCUCAUAUACAACCUGCACGGGUGAGUGUAAACUGGUAUUAAAGGGAAUCAACCCUCGUUACACGAGGUCCCCCUGACUACACACGAACCAGGGGGCAGACUCUGGAGGGAAUCAUGACGACUCUGGGUUUAACUACUACCACUGGUAGGUGGACUCUUGCCUCCAGUGACCAAGGACCCCAAUCCAACCACUAUGGCCCUACCUAUACCACCUCAGCCCUGGGAGGGUAUUGCACAAAUGUCUUGAGAUGCAACAGUACCCCUAUAGCUUCAGGCCACUGCACGCUAGGCACCGACGUAAGGGAUAGGGCCACAAAUAUGUAUGCCUCCAAGUGCCUCUCCCAGCCCCCUUGCACUAGAGACAAAUUAGGCCCACACAGACGGACACUCCGCACUAGUCAAGACAUGUCGUAAACGAUCAUUGUGCAUAUACGAGGGCUACUGCCUGUAAUCACGUAGCAGGGCAUAAUACAGACACAACUGGGAUUGGGAUACUAGCUACGCAAGUGUCACUCGCUUGCAUGCUGAAGCGCUGUUGUUGCUGAUGUAAUCUGAUCCAAACGUUGCCCCGCUGGAACCCUCUAAGUCAGUUACAGUCACGGCUUUAUUCUAAAUUUUACAAUUGUUAUUCCAGGUCAUUACAAUUUGGUGUUAGGGAAUAAUCUCAUAGAAUUUACCUAAAUUAAUGUUUCUUUGUUUUAGAUUUACUAGAAAGCAUAAUUUUUUGUAUCUAAACAAAAAUGCACAAUAUUAAAUUAAAUGAUUUCUGAUUUGUUUCAGUUCCGGGUCUGGCUCAGAAUAUCACAGUAAAUAAUAAGAAUACUACUAAUUCACUCAGUGUGAACUGGACAAUACCAGCAGGGAAAGUGGAUAAUUACAAAGUCACUCUGAAUGGAGAUGUCAAUAGAACAAUCACAACUAAUUCUACACAAGUCGAUUUCACAGACAUACUGCCAGGCAGAAACUACUCCAUCACUAUACAGACAAUUAGUAGUAACUGCAGCCAGUCAGCAGCUCCAGUGAUAGAGGCAACAUGUGAGUAUGAUGGGAUCAUAGGGACAGAGCUAUAUUUUUACGUGGAAAUCAUACAAACUGAGUUCUAGUAAACUUUUUUGCAUAAUUUUUAUUUAGAUAUCAUUGGAUUAUUUUCAGAAUAAUGAAAUAUGGAUUUCUUUAACUAAUUAUUUUGUUCUUGGUUUUCCAUAGAUCCAACCCUUCCAGUGUCCUUAAACGUUACAAAUAUCGGAACAAACUACAUUUCAUUGUCCUGGGGAGAACCAGUAAAUAUGACCAAUGUGACAAAGUCUUUCAAUAUAAUUUACAGCAAUUCUUCAUCCUCUUGGACUGUGACAGUAAACGCAUUAAAUGUCACCCUUCAGAACCUCACAUCUGGGACUAAUUACACAAUUACUGUAGUAACAGUUGGUGCUCGGCAGUAUCAGAGUCCUCCUGUGACUAGUUCCAUCUACACAAGUAGGUUUGCACCUUUCUGUAUGUUAUAGAACGUUAUAUUAUGUUAUACUCUGUGUUCUAAACUGGUUCCUCUCAUAACGCUAGCUGAGAAUGGGGCAUAAUGCGAUUCACUGAAUGUGUUCAAAUCAAAAGAAUAUAGAAUAUUUUUCAUUCACAGGUUACAAGUUUUCGUCUAUAAUUAUUCAAAACUGAAUUUUAGUGAAGUAAAAAACAGAUUUGAAAAUUUAGGCAAAUUUUGCUGAGUUGGAACAAUUUGUCAACUUCAGUAUAAAAACAACUUGGCUAUUUUGCCAUACAUGUUGCAAAUAUGUGGAUAGAUUUAUCAAGGCAAAACAGCUGCUAUUGUGAGUGCAAAGUGCUAAAUGCUCAGAGACAUUCUCUAGGUUUCCAUGGUGAUUGCUCCUUAUUUAGCACUUUGCCCCAGAAUAACCCCUAUUUUUGUCUACAUAAAUGUUCCCCUAUGUUUUCAAUACACUGCAAUUCUGAGUUUAAUGAAAACAACAUAUAGUUUAAGGCUACAGUAUCUAGAAUUCACUAAGUUGUUUCAUUAGGUGAAUUUCUGCAAUAAUUGACUUCAUUUCAGUUUUAGCUACUAAUUAACAUGUUCCUUAUCCGGUUAUUUCAAGUUAAUAAUACAUCUAAUGAUAAUAAUUCCCUGAGAGAACUUUGCAAUCUACAGAAUGAAACAGAUUGUGUUUUUUUUUUUUUUCUAACUCUAGAACCGAUGCCAGUAAAACAGCUCGGAAAUAAUGGAACAACUACUGUAUCUGUUCUCCUGACUUGGAAUCAACCUGAUGAGUAUAGAAGUGAUUACACCUACAGAGUACAAACAGCAAACACCUCAUCUGUAGUGAUAAAUCAAACAACGGCAUCAAAUCAACUCAAUGUAACUAAUCUGACACCCGGAGUAACAUAUACAUUCACUGUAUUUACAAGAGCAGCUGAUAAUAUCACUGAAAGUCAAUCUUUCUCAUAUACAACCUGCACGGGUGAGUGUAAACUGGUAUUAAAGGGAAUCAACCCUCGUUACACGAGGUCCCCCUGACUACACACGAACCAGGGGGCAGACUCUGGAGGGAAUCAUGACGACUCUGGGUUUAACUACUACCACUGGUAGGUGGACUCUUGCCUCCAGUGACCAAGGACCCCAAUCCAACCACUAUGGCCCUACCUAUACCACCUCAGCCCUGGGAGGGUAUUGCACAAAUGUCUUGAGAUGCAACAGUACCCCUAUAGCUUCAGGCCACUGCACGCUAGGCACCGACGUAAGGGAUAGGGCCACAAAUAUGUAUGCCUCCAAGUGCCUCUCCCAGCCCCCUUGCACUAGAGACAAAUUAGGCCCACACAGACGGACACUCCGCACUAGUCAAGACAUGUCGUAAACGAUCAUUGUGCAUAUACGAGGGCUACUGCCUGUAAUCACGUAGCAGGGCAUAAUACAGACACAACUGGGAUUGGGAUACUAGCUACGCAAGUGUCACUCGCUUGCAUGCUUAAGCGCUGUUGUUGCUGAUGUAAUCUGAUCCAAACGUUGCCCCGGUGGAACCCUCUAAGUCAGUUACAGUCACGGCUUUAUUCAAAAUUUUACAAUUGUUAUUCCAGGUCAUUACAAUUUGGUGUUAGGGAAUAAUCUCAUAGAAUUUACCUAAAUUAAUGUUUCUUUGUUUUAGAUUUACUAGAAAGCAUAAUUUUUUGUAUCUAAACAAAAAUGCACAAUAUUAAAUUAAAUGAUUUCUGAUUUGUUUCAGUUCCAGGUCUGGCUCAGAAUAUCACAGUAAAUAAUAAGAAUACUACUAAUUCACUCAGUGUGAACUGGACAAUACCAGCAGGGAAAGUGGAUAAUUACAAAGUCACUCUGAAUGGAGACGUCAAUAGAACAAUCACAACUAAUUCUACACAAGUGGAUUUCACAGACUUACUGCCAGGCAGAAACUACUCCAUCACUAUACAGACAGUUAGUAGUAACUGCAGCCAGUCAGCAGCUCCAGUGAUAGAGGCAACAUGUGAGUAUGAUGGGAUCAUUGGGACAGAGCUAUAUCUUUACGUGGAAAUCAUACAAACUGAGUUCUAGUAAACUUUUUUGCAUAAUUUUUAUUUAGAUAUCAUUGGAUUAUUUUCAGAAUAAUGAAAUAUGGAUUUCUUUAACUAAUUAUUUUGUUCUUGGUUUUCCAUAGAUCCAACCCUUCCAGUCUCCUUAAACGUUACAAAUAUCGGAACAAACUACAUUUCAUUGUCCUGGGGAGAACCAGUAAAUAUGACCAAUGUGACAAAGUCUUUCAAUAUAAUUUACAGCAAUUCUUCAUCCUCUUGGACUGUGACAGUAAACACAUUAAGUGUCAAUCUUCAAAACCUCACGUCUGGGACUAAUUACACAAUUACUGUAGUAACAGUUGGUGCUCGGCAGUAUCAGAGUUCUCCUGUGACCAGUUCCAUCUACACAAGUAGGUUUACAGCUCUCUGUAUGUUAUAGAACGUUAUAUUAUGUUAUACUCUGUGUUCUAAACUGGUUCCUCUCAUAACGCUAGCUGAGAAUGGGGCAUAAUGCGAUUCACUGAAUGUGUUCAAAUCAAAAGAAUAUAGAAUAUUUUUCAUUCACAGGUUACAAGUUUUCGUCUAUAAUUAUUCAAAACUGAAUUUUAGUGAAGUAAAAAACAGAUUUGAAAAUUUAGGCAAAUUUUGCUGAGUUGGAACAAUUUGUCAACUUCAGUAUAAAAACAACUUGGCUAUUUUGCCAUACAUGUUGCAAAUAUGUGGAUAGAUUUAUCAAGGCAAAACAGCUGCUAUUGUGAGUGCAAAGUGCUAAAUGCUCAGAGACAUUCUCUAGGUUUCCAUGGUGAUUGCUCCUUAUUUAGCACUUUGCUCCAGAAUAACACCUAUUUUUGUCUACAUAAAUGUUCCCCUAUGUUUUCAAUACACUGCAAUUCUGAGUUUAAUGAAAACAACAUAUAGUUUAAGGCUACAGUAUCUAGAAUUCACUAAGUUGUUUCAUUAGGUGAAUUUCUGCAAUAAUUGACUUCAUUUCAGUUUUAGCUACUAAUUAACAUGUUCCUUAUCCGGUUAUUUCAAGUUAAUAAUACAUCUAAUGAUAAUAAUUCCCUGAGAGAACAUUGCAAUCUACAGAAUGAAACAGAUUGUGUUUUUUUUUUUUUUCUAACUCUAGAACCGAUGCCAGUAAAACAGCUCGGAAAUAAUGGAACGACUACUGUAUCUGUUUUCCUGACUUGGAAUCAACCUGAUGAGUAUAGAAGUGAUUACACCUACAGAGUACAAACAGCAAACACCUCAUCUGUAGUGAUAAAUCAAACAACGGCAUCAAAUCAACUCAAUGUAACUAAUCUGACACCCGGAGUAACAUAUACAUUCACUGUAUUUACAAGAGCAGCUGAUAAUAUCACUGAAAGUCAAUCUUUCUCAUAUACAACCUGCACGGGUGAGUGUAAACUGGUAUUAAAGGGAAUCAACCCUCGUUACACGAGGUCCCCCUGACUACACACGAACCAGGGGGCAGACUCUGGAGGGAAUCAUGACGACUCUGGGUUUAACUACUACCACUGGUAGGUGGACUCUUUCCUCCAGUGACCAAGGACCCCAAUCCAACCACUAUGGCCCUACCUAUACCACCUCAGCCCUGGGAGGGUAUUGCACAAAUGUCUUGAGAUGCAACAGUACCCCUAUAGCUUCAGGCCACUGCACGCUAGGCACCGACCUAAGGGAUAGGGCCACAAAUAUGUAUGCCUCCAAGCAUGAGUGCCUCUCCCAGCCCCCUUGCACUAGAGACAAAUUAGGCCCACACAGACGGACACUCCGCACUAGUCAAGACAUGUCGUAAACGAUCAUUGUGCAUAUACGAGGGCUACUGCCUGUAAUCACGUAGCAGGGCAUAAUACAGACACAACUGGGAUUGGGAUACUAGCUACGCAAGUGUCACUCGCUUGCAUGCUGAAGCGCUGUUGUUGCUGAUGUAAUCUGAUCCAAACGUUGCCCCGCUGGAACCCUCUAAGUCAGUUACAGUCACGGCUUUAUUCUAAAUUUUACAAUUGUUAUUCCAGGUCAUUACAAUUUGGUGUUAGGGAAUAAUCUCAUAGAAUUUACCUAAAUGAUUGUUUCUUUGUUUUAGAUUUACUAGAAAGCAUAAUUUUUUGUAUCUAAACAAAAAUGCACAAUAUUAAAUUAAAUGAUUUCUGAUUUGUUUCAGUUCCGGGUCUGGCUCAGAAUAUCACAGUAAAUAAUAAGAAUACUACUAAUUCACUCAGUGUGAACUGGACAAUACCAGCAGGGAAAGUGGAUUAUUUCACAGUCACUCUGAAUGGAGACGUCAAUAGAACAAUCACAACUAAUUCUACACAAGUGGAUUUCACAGACUUACUGCCAGGCAGAAACUACUCCAUCACUAUACAGACAGUUAGUAGUAACUGCAGCCAGUCAGCAGCUCCAGUGAUAGAGGCAACAUGUGAGUAUGAUGGGAUCAUUGGGACAGAGCUAUAUCUUUACGUGGAAAUCAUACAAACUGAGUUCUAGUAAACUUUUUUGCAUAAUUUUUAUUUAGAUAUCAUUGGAUUAUUUUCAGAAUAAUGAAAUAUGGAUUUCUUUAACUAAUUAUUUUGUUCUUGCUUUUCCAUAGAUCCAACCCUUCCAGUGUCCUUAAACGUUACAAAUAUUGGAACAAACUACAUUUCAUUGUCCUGGGGAGAACCAGUAAAUAUGACCAAUGUGACAAAGUCUUUCAAUAUAAUUUACAGCAAUUCUUCAUCCUCUUGGACUGUGACAGUAAACACAUUAAAUGUCACCCUUCAGAACCUCACGUCUGGGACUAAUUACACAAUUACUGUAGUAACAGUUGGUGCUCGGCAGUAUCAGAGUUCUCCUGUGACCAGUUCCAUCUACACAAGUAGGUUUGCACCUUUCUGUAUGUUAUAGAACGUUAUAUUAUGGUAUACUCUGUGUUCUAAACUGGUUCCUCUCAUAACGCUAGCUGAGAAUGGGGCAUAAUGCGAUUCACUUAAUGUGUUCAAAUCAAAAGAAUAUAGAAUAUUUUUCAUUCACAGGUUACAAGUUUUCGUAUAUAAUUAUUCAAAACUGAAUUUUAGUGAAGUAAAAAACAGAUUUGAAAAUUUAGGCAAAUUUUGCUGAGUUGGAACAAUUUGUCAACUUCAGUAUAAAAACAACUUGGCUAUUUUGCCAUACAUGUUGCAAAUAUGUGGAUAGAUUUAUCAAGGCAAAACAGCUGCUAUUGUGAGUGCAAAGUGCUAAAUGCUCAGAGACAUUCUCUAGGUUUCCAUGGUGAUUGCUCCUUAUUUAGCACUUUGCCCCAGAAUAACACCUAUUUUUGUCUACAUAAAUGUUCCCCUAUGUUUUCAAUACAUUGCAAUUCUGAGUUUAAUGAAAACAACAUAUAGUUUAAGGCUACAGUAUCUAGAAUUCACUAAGUUGUUUCAUUAGGUGAAUUUCUGCAAUAAUUGACUUCAUUUCAGUUUUAGCUACUAAUUAACAUGUUCCUUAUCCGGUUAGUUCAAGUUAAUAAUACAUCUAAUGAUAAUAAUUCCCUGAGAGAACUUUGCAAUCUACAGAAUGAAACAGAUUGUGUUUUUUUUUUCUAACUCUAGAACCGAUGCCAGUAAAACAGCUCGGAAAUAAUGGAACGACUACUGUAUCUAUUUUCCUGACUUGGAAUCAACCUGAUGAGUAUAGAAGUGAUUACACCUACAGAGUACAAAUAGCAAACACCUCAACUGUUGUGAUAAAUCAAACAACUGCAUCAAAUCAACUCAAUGUAACUAAUCUGACUCCUGGAGUAGCAUAUACAUUCACGGUAUUUACACGAGCGGCUGAUAAUGUCACUGAAAGUCAACCUGUCUCAUACACAACCUGCACAGGUGAGUGUAAACUGAUAUUAAAGGGAAUCGACACACAGACACAUUACAAUACAGAGUCUGACUAUUAAUAGUCAUUACAAGGUUAUAUGAAAUGUGUGUUUUAUUGUGUUUGUCAUAAAACUCUAUAUGCAUAUGAUGCUCGUUCAGGGGAGGGCUGGCAGCCUUAGGCCUGGGGGGCAAAACCAGUCAAGUGGCCCAUUGCACCACCAAAUCAGUGCAAUGGUGCCCACCUUUUCCUGGUUUUAUAACGGAUAUUGAUGUUAUGCUAAUCAGUAGCUCUUUGCCAUACCCGCUCCUUCAUGACUCUGACUGUCAAUGUUGUCAGAGCGCAGGCUGAGAAUCUCUGAGCGUGUGCUCUGACUCACUAACUGAGCGCCGAAACCACGAGGGAGAGACUAUAAUCUGACUGCACCUACUGCUGGUGCGCACCAGUGGACCACCAGCGAAUCAUUUAAAUUGAAUAGGCUGGUGUCCCCAACUUGUGAGCUGUGUUGUCCGCGGGCGCCUCUGUUGUGAUGGCACCCUGCGUGACCGCACAGCGUGCACACCCCAACGGCUGGCCCUGCUGACACACACUGAUGUUACUACUUAGAAAUCCCUCAAUAUUAAUACAGACAUCAGAGUAAACACCAAUAAACUGUGGAAGCAGAGCUGAUCCCACCCAAUUUUAUAAAGAUUUGCUUACUGGAUUUAUUGUAAGAUUAAAUCAUGCCUCCUCCUCUCUCUCUCCCAUGCGCUGCUCUGUAAGCUGGGAGGAGGUGAAGAGUAAUCACAAUCUCCCAGCACAGUGGCACCUGUGGCUGCAUGGGGAACAGCUGUAUUUGCCGCCCCCCAUGUGACAUCACAAUGCCCCACCUAUAUGAGCUGCCAUACGAACUAACGCCAGUGCCGCCCACAGUAUGUGUUUACAUUAAAAAGCCUGCAGGGACCGGCUAUAGACACCAGAACCACUUCAUUAAGCUCCAGUCGUUCUGGGAAAUAUAGUGUCCCUUUAAUGCGAGGUAAAUUAUAGAUUAGUGUCACUAAUAAUAUACUAGAUUGCCUACUUACAACCAAAUGAGGAUUAUGAUGGGCUGCAGUUUGGCUCCACUGGUCUGGUGUAGAACAGGAUCUCUGGAGGCUGUUUGCAAAUGUGAUCAAAAAACUUAAUGUUCUGGGAGAAUUGGAAGCAGCUCCAUUUUUUUGGGGCCCCUUACACAGCUCAAGGUCUGGGCCCCAGAGCCUGACGGUGAAUAUGCCCACAAGGCCCACUCAUAAGUCCACUUAUAUGUUCCACCCACCCAUGAGUUCGCUCACAGGGAGUGGAGUGUGUAUGUGUUAUUGUAGAUGAUCUAAUAUGUGUGCUUAUGGUAUGUAGUGUAUAGGGAUACCAGUUUGUGCAGGUGAUGCAGUGUGUUUGUAUGUAGUGGAAGCAGUGUGUAUUUGUGUAUAAGGGAUGUAUUGUGUGUUUCUGGUUGUGUGUAAGGGAUGCAUUGUGUGAAUCUGUGUUUGUAUGCAUAAGGGAUACAAGGUGUGUGUCUGUAAGUGUGUGCAUUUAGUGUGUGUUAGUGAUGCAUUGUGUUUCUGUGUGUAUGUAAGAAAAGCAGUGUGUGUGUAAGGGUUUGCAUUGUGUGUUUCUGUGUAUGUGUGCAAAUGAUGCAUUGUCUUUGUGUGUAAGGGUUGCAUUGUGUGUGUGUAAUGGAUGCAUUGUGUGUUUCUCUGUGUGUAAGGGAAGCAUGUUGUGUUUCUGUGUGUGUAGGGAUGCAUUGUGUGUUUCUGUGUAUGUAUAGGGAUGCAUUGUGUGUUUGUGCGCGUAGUGUGAAAGAGCUCCCUGUCUUGCCCCGUGUCCUAUAGAGCUGUCCCUUCUAGCUCUCCCCUGCCCCUUAGUGGUCUCUCCUCACACUCACCCACCCUCCCUGUGAUCUUCUCAUCCACCCUCCAUGUGUUCUUCUUACCCCCUCUCCUCCCUGUGUCCUCCUCACCUCCCCUUCCCUGUGUUCUCCUCACCACCCACCCUCCCUGUGUUCUUCUCAGUCCCCCCAUUCUCCUCAUCUCCCCUUCUCCUCACCACCCACCCUCCCUGUGUUCUUCUCAGUCCCCCCUUCUCCUCAUCUCCCCUUCCCCUCACUCUUACUCUCCCCCUCCUCCUUGUGUUCUUCUUACUCCUCCCUUGUUCUUCUUACCCCCCGUUUUUCAUACCCCAUUCUUCUUCUUACUCCCCCUCCUCCUCCUUCUGUUACUCCCCCCUCCUUCACUUACUCCCCCCUCCUUCACUUACUCUCUCCCUCCUCCUCCUUCUGUUGCUUCCCCCUCCUUCACUUAUUCCACCCCUCCUUCACCUCUUCCCCCUCCUUCCUUAUUCCUCCCCCUUCACUUAUCCCUCCCCUCCUUCAUAUUCCUCCUUCACUUAUUCCCCCUCCUUCCUUAUUCCUCCUCCUUCCUUUAUUCCCCCUUAUUCCCCUCCUUCCUUAUUCCUCCUCCUUCACUUAUUCCCCCUUCUUAUUCCCCUUCCUUGUUCCCCCCUCCUUCCUUAUUCCCCCUUCCUUAUUCCCCUCCUUCACUCCCUCCCCUUCCUUCCUUCCUUGUUCCUCCUUCACUUAUUCCUCCCCUUCUCCUCCCCUCCUUUAUUCCUCCCCUUCACCAUUCCCCCCUCCUUAUUCCUCCCCUCCUUCACUUUUCCCUUCACUUAUUCCCCCUCCUUCCUUCCUUAUUCCUUCACUUCCUUCACUUUUCCCCUUCGCUUAUUUCCCCUCUUCCCCCUUCACUUAUUCCCCCCUUCACUUAUUUAAUAUUUAUGUUUCCACUAAAAAAAGAGUAAUUGCCUCCCUGCCCCCCGGCCCAGCCCGCCCCUGUGCUCGUUUGAGCCUUUUGAUUUAAAAAAAACAAUUACUCUUUUUUUAGUGGAAACAUAAAUAUUAAAUGCUUACUACAUAUUGUUGUAGUUAUAGAGUCAUUCUUAUUUUUAUUUGAAAUCUAUGUUUAAGCUCUACCUGAAUUGAUGUGUUUAUGCUUGUAUACGCAAAAUUAGGGAUGUGCAUGGGCAAAAUAUUUGGUUCGGCACUUCCGAAAUUUGGUACUUCGGCAAUUUGGCACUUCGGUUCGGAUCGGUACUUCCAAAAUUCGGAACUUCGGGAAUUCGAGACUUUGGCAAUUCCCUAACCCUACCUCUAACCCUAGCACCAACCCUAACCCUACCCCCAAUCCUACCCUUAACCCUACUCCUACCUCUACCCUUAAGGAUCACUAUAAGGUCAGGAACACAAACACGUAUUCCUGACCCUAUAGUGUUAACACCACCAUCUAGCCCCCCUGAGCUCCACAUUGCCUCCAUAAAUAUAGUAAAAAUCUUACUGUAUUCAAGCCUGAAGCUGUAAAUCGGCAUGCUGUUAGACUCAGAAAAACCACCAGUUUGCUGACAUGUGGUAGCCUGAUCCAAUCACAGUGCUUCCCCAUAGGAUUGGCUGAGACUGACAAAGAGGCAGAUCAGGGGCAGAGCCAGCAUGAUUCAAACACAGUCCUGGCCAAUCAGCAUCUCCUCAUAGAGAUUAAUUUAAUCAACGAAUCUCUAUGAGGAAAGUUCAAUGUCUGCAUGCAGAGGGAGGAGAUACUGAAUCACAGGAUGCUGUGCACGGUGCUGCCCUGUGCUCUGCUGACAGCAGGUCUGAGUGGAUGGAGGCAUAUUAUGCCUCCAUCAACUCCGAACUCCCUCUGGUUUCACUAUGAGUGACUGCAACUGGAGGUGUUCCUAGCUUUCAAUGUAAACACUGUAUGUUUACAUGAGAAAGGCUUCAGGAAGCUAUAGUUCUCACCUGAACAACCUCAUUAAGCCGAAGUUGUUCAGGUGACUAUAGUGUCCCUUUAACCCUUACCCUAACCCUACCCCUAACCCUGUCUCUACCCAUUACCCUACCCCUACCUCUAACCCUACCUAUACCACUACCCCUAAUCCUACAUCUAUCUCUAACCCUACCUCUUCCCCUAACUCUAACCCUUCCUCUACCCCUAACCCUUACCAUACCUCUACCCCUACUCCUAACCCUACUAGGGUUAGGGGUAGGGUUAGGGUUAGAGGAAAGUUGGGGUAAAUGUUAGGAUUAGGGGUAGGGUUCAGGUUAGGGGUAGGAUUAUGGGUAGAGUUGGGAGUAGGGUUAGGGUUAGUGGUAGAGUUAGGGUUAGAGGAAGGUUGGGGUAAGGGUUAGGGUUAGAGGUAGGGUUAGGGUAGGGCUAGGGUUAGGAGUAGGGUUAGUUUUAGAUUGCUGUCAUCAUUCCCUUAAUUUUCCCUCCCUCUCCUGUUUUGCCUCCAGCAUCAGAUUUUUCCCCUUAGGAAAGCAAUGAAUAAUCCUUUCCUAUGGGGAAAUCCUAAUGCGAGCGCGCCCAUUGCCGUGCAUGCACGUUAGGUCUCCCCCGUGGCUGACGUCAGCGGGUGAGGAGCGUGGGCAGAGCCUGACCAAGCGCCCAAGGACAUCAGCACUGGAUUCAGGUAAGUGACUGGAGGGGUUUUAACACUUUCAGCACUGCAGGAGGGGGGUGCGAGGGAGGGGGGCACUGCAGGAGCCUAUAGUGCUAGGAAACGGGUGUGUUUUCCUGGCACUAUAGAAUCCCUUUAAGCAGUGGUGUAUCCUGGUUUUGUGCUGCCCUAGGCAGGACAAAACUCAGGCGCCCCCCUGCCCCUGCACCACCCCCACGCAACCCUUCCCCCCGCCCCACCUUCUAAAUACACACACACAGUCAGACACAAACACACACACACAGUCAGACACACACACACACACAUACACAAACAGACAAACACAGUCAGACACAAACACACACAUACACAAACACACACACUCACAAACACAGUCAGAUACAAACACACACACACUCACAAACACAGUCAGACACACACAGAGUCAGACACAAACACACACACUCACAAACACAGUCAGAUACAAACACACACACACUCACAAACACAGUCAGACACACACAGAGUCAGACACAAACACACACACUCACAAACACAGUCAGAUACAAACACACACACACUCACAAACACAGUCAGACACACACAGAGUCAGACACAAACACACACACACACUCACAAACACAGUCAGAUACAAACACACACACACUCACAAACACAGUCAGACACACACACAGUCAGACACAUACACAGACACAAACACAGUCAGACAAACACACACACAGUCAGACACACAGUCAGACACAAACACACACACUCACAAACACAGUCAGAUACACACAGAGUCAGACACAAACACACACACAGUCAGACACAUACACAAACAGACACACUCACAAACACAGUCAGACACAAACACACACACACAUACACAAACACAGUCAGACACACACAGAGUCAGACAGUCACACACACAGAUUAACUUUUUUUUUAAUUUAAAUCCCCCCCCAACUUCCUUACCUUUGGGAGUGCUGGGGGGGGGUCUCUCUCCCUGGUGGUCCAGUGGCUGCAGGUCGGGCUGGCAGGCGGGCGGCUGGCGAGGGAGCACUUCCUCUGAGCUGUCAGCUCAGCUCCCUCGCGCGCCGGACCUGCUGCAGAGUGAGGCGGGGAGCCGGGAUAUGACGUCAUCUUCCGGCUCCCAGCCUCACUUUGCGGUGCGCGAGGGAGCUGAGCAGUCAGCUCAUAGGAAGUGCUCCCUCGCCAGCCGCCCGCCUGCCAGCGCCGCCCGCCCGCUCGGGAUGUCAGUUAGCCGCAAGGCUAAAAAGGCAUUUGCCCUGGGCAUUUGGGGGGCGGCGUUUUUUGCCGCCCCCUGAAAAAUGCCGCCCAAGGCAAAUGCCUUGUUUGCCUCGCGGCUAAUACGCCCCUGCCUUUAAGUGCAAGACAAGCAUCAUGGGGUUAUACAGCGAUCAAUCUACUUGCUUUUUAUAUUUCCACUCCAAGCAUUGGAUAUGGGAAGGCUCAUAUCAUGGCUUGUUUCAGUUUAGGAUUGUUUUUCCCAACAUUGUAUUUGAAAUUAUACAGAAUGGCAUUAACAAUAAUGGCGUCGUAGUGUGAUAUUCAACACUCUAGAUGGCCAAAUUCCCCAAUUUGUGGGCAGACCCAGAUGCAAUGAAGAAAAUCACUCCCCACCACCCCGCGCUGCCAACAAGUAGUUUGAUGAGGUUAACAGUUUCAUUCUAUGUUGUUCAUCAGGCACUUGAUAAGCGUGUAGUGAUAGUCCUAGUAUCAAGGGACUGCAAUGAGUUUCGACAAUUUAUCAUAGCUGAGAGAAUGUCAUCGGUGGAGAGGGUUGGGAGAGAAACUAGCCACUUGUGGAUACAGCUUUCUGAGAGGGAGUGGUCAAAAAAAUUUCCCAAUAUGGCCAUAUAGAAAGUUAAUUGAGUAGUGGACAUGGGAAGAACUCCAAAAGAAUAGGGAUGUGCAUGGGCAAAAAAAUUGGUUCAGUUCGGCAUUCCGAAAUUCUGCAAUUCGGGACUUCGGCAAUUAGGGACUUCGGCAAUUCAUUAUAGGUGGGCACUUCUGAAAUUCGGCAAUUCUACACUUUGGUUCGAUUCGGCACUUCCAAAGUUCUGGACUUCGGGAAAUCGGGAUGUAGGGUAAGUAUAGGGGUAGGGUUUGGUUAAGGGUAUGGUUAGGGGUAGGAUUAGGAGUAGGGUUAGGGUUGGUUUAGGAGUAAGGUUAGGGUUGGGUUAGGAGUAGGGUUAGGAGUAGGGUUAGGGUUGGGUUAGGAGUAGGGUCAGGCUUUGGGUAAGGAGUAGGGUUAGGCUUGGGUUAGGAGUAGGGUCAGGCUUUGGGUUAGGAGUAGGGUUAGGAGUACAGUUAGGGUUAGAAGUAGGGUUAGGGUUGGGUUAGGAGUAGGGUUAGGAGUAGGGUUAGGAGCAGGGUUAGGAGUAGGGUUGGGUUAGGAGUAGGGUUAGGGUUGAGUUAUGAUUAUGGUCAGCAAUACGGUUAGGAGUAGGGUUAGAGUAGGGUUAGGAGUAGGGUUAGGUUAGGGUUAGGAGUAGGGAUAGGAGUAGGUUAGGGUUAGGGGUAGAGGUACCCUAACCCUACUCUUAACCAUACCCUACCCCUACUCCUAACCCUAGCCUAACCCUACUCCUAGCCCAACCCUAACCCUACUCCUAACCCUACCCUAACCCCACUCCUAACCCAACCCUAACCCUACUCCUAACCUAACUCUAACCUAACCCUACCCCUAACUGUGGUAGAAUCGUGUUAAUAUAAAAUAGCACACUGACCGCAGUCCACUCUUUCAAAUACUUGGGUAUGUUGCUAGACCCCAAUCUAUCUUUUGGCCUGCACAUAGAAACGCUUGCAUCUAAACUUUAUCCAAAACUAGGUGCCCUGUACAGAAACAUAUCCUGCCUAAGCCCUACAGUAAAGGAAAAGAUUGUACAGCAAAUGCUGAUGCCAAUCAUUGAUUAUGGGGAUGUCAUAUAUGCACCUGCACCACAAUCACAUUAAAGAAACACUGUAGUCACCUAAAUUACUUUGGCUAAAUAAAGCAGUUUUAGUGUAUAGAUCAUUCCCCUGCAAUUUCACUGCUCAAUUCACUGCAUCUAAACUUUAUCUAAAACUAGGUGCCCUGUACAGAAACAAAUCCUGCCUAAGCCCUACAGUACAAAACUGCUAAAGUUUUUCAGGUGACUAUAGUGUCCCUUUAAUAAACUCAAUACAUUGUAUAACUCGUUCUGCCGAUUCGCUCUACAAUGUAAUUACAGGACCCACCAUUGUGACAUGCUAAAAGAACUAAACUGGCUGUUGCUGGAAUCCAGACGCAUCCUUUCCAUCUUUGUUUUUAAGAGCUUUUCUGGAAAGCUCCCACCCUACCUGAACAAAAUGAUCUCCCCAGCUGUUCCCACCUCCUAUAACCUUCGAUCCAGUACCAGCACUUUAUUUAGUCUACCUCAAUACAAAAAGAAAGCUGCCCGAUCCUCCUUUUCCUACAGAGCACCGCAAUUGUGGAACGACCUCCCGCACACUUUAAAAUCUUCCCCAAGCCUAGAGUCCUUUAAGAGAACCCUCUACAUACCUCAAAACAGAAUGCACCUGUAAUGGUUGAUUAUAUAUUUCCUACCUAUUCUAUGUUAAAUUUUGUAUAUAUGGUGUAUUAAUAUUGUUUUUGUAUUUUAUUGUACCCUGAUGUAUCAAUGCAAUGUUUUGGGGACCCAGGACAUACUUGAAAACUAGAGAAAUCUCAAUGUAUCUUUCCUGGUAAAAUAUUUUAUAAAUAAAUAAUAAAUAAAUAAAUAAAUAGUAUAACUUCUAAUUUGUAGGUAUGCAAAGAGAGGCAUGUAAAGUGAUAGGAACUAGUCCCUUGGAUGUGGUAGGGUCAAUACUUUUUGUGUGGAAGUAUCUACACAAUCCCCAAUGCACGACAGGGAACCUGAAUGCCAGGUUCUUAAAUGCUAGUCAGCCAUGCCAUGCCAUUGUGAUGUAAUGACAGGUACUCCCCCUGCUGCCUGAAAAUAAAAUAAAAAACAUUAAAACAGUGUAACAAUAAAUAAUAUAUACUUAGAUCAUAUAUAUAUCUAUUAUCUAUAUGAUCUUAGUAUAUAUAUACACAUAUACACACAUACACAUAAAUACACAUACGCUAAGUGUAUUUCAAUAUUAAUAUAUAUAAAAUUAUAUAUAUAUAUAUUAAUAUCAAUAUACACGUACAAUGAUAUUGAUUAAAUAUAUAAUUAUCAUUAUAUAUAUAUAUAUAUAUAAAAAUAUAAAGUAAAUAUAUUUGUAAAUACGUUAAUAAAUAAAAUUAAAAAAAUAAUAAAAAAUAAAAUAUAUAUAUAUAUGUGUGUGUGUAAUUUUGUUCUAACUGUAUUUUAAAAUUAAUAUAUAUAUAUUGAUAUCAAAAUACACUUAUAUAUAAUAUAAUAUAUAUAUCUAUAUACAUAAGUAUAUACAUAUAUCACUAUAUAUAUAUAAAUAAAAUAAUUUAAAAAAAUGAUAUACAUAUAUAUAUAUAUAUAUAUAUAUAUAUAUACAUAUACACACACGUGUAUAUAUAUAUAAUAAUUCUACGUAUAUAUUUAUGUAAUAAUUUUACAUAAUUAGGUCAUUUUAUUAAUUACAAUUUGCGGGACCUGCCUGACAACCCAGGCAGAAAGUCCAGGGAAUUUAAUUUGCUAUCACUAUAUUUAACCCUGUAACUCUCCAAGACACCAUAAAACCUGUACAUGGGGGGUACUGUUUUACUUGGAAGACUUUGCUGAACACAAAUAUUAGUGUUUCAAAACCGUAAAAUGUAUUACAACGAUGAUAUUGUCAGUGAAAGUGAAAUUUUUUGCAUUUUACACACACAGAUGGCACUUACACGGAUGAUAUAAUUGUCGUGAUACGUUUUAAUGAUAUAUAAUAAGUGUGGGUGCACAUAAUAUGAAAGCGGUGAAUUACGCCUGAAUAGACAUAUUGCGCAAUUUCAAGUUUUUGUUUAUGUUUUGUUUUGAUCACAACGUGUACAUUUGGCUCAGUCCUUAAGGGGUUAAUAUAAAUGAUUUCUCUAAUUGUAUUGUGUUUUCUUUCAGUUCCGGGUCUGGCUCAAAAUAUCACAGUAAAUAAUAAGAAUACUAUUAAUUCGCUCAGUGUGAACUGGACAAUACCAGCAGGGAAAGUGGAUAAUUACACAGUCACUCUGAAUGGAGACGUCAAUAGAACAAUCACAACUAAUUCUACACAAGUGGAUUUCACAGACUUACUGCCAGGCAGAAACUACUCCAUCACUAUACAGACAGUUAGUAGUAACUGCAGCCAGUCAGCAGCUCCAGUGAUAGAGGCAACAUGUGAGUAUGAUGGGAUCAUUGGGACAAAAUAAAAACAAGAAUAAUUAGGUUGAGUAGUACAAGAAAGUGUCAAGUGUCAUUAAUCCAUUUAGAUACAUUUAUUAUAGAUACAAACUACUUUACAUAAAAACUCAAACACUCACAUAUAAAAAUCAACAAUAUAGAAAGUUCAAGCAAGUAAAUCCACUUAAUAUUUUAUAAUCACCCAAAAUAAUCCAACUCAAUAAUAUGGAUCCUAAGGACAAGCACAAGAGUGAACGUAAAGUAAAAGUUCCAAUAAGAUUACUAAUCCCAGUUAGAUGUGCAGGAUAUAACUGAGUUGAUUAAAGUCACAGAACACCCACUGUAUAGCGAGGUGAGUAAUAAUAAUGUUUCAGUUUUUGUGCAUUAAUGUAUCUAUAAUGAAUGUAUCUGUUGAAAAUGUAUCUUUAUUUAUGACACUUGACACUUUCUUGUGCUACUGCACCUAAUUAUUCUUGUUUUGAUUUUUAUGUUCAGUGAGUCACCCUUUACUUAGGUGUAGUUUCUAAUAGCAGGAUCUCAUUAAUAUACAAUUAGUAUAUAUUUAUUUAAUAUUAUUGUUUUUUUUCUGUGAUAUGUGUGUCCUGUCGGUAUAGUUUGUGUUCUGUCUAGAUAUCAUUGGGAUAGAGCUAUAGCAUUAUGUGGAAAUCCUACAAACUGAGUCUUAGUAAUGUUUUUAGUAUAACUUGCAUUCAGAUAUUAUUGGAUUAUUUCCAAGGUAAUUUUUGUUUGUUUGUUUGUUUUUUCAUAGAUCCGACCUCUCCAGGUUCCUUAAACUUUACAAAUAUCGGAACAAACACCAUUUCGUUGUCCUGGGGAGAACCAGUAAAUAUGACCAAUGUGACAAAGUAUUUCAAUAUAAUUUACAGCAAUUCUUCAUCCUCUUGGACUGUGACAGUAAACACAUUAAGUGCCACCCUUCAGAACCUCACAUCUGGGAAUAAUUACACAAUUACUGUAGUAACAGUUGGUGCUCGGCAGUAUCAGAGUUCUCCUGUGACCAGUUCCAUCUACACAAGUAGGUUUACAGCUUUCUGUAUGUUCUGCAAUAGAACGUCUUAUUAUGUUACAUUCUGUGUUCUGAGCUGGUUCCACUCAUAGUGCUGGCUGGCAGAAUAUAGUGUGUUUGUGUUUUCUACUGAUUAAACAUGUUCUGUAUGUUCUUGGGUAUAGUAUCUGUAUUUCAUGAAGCUGUUUCUGUCAGUGAAUAUCUGAAGUUAUAUAUAUCUUUUUUUUUCUUCAUAUUGUUUCUUAUUUCCAGGCAAUAACAUUUUCUUGACAAAUAACUACAAUUUAUAGAAAGAAACUGAUUUUUUUUUUCUCUAGAACCAAUGUUUGUGAAACAGCUCGGAGCAUCUAAUGUGAGUUCGAAUUAUGUUUUCCUGACUUGGAAUCAACCUGAUGAGUAUAGAAGUGAUUACACCUACAGAGUACAAACAGCAAACACCUCAUCUGUAGUGAUAAAUCAAACAACGGCAUCAAAUCAACUCAAUGUAACUAAUCUGACACCCGGAGUAACAUAUACAUUCACGGUAUUUACAAGAGCGGCUGAUAAUGUCACUGAAAGUCAAUCUGUCUCAUAUACAACCUGCACAGGUGAGUGUAAAUUACUUUUAAAAUAAAUUGCCUUAGAGAUACAUUAUUUUUUAAGAACCGCAGUGACAUCUUUGAGAUUAUAAUGAUUCUCCGCCUGUAUGCACAUUCUUGCAUUAUUUAAAUAAAACGUCCUUUACCUUCACCAGUGAUGCCAACACUGCAAUCAAAUACUAAAACAGAGUUUUAUUUUUGUUGUAAAUUGAUUGUUUAUUUUUUAUUUAUGGACUAAUCACUAAAAAGAUAUGUAUUAGCUGCAUUUUCAAAAGUAAAAUUAAGACUUUUAUUUUUUUUUUAAAAGGAGAGACAGGUUUAGAGAGGUGCAUUGAGUGCUGAAGCUAAUGAAAUGGCAAAGAGCAUCUUGUCAACUCAUGUCUUUUGCAAAUACUUGUAUGUAGAUAUUAUUGAAACCAGGGCUAUGAAUUUCAAGUCCCCCUUUACUAGCCAGGCCUUAAAAGUUGCUCAUCACAGCAAGCCUGGUGGGUACACUGCACAACAGUGAUUUUCUAAUUGCCACUUGUGAAUGUUCACUCAUGAAAACAGACUAUAGGUGCUAAGUGCUGGGCAAUAGAAGGAAACUAUUAUUUAUUUGUCAAAUGGACAACUUACCAAUAGCUCCAGAAAUCUGGUAAAUAGGGAAGUAUCCAACUGCAAAUGUGAAUGAAAAAUCAAGCCCAGCCUCAGCAUAAAAGCACGCCAUGCAAGUGUUCUUUCAAAAAUCUUAUUUGGCACUGGACAGGCAUAAAACAGCCUCUUGAACUAGGUGGUCUAUACUCAUAGUCAUCAGCAAAAUGUAAAGACCACCUAGUCUGAAACGCAUACGAUUCUCUGUUGGUUGCCCUUUGUGAUGCUGUUUUUAUACCGAUUAAAUAAGUGCCAAUAAAGUUUUUUAUUGGUCAUGAGAACGGAACCUCGCUGAACAAUAAAAUAAAAGAGGCAGCACACCUGAACGUAGGGCCAGAAACUUGGCAAGUACAACAUAAAACAGGUUGUACCAAAAAGAACAAACAAGGUAAGAAAUCAUAUGUUACACCCCAUCAUCAUCCUGCUGUGAACCGUUGCCUGAGGAAUAUCUUGCAAGUGGGGAUAUAAUACCACUGCAUGCCGUUUUACCCAGAACUGGUUAUAGUUCUACCAGAUGUGAGUUGGCAUUCUCAGACCUUUGUGUCCUGUGUUAUACAUUAUACUACCAUAUUGCACUAUUGGUUCCUUCCUGUUUGUGUUCUAUUUCUAAUGCUGCUAUUGACCGAAAUUGUUCCACAAGUACUUUAUGAAUAUUGGAAGAUGGAAUAUUAUAAUUUUUAGGACUGUGUCUUAUUACCUGGUAUUUUUUAUUCUUUUAUUUUCGGACUGUAUUAAGGACUAUUUUAUACUGUGCUUUUAGAGAUUUUUUUUUAGAUUUCUUAACUUGUUUGUUCUUCUUUGGCGAGAUAAUUUACUACCUUUAGCGAGGGAAUUUAAAAUGUGUAGUUCUUACAGUGUAGACUUUCUUAGCAUACAAACCAUACACCAGGUAGAUUUCAAAGGAAGAGGAGGCGAUGCUCGAAAACUUUGUGUUAUUUGGAGGAUGACUUAAAAGCCAGGGUAUCAAAAUUAUUUAAUUAUGUUUGUCAUGUCAUGUAUUGUAUAGAUCAUUUGUUACUUAUAUUUACUAUAUAUUUGUACUGGAGGCACUUCGUACCAUUUGCAACAGGUUAAUAUCUCUUUUACUAGGUUAUUCCAUUUACACGUAUUUUUCGUGAGAUGAAGUUACAUUAUUUAUAUAUAUAUGAAUUACAUUUACUAUAAGUAUUAUUAGUGCUAUCUUUUUAUAUUAUUCAGUUGUAGAUAUUAGUGAGAUAGGAUUAGAUUAUGUGGGAGCUAUUUACUAUUUUGCAAAAUUAACCAAAUUAGAUUUUGUUAUACUUUUUUCCUCCCCUUGCUGGUACUACUUUGUAUCCACUGUACAACUUUUUGAUAUAUUUUUUCCUCAACAUGGAAUGCUUUUACUAAGUACAAAAAAAAUAGUUUUAUCUUCUGUGUUUUCGGAUUUCUGUGUUUUGGGAUUUUUGUGUCGUCUGUUUGGACAACUCAAUAAAAACGUGAAAAGAAGAGAAAUGAACAUUAAAUUGCUGAAGGUUUAUAAUUUAUUCAUGGUCUUUAAAUUAAAGGGACACUAUUGGCACCCAGACAAUUUAUUCUCAUUGAAGUGGUCUGAUUUCCCUGUCCCUGCCCCCCUUAACAUUGUAUUAGAUAAAUUACAAUGUUUACAUUGCAGUGCCAAGAUUGCCUCUAGUGUGUUCUGCAGGGUUCUUCUCAAUGGUUCCAGGGCCCAGCAAAGUAUGGGGUACAGACCUCUUGGGGACCAUGCUUUGGGCCAAUGUAGGCAACAGGAUUCAAGCUGAGUGUUUAAUCUCUUGUGUUGGCAACUCGGCUUGUGUUGCUUUAAGUUUCAGGCAGGAGAUGCCACCUGCUCCUCCGCUAUUUUUGAGCUUUUUGCAUCUUUAAUACUGGGUGACUAGGAUGAGAGCGUUGGGACGAUACCAUAGGUGAGUAGUCGCUUUUUGCUUAGAAGUGCUUCUUCUGAGUGCCAGUUUUCUCCAAGAUUCAGCGAAUAUGCUGUCCAGUCUGGACUCCAAAUCAGGCAUCUCACUGCAGCAGUCGCAUGAACACAUGGCAUCAGCCAUGUUGUGUGUCAUUGGAUUGGCAAUCUGUAUUCUUUCUUGCUUCAUGUGUGCGGUUUCCCAAUGUUUUGCCUUUUAGGAGGCAACCUGGAUCAACCCCACUGGUCUUCGGGGGGUGGGGGUAGGAGUACAGUGAGUCUGUAUCGCUAAUGUUAGAAUAAAGAGAGCGGCCGCCUCUCCCUGCUCCACCACCCGCAGGCCGCGGCAAGCCACCUCAGGCUCCGGUUUGCAUAAAUGCUUGAGCAACAUGUCGUUAAGUUCACCUGGGCUCCCCUAUCUCAGGUAAUGCCCUAUGGUGUAUUUAUUGGCUUAGUACCUCUUAAUAUACCCGAGAAAUCCGCCGAUUUUUCGGGAGAAACAUAGAAACAUAGAAUGUGACGGCAGAUAAGAACCAUUCGGCCCAUCUAGUCUGCCCAAUUUUCUAAAUACUUUCAUUAGUCCCUAGCCUUAUCUUAUAGUUAGGAUAGCCUUAUGCCUAUCCCACGCAUGCUUAAACUCCUUUACUGUGUUAACCUCUACCACUUCAGCUGGCAGGCUAUUCCAUGCAUCCACUACCCUCUCAGUAAAGUAAUACUUCCUGAUAUUAUUUUUAAACCUUUGUCCCUCUAAUUUAAGACUAUGUCCUCUUGUUGUGGUAGUUUUUCUUCUUUUAAAUAUAGUCUCCUCCUUUACUGUGUUGAUUCCCUUUAUAUAUUUAAUUGUUUCUAUCAUAUCCCCCCUGUCUCGUCUUUCCUCCAAGCUAUACAUGUUAAGAUCCUUUAACCUUUCUUGGUAAGUUUUAUCCCGCAAUCCAUGAACCAGUUUAGUAGCCCUUCUCUGAACCCUCUCUAAGGUAUCAGUAUCCUUCUGAAGAUACAGUCUCCAGUACUGUGUACAAUACUCCAAGUGAGGUCUCACCAGUGUUCUGUACAAUGGCAUGAGCACUUCCCUCUUUCUACUGCUAAUACCUCUCCCUAUACAACCAAGCAUUCUGCUAGCAUUUCCUGCUGCUCUAUUACAUUGUAUGCCUACCUUUAAGUCAUCAGAAAUAAUCACCCCUAAAUCCCUUUCCUCAUUUGUUGAGGUUAGGACUCUAUCAAAUAUUCUGUACUCUGCCCUUGGGUUUUUACGUCCAAGAUGCAUUAUAUUGCACUUAUCCGCAUUAAAUGUCAGUUGCCACAGUUCUGACCAUUUUUCUAGUUUACCUAAAUCAUUUGUCAUUUGGCUUAUCCCUACUGGAACAUCAACCCUGUUACAUAUCUUAGUAUUAUCAGCUAAAAGACAUACCUUACCAUCAAGACCUUCUGCAAUAUCACUAAUUAAAAUAUUAAAGAGAAUGAGUCUGCUCAGCUUGUAAGUCAGGCUCUGCCCCCCUGUGUUCCUUUAAUUUUAAACUAACAUAGUGUACUGCUUUUAAUUGAAUUUCAAAUAUGUAAGUCUCUUUAUAUUACUAAAAUCAAUGUUUUGGUUUCAUUCUGUUUUCUUUCAGUGCCUGGAUUAAUCGGAUCUCAGAAUAUCACUUUGAGUAAUAACAGUACAACGAAUACCCUCAGUGUGAACUGGAUAAACCCAGGAGGAAAAGUGGAUAAUUACACAGUAACUCUGAGUGGAGACGUCAAUAGAAAAAUCACAACUAAUUCUACACAAGUGAAUUUCACAGACUUACUGCCAGGCAGAAACUACUCCAUCACUAUACAGACAGUUAGUAGUAACUGCAGCCAGUCAGCAGGUCCAGUGAUAGAGGCAACAUGUGAGUAUGGUGGGAUCAUUGGAGCAGAGCUAUAUAUUUAUGUGGAAACAGCGGAGUACAUACUGUGGUCGCAGGGGUCGAGGCUGCGACCGGGCCCAUCACUCCAGGGACCCCUGUGACCGGGUAUCCAGCGCCAUCAUGUUCUGCGGCCCCGGCCCACGCGGCAAACCGCCGGGGCCGCCGUCCAAGGUGUCCAUCGGGUGGCCCAUGCUGUCAGGGCCAACCGAUAGAUGUGGAUUGUCAGGGGGCCCGGUCAGCGCUGGGCGCUUUAACAACACGACCGGGCCCCCUGUGAUGACAUCACAAGCUGGGAGGAAGUGACCGCUCGUCACUCCUCCCAGCUAACACUGAGAGCCGCGCAGGAGGAAGAACAGGGAGUCAGAGUGGGAACUCUGACUCCCAUCCACCUGAGCCACCACUGGACCCCAGGAAAAGUCACCCUCCUGCACCUUAAAGGUAGGAAACAGGAGGGUGACUUAAACAUUUUGUGUGUGUGUAUGUUUGUAUGUAUGUAUGUAUGUGUGUGCCUGUCUGCAUGUAUGUGUGUCUCUGUUUGUGUGUGUGUCUGCCUCUUUGUAUGUAUGUGUGUGCCUGUCUGUGUAUGUAUGUGUGUCUGUCUGUUUGUGUGUGUGUGUGUCUGUAUGUGUGUAUGUGUGCCUGUCUGUUUUUUAUGUAUGUGUCUUUGUAUGUAUCGUGUGUGUGUCUGUUUGUGUGCAUGUCUGUCUCUCUGUAUGUGUGUGUGUGUGUCUGUAUGUGUGCCUGUCUGUUUGUAUGUAUGUGUCUGUGUGCCUGUAUGUGUGCCUGUCUGUUUGUAUGUAUGUGUCUGUGUGUCUAUAUGUGUGCCUGUCUGUUUGUAUGUAUGUGUCUGUGUGCCUGUCUGUCUGUCGGUCUGUUUGUAUGUGUCUGUGUGUGUCUGUCUGUAUGUAUAUAUGUGUGCCUGUCUGUUUGUAUGUAUGUGUCUGUGUGGGGGGGAAAUGGGGAGGGGGGGGGCCCAUGGAUCAUUUUAGCACCGUUUGUGUGUACGCCACUGUGUGGAAAUCAUACAAAUUGAAUCCUAGUAAACCUUUUAGUAUGAUUUGUAUUCAGAUGCUAAAUUUAGAUUUUUUUUGAAUUUUAGGGGUUAUUCCUUAAGCAGUGGAUCUUGCACAAAACCCGAUUCUAUAACAAUUGUUUAGAUGUGUUUUGACAAUCUAAUUUACAGCAUUAUAAUCAGAGAUUUAUUAACAACUGCAUGGAGGCAGAUGAUAAACCGAAGGCAUCUGAAAGGGUGCAUGCUCACACAUUAUCAAUUACUUGUUUUUUGUAGCAGGGUUAAUUAUGUGGGGGCUGAUCAACAUUUGGUAGCCAGCCACCAUAUGAAAAUAGUAAAAAAAGAAAAAUAAUUAAAUAAUUAAAAAUCUUAUGGAGUCAAUAAAACCCCCAUACUGCUAUUAUGGAGGUUGUAAACCUCCAUAUGCUCCAACUUGCAAACUCCCAUAUGGGGGCUUGUUGCCUAAACCUUACAAAAAUGGUGAUGUGGCCUGCAAAAAAUAAAGUGGGAUGAUAGUCCCACUAAUGCACCCACUCAUGGGUAUCUGGUGGAGGCUACUUUAAAAAUUAAUGGUGCAUGAUGCCGUGUUCCUCCCACCCAUGGGCAGCAGGAGGGGGUCCUAAUAUUAAUACUAAAGGGGCAGGACCUCUUGUCCACUUACUCUGGCCCCCAUCCAUGGGCAGCAGAUGUGGGCACAAAUUAAGUAUAAAAUUAUAGAAAUCGCCCAGGUGGCUAGGGGUGCGAAGUCUUCUUUCUUCUAAUUCCUCUGUUCUUCAGCCCUAAAUAAAAAUCCAGAAUACCCGACACCACUAAUUAAAAUAAAUAAAGGCCUGAUCAGAAAAAAAAAAACUUGAAGGGAUCAAAGCACGUUGCAAAAACAAAUGGAGGGCUCGUCCCAGACUGAACUCAGAUACCGCUGAAAACGCUUAUAUAGGUGUGGAAAGAUUUCCGGUACUUUGCAAUAUGACCACGAGUUCUCUGAUUGGUAGUCUCAAGAGAAUUUCCAGUAGGCAAACAGUUUGGAUUUUGGAAAUAUCCAGGCCCAAAUUUAACAGUUAAAACCAAUGGGGCCAAAUGUAAUUAUUUCACUCCGAAUUCAAUCCAACAGGCAGUGUUUCGUCCGGCUGAUACCCAGACCUAAUUCGAGCCCAUUUGUGAGGUGAUUUACAGUAUCUGCACUUUGAUGAAAUUAAUGAACAGUUUCCAGAUUUUGCAGUAUGAAUAACCUCAUAAAGAAAUGGAUGGUUUAGCCCCAUUCAGUACUUGCUCAUUGUGACAUUAGCGAAUAACCCUGUUUGUUAUUAAAAUAUUGAUUCCUGUAACAAUUUUCUAUAUAUUUUUUAUUUUUUUAUAGAUCCGACCCCGCCAUUUUCUUUAAGCUUAACUAGCAGCGGAACAAACAACAUUUCAUUGUCCUGGGGAGAACCAGUGAAUAUGACCAAUAUAUCAAAAACCUUUAAUAUAACUUACAGCAAUUCUUCAUCCUCUUGGACUGCGACAGUAAACUCAUUAAGUGCCACCCUUCAGAACCUCACAUCUGGGACUAAUUACACAAUCACUGUAGUAACAGUUGGUGCUCGGCAGUAUCAGAGUUCUCCAGUGACCAUAUCAGCGUUCACAAGUAGGUUUACACGGUGAUGUAUUUGUUUUACACUGUGCUAGGCGAGGUCCAGCUGAGUCAAUGCACCCCCCCAGUAUACCCACACAUAACAUAUCAACCUAUAUUUAGCCACUCAUGCAUUAAGUUGUUUGGAUAAAAAGUCGACAUUUUCUUUAAGGUAGUAUGUUUUAAAGUGUGUUCUUCAUUUAUUUUUGUAUUAGGAAAAUUACUAAAAAAAAAAACUUUUUCAAACAUAAUUUUCUUAUAAAAUGAUUUAUAUCCAAAAAUGAUUCGAAUUUGUUAAUGUCACAACUUGGAGCAUAUUUGAAACCUUUAUUUAAAACUUGUUUAUGUGAAUUAGUUAAAAAAAAAUCCUGACAAAUUAAAAAUUUCUACACUCUGCUCUUUUUCUUUAAAACAUAUCUCCUCCAUAUUUUUACUUCUCUUCUCUUCUUUUCUAUUUUCUAUUUCCCCCUCUUCUAGUUCCCUGUGUCUUUUUAUUGGGGAAUAUACUUUCCCUUUUCUCUCUGUCAUUUGGGGUAAAUCCUGAUCUAAAUUUCUAAAUCUUUCAAAACGAAUAGUAUAGUGGAUUUUUUGCAUGCACAAAUCUGUACAGUUUUCGAGGAAAACAUUUCUUUUAUAUCAUUCUGCACUAUAAGGAAACAGAUUCCGCCAAAUAACUAGACAGUACUGGUAUUGCUAAGGAAUACAGUUGAAUGCAACUAGUAGUAACUGGAAUAUAUAAUUACAAAGAAUGCCCUCGAAAAAUAAUAAGAAAGUCAAACAAGGAGCCGUCUGUUGGCUCGAUUGUAUCUGUUUCUGACAAUAUAAUCCUUGUCACAGGAUAUUAGCUGAAGAAUCACAAAAAGGUAUUUGUAGCAACAUUGGUACGUCUUACAUUAUCUUCACAGCAUACGCAUCUCACAUGGAAUACAUAAAAAGGGGAUCCAACAGUGCAACUCAAUAGUGCAACUCACCCAGUGUGUAUAUAAAAAGAGAAUACAAUGCACUCACAAAUAAAGAGCUUCCAAUUCAGCUCUUAGUAAGAUCUUAAAGUGGUAUGAUCCCUGCUAACGCAUAUAACUUGUAAAGGAUGUUUCUCCGUAUUUUCCAAUGGGUAUAUAGUAAUAGAUGGAAAAAAAGGAGAAUAGUGCUCUCUAUUUGUAUUGGAAAAUACAAUGUGUAAUUAAAAGUAAAUUGUACUCACAUUUAAAGGAGCAUAUACAUGCUCGUUGAAAUCAGCGUGGGUGGUACAAUCCCCACCUGGGAUAUCUAAGUAGAUAAAAUGCUGUGCUAUCAGCAGGUAUUUUCCAAGAAUGAUAAAAUAAUCAAGGAUAAAAUAAAAUAAAAAGCGGGACCAAAUAAAAUUAAAUAUGUUGAACAGCAAAAUCCACUUAAAUUAAAAUUUAAAAUUACAUUAUUUAUUUAAAAAAAAUAAAUAUAUAUAUAAUUUAAAAUUUUAAGUCAAGUGGAUUCCAUUGUUGCUUUUAUCUAUUGUACAGUGUUGCAGAAUAGGUUGGCGCUAUAUAAAUAAUUGUAAUUGUCAUGAACUAAGCUAUAACUUAUAAUAAAUCACGUUUUAUUUUCUCGCUCUAGAACCGAACGCAGUGAAACUCCCCAGAGACAAUGGCAAAACAUCAUAUUCUGUUUCCCUGAUGUGGGAUCAACCUGACGAGUACAAGGCUGAAUAUAAAUACAGAAUACUAACAGCAAAUUCAUCAUCUGUCGUGAUAAAUGAAAUUAUUGUGACAAAUCAAACUGUUAAUAUAACUAAUCUGACACCUGGGGAGACAUAUACAUUCACUGUAUUUACAAGAGCGGCUGAUAAUGUCACUGAAAGUCAAUCUGUCUCAUAUACAACCUGCACAGGUGAGUACAGACUGAUCUCUUUAGGGGGAGAAUUGUGGAUAUGGUCAUUAUAGCAGGUAAAGAGACUUAAAGUGUAUUGAAAAUAUGGUUUGAGGAUUUUCUCUGUCUUUCUUUUCUAUCCUAUUUUUCCUUUCGAUUUGUGUGAUUUCUAUUCUGAUUUGUUUCAGUUCCGGGUCUGGCUCAGAAUAUCACAGUAAAUAAUAAGAAUACUACUAAUUCACUCAGUGUGAACUGGACAAUACCAGCAGGGAAAGUGGAUAAUUACACCGUCACUCUGAAUGGAGACGUCAAUAAAAUAAUCACAACUAAUUCUACACAAGUGGAUUUCACAGACUUACUGCCAGGCAGAAACUACUCCAUCACUAUACAGACAGUUAGUAGUAACUGCAGCCAGUCAGCAGCUCCAGUGACAGAGGCAACAUGUGAGUAUGAUGGGAUCAUUGGGACAGAGCUAUUUGCUUAUAUGCAAAUCAUACACAUUAAAUAAAAUGUAGUGACACAAAUUAAGAUAUUCUAUCAUCUGUUUUCUGAUAUUAUUGGAUUAUUUUCAGAUGUUGGUUAUAAAAAUCUUUGUAUAAUUUUUUUUCUUCUUCUUUCAUAGAUCCGACCCCUCCAGCGUCCUUAAGCUUUACAAAUAUCGGAACAAAUGCCAUACCAUUGUCCUUGGGAGAACCAGUAAAUAUGACCAAUGUGACAAAGUCUUUCAAUAUAAUUUACAGCAAUUCUUCAUCCUCUUGGACUGUGACAGUAAACACGUUAAAUGUCACCCUUCAGAACCUCACGUCUGGGACUAAUUACACAAUUACUGUAGUAACAGUUGGUGCUCGGCAGUAUCAGAGUUCUCCAGUGACCAUAUCAGCGUUCACAAGUAGGUUUUCACAGUGAUUUUUUUUUUUUGACUGUUAUUUACAUCAAUUAUUUAAUUUUUUUUUUUAUUUAUUAUAUUUUUAUUUGAAUUUUUACUUCAAGUACAAGUAACAUGAAUAAGCAGUUCACAUAUAUCCAUGUAAAAUAACAACAUAAAAAAAACACCUUUAAACAUACUGUGCAAUCUAAUACUUAAGAGGGGCAUGUUUACAUUCUGGAUGAUCGGGGCAGAGUGGUUUAUGCAAUAAAUAUACUUUCUUUUAGACCGAUGAAUAAGCUCUAGAUUGUAUUAAACCAUUUCCAUUCCAUUUUGUCAAGGCUAUGUGGUGCAUAAGCCUUUAUAUAUGUACCACAGGAAUCUCAACCAAAAAUGUACGUCCAGAUGAAUAGAACAGAAACACAUUUACAAGGUGUAUAACCAUAGCAUCGAUCUUACACAAUACAUUUGCCCAGCACCAUAUAGGAUAAUUGUUGCUUCCCUUUUCUCACAGCUGCCAAAAUCAAAAAACAAGAAAAAAGAGAGUUUGGGGUAUUUACAUAGGUCCCAUAUACACAGAAAGCGUGUUAUGAAAACAAGGAAAAUCUAUACAUUGGCUGGCCAUCACAUAAUAAAAGAUAUAAUGUAUGUCUCGUUCAUCCACACUAAGUGACUGCCAUCACAGUGUAUUCAAUGUGCACGCCAGUGUGUAACUAUGGAUAUACUUUCAUGUAGUGCAUGAAGAACCCACUGACCCCCUAAUUUCUUCAGGUACGUGGACUGAAGUAUUGUGGGCAGUGUAUAACCACUCUAAUCGUUCCCCUGUGUAUAUAGCUCCCAAGGGUGCCAAGUCGAGUGGAACAGAUGGUAUUUGCCUAAGUUGGACAUUCUCAGUUCCUCCAUCUUGUGUAUAUUAUCUAUUUUGAGGAACCAGUCUCUCCUUAAGGGUCUGGUCUGGGAUUUCCAAUUCCCCGCUAUUACUGUCUUUGCUGUCGACAGGAGAUAGUACAAGAGUUAACGUUUAAAUUUGUUUUGAGAAAUUGGAAUGUGAAAGAAAAGUAGCGUCUCUGGUUUAAACGCCAGGGGUACUUUGCUAAGUUGUUCAGUUACUCGCGCCACUUCCCGCCAGAAGCCCACUACCCCUCUGCAGUGCCACCAUAUAUGUUGAUAUGUUCCCUAUUCCUUCCCGCAUCUCCAACAAAAGGGAGAGUAUUGUGAAUUAUAUUUGUUGGCAUCUACUGGUGUGAUAUACCAUUUUGUGAGAAAUUUGAAGUUAGUCUCUUGCAAUGGUAUGUUUGGGUGGGUUUUCAGCAUUUUCUUGAGAAUAUGGGACCAGUUGAAGUCAUCUAAUGGAGUAGAGAGCCAACUAUGCGAGGCUUUAGUGUACCAUGGAAGAUUUGCAUUCCCUGAUAAUUGUAGCAUUUGGUAGCAUUUAGAUAUUAUUUUCUUUGAUAUGGGUUUUGUGCAUAUUUUUUUCAAAGGUUGUUUCUUCUCUAGGUGACCAAUUUAGUAACUUCUCUUUACUCAGAAAGUGUUUGAGUUGAUAGUAUUGGAGUGUUUGCAACAUGGUCUGGUUUUUGGAGUCUGAGAGGUCCUUCAGGAGUUUCAACCCUUCGGACCCCAUAACCUCACCUAGUUCUAUGUAUUUCUCUUUCGACGGGAUCGCCCCUGAGGGACCCAGAAUAUAUCCUAAGUCCAUAUGGAAUAAUGGGUUGUGUGAUAUUGGGUAUUUGAUAGGUAUUGUGUUGAGUAAAUAUAAUAUGCGUGGGAGUAUAGUCAUCGUAAUGAUGUUGAUACGUCCCAUCCACCUAAAAUGUGGUUUAUCCCACGCUUCUAAAUCCGACCUUAUUGAGGAAAUCAGGCUUGGGAAGUUGGCUGAGUAUAGUGUGUGGGGAGAAUUAGUUAUCUGUACCCCCAGAUAUUUAAUGGAGGUUGUAGCCCACAUGAAUGGGUAGGAGCUUUGUAGUCUUAUAACUUGGUUUGUAGGGACAUUUAUAUUUAGGAUUUCACAUUUCUCUAUAUUGAUUUUAAAGUUGGUGAGAUCACUAUAUCUGUUUAAAACAUUCAUUAAGGAGGGCAGACUUGUCAUGGGAUUUUCGAUGGUAAAUAGAAAGUCAUCCGCGAAUGCUGAUACUUUAUAUUCCCUAUUCCUUACUUUAAUGCCUCGUAUGUCAGAUCUUCUGCAUACUUCCUGUAAGAGGGGCUCUAGAGUCAAGAUAAAUAAGAGGGGUGAUAGGGGGCAACCUUGGCGGGUACCAUUGCUGAUCUUGAAAGGCCUAGAUAGUUGCCCAUUCACCUUCAACCGCGCAGUUGGAGCUGAAUAGAUUGCCUUGAUCCAUGUGAGCCAUCUAUUCCCAAAGCCCAGAGCUUCUAAAGUGAGUAUAAGGAAUGACCAGUCCACCCUGUCGAAGGCCUUCUCCGCGUCUAUUGAUAACAUGAGAGAAGGUGUCCGGGAUUUAGAGGCUAAAUGUAUCAGGUUGAUAAUUUUGGUAGUGUUGUCUUUUGCUUCUCUUGCUGGGACAAAGCCGGCCUGGUCAGGGUGGACUAGUUCUGUCAGAAACAUAGAAACAUAGAAUGUGACGGCAGAUAAGAACCAUUCGGCCCAUCUAGUCUGCCCAAUUUUCUAAAUACUUUCAUUAGUCCCUAGUCUUAUCUUAUAGUUAGGAUAGCCUUAUGCCUAUCCCACGCAUGCUUAAACUCCUUUACUGUGUUAACCUCUACCACUUCAGCUGGAAGGCUAUUCCAUGCAUCCACUACCCUCUCAGUAAAGUAAUACUUCCUGAUAUUAUUUUUAAACCUUUGUCCCUCUAAUUUAAGACUAUGUCCUCUUGUUGUGGUAGUUUUUCUUCUUUUAAAUAUAGUCUCCUCCUUUACUGUGUUGAUUCCCUUUAUAUAUUUAAAUGUUUCUAUCAUAUCCCCCCUGUCUCGUCUUUCCUCCAAGCUAUACAUGUUAAGAUCCUUUAACCUUUCCUGGUAAGUUUUAUCCCGCAAUCCAUGAACCAGUUUAGUAGCCCUUCUCUGAACCCUCUCUAAGGUAUCAAUAUCCUUCUGAAGAUAGGGUCUCCAGUACUGUGUACAAUACUCCAAGUGAGGUCUCACCAGUGUUCUGUACAUGAGCACUUCCCUCUUUCUACUGCUAAUACCUCUCCCUAUACAACCAAGCAUUCUGCUAGCAUUUCCUGCUGCUCUAUUACAUUGUCUGCCUACCUUUAAGUCAUCAGAAAUAAUCACCCCUAAAUCCCUUUCCUCAUAUGUUGAGGUUAGGACUCUAUCAAAUAUUCUGUACUCUGCCCUUGGGUUUCACGUCCAAGAUGCAUUAUCUUGCACUUAUCCACAUUAAAUGUCAGUUGCCACAAUUCUGACCAUUUUUCUAGUUUACCUAAAUCAUUUGUCAUUUGGCUUAUCCCUCCUGGAACAUCAACCCUGUUACAUAUCUUAGUAUCAUCAGCAAAAAGACAUACCUUACCAUCAAGACCUUCUGCAAUAUCACUAAUAAAAAUAUUAAAGAGAAUGGGUCCAAGUACAGAUCCCUGAGGUACCCCACUGGUGACAAGUCCAAGCUUCGAAUAUAUUCCAUUAACUACAACCCUCUGUUGCCUGUCACUCAGCCACUGCCUUACCCAUUCAACAAUAUUGGAAUCCAAACUUAAAGAUUGCAGUUUAUUGAUAAGCCUUCUAUGUGCAACAGUGUCAAAAGCCUUACUGAAAUCUAGGUAAGCAAUGUCUACUGCACCACCCUGAUCUAUAAUUUUAGUUACCCAAUCAAAAAAAAAAAUCAAUAAGAUUAGUUUGGCAUGAUCUCCCUGAAGUAAACCCAUGUUGUCUCUGAUCUUGAAAUCCAUGUGUUUUUAGAUGUUCAUCAAUCCUAUUCUUUAACAUGGUUUCCAUCACUUUCCCCACUACUGAAGUAAGGCUUACUGGCCUAUAGUUGCCUGACUCCUCCCUAUUACCUUUCUUGUGAAUGGGCACAACAUUAGCUAACUUCCAAUCUUCUGGGACUACUCCUGUUAACAAUGAUUGGUUAAAUAAAUCUGUUAAUGGUUUUGCUAGUACACCACUAAGCUCUUUUUAAUAGCUUUGGGUGUAUUCCAUCAGGUCCCAUUGACUUAUUUGUCUUUACUUUUGACAGUUGAAAUAGAACCUCUUCCUCUGUAAACUCACGUGUAAUAAAUGACUCAUUUAUCUUUUUUCUCAACUGAGGUACCUUUCCUUCAUUUUCAUCUGUAAAUACAGAACAAAAAUAUUAAUUGAGGCAGUCAGCUAGACCUUUAUCCUCUUCUACAUACCUUCCUUCUUUUGUUUUUAAUCUAACUAAUCCUUGUUUUACUUUUCAUUUCUCAUUUAUGUAUCUAAAAAUGUUUUAUCCCCUUUUUUACUGACUGUGCUAUUUUCUCUUCUGUGUGUGAUUUGGAAGCUCUUAUAACUUGCUUAGCCUCUUUCUGCUUAAUCUUAUAGAUCAUUUUGUCUUCCUCACUCUGGGUUUUUUUGUAAUUCCUAAAUGCUAACUUUUUGUUUUUAACUAUUUUGGCCACAUCUGCGGAGUACCACAGUGGUUUCUUGAAUUUUUUGCUUUUACUGACAAACCUAAUGCAAUUUUCUGUUGCCUUCAAUAGUGCAACUUUUAAAUAAUCCCAUUUCUCUUGGACUCCAUUUAAAUUGUUCCAGUCUGAUAAUGACUCCUCUACCCAUAUUCUAAUUUUAGAAAAGUCUGUUUUUCUAAAGUCUAAAACUUUUGUUUUUGGGUGGUGUGACUCAGUCACUGUUCUUAUAUUAAACCACACUGACUGAUGAUCACUGGAUCCUAAACUUUCACCUACAGUAACAUCUGAUACCAAAUCUCAAUUUGUUAACACUAAAUCUAGUAUGGCCUCUUUACGAGUUGGCUCCUCAACAACUUGUUUUAGAGACAAUCCCAGUAGGGAGUUUAGAAUAUGUGUGCUCCUGGCACAAGUAGCUAAUUUUGUUUUCCAAUUUACAUCAGGAAGAUUAAAGUCACCCAUGAUGAUAACUUCCCCUUCAUUGUCAUUUUAGCUAUUUCCUCAACUAGUAGAUUAUCUAACUCUUCAAUUUGUCCUGGGGGCCUAUAAAUCACACCUACACGAGUUACUGUGUGAUUACCAAAUUCUAACGUAGCCAAAACGGACUCUAUGUUUGCCUCACUAGCUUUUAUUAGGCUAGAUUUUAUGCUAUCCUUCACAUACAAGGCCACCCCUCCCCCUUUCUUGCCUUCCCUAUCUUUCCUAUAUAAAGAGUACCCUGGUAUUGCUAUGUCAGUCAUUUUUCUCAUUAUACCAUGUCUCAGUAACAGCGACUAAAUCUACACUAUCAGUUGCCAUUAUUGCCACAAGUUCUUGGAUCUUAUUCCCUAAACUGCGAGCAUUUGUAGACAUGACUCUAAGCUUAUCAUUUUUUAACACACUUGCUACAGGCACCUUCUGUCCUUGUUUUGGGGGACAAUUGGAUUGAUGUUUUAUCACCCUUUUGCCCCCCCCUCCUAGUUUAAAUACAUCCUAGCAAAACCUCUGAACUGCUCACUGAGAACAUUUGUUCCCUUUUGAGAAAGAUGCAAACCAUCUUUUUUGUACAGCUUAUCUCCAUUCCAAACAGAGCUGCCAUGAGAAAUAAAGCCAAAUCCUUGCUCCCGACACCAUUCACCAAGCCACAAAUUAAAGUCCCUAAUACGCAUCCGCCUGUCGUUUUGAGUGUUAUGCACAGGCAGAACUUCAGGGAAUGACAGUGUGGAAGCAACCUGCCAUAUAUCAUUGGCAAAAACACUAAAAACUUCCUUAACCUCUGAAACCUCAUUGCAAGCCAAGUCAUUUGUCCCUAGAUGGAUAAGUACAUCCAAUUCCCCUUCCUGCUUUGCUUGCUUAACAAUAUUACAGAUACGUCUCCUGUCUCUGUGAGCAGUAGCUCCGGGAAGACACCUCACAAGACCACCAUUGUCCAUCUCCACACCUCUUAUAAUGGAAUCCCCCAACAACAACAGCUUUCUAUUAGGCCUCACCAUAGUCUCCAAGUCGGUCUCCACAACACCACUAGUCUGAGUGCCUCUCUCCACAAUACCACUAGCCUCAGUGCCUCUCUCCACAACACCACUAGCCUCAGUGCCUCUCUCCACAACACCACUAGCCUCAGUGCCUCUCUCCAUAACACCACUAGCCUCAGUGCCUCUCUCCACAACACCACUAGCCUCAGUGCCUCUCUCAGGAAGGGCCUCAGCCUAGAUGCCAUCAUUUUGGUGAGAAUCUUGACGUCCACAUUUAUGAGCGAUAUAGGUCUAUAGCUCGCGCACCUCUCUAGGUCUUUCCCUGGUUUAGGCAAAAGGGUUAUGGACACCUCUAGUGUUUGUUGGGGUAUUGUAUGUCCUGAUGGGAUGGAAUUUAUUGCCUCUAGAAAGUGACCCAUUAGUUUCUUUUGGAAUGUCUUAUAAUAUAUGGCUGAAAAUCCAUCUGGGCCUGGGCUUUUGUUAAGGGGGGCUUGUUUAAUGGCCAUCUGUAAUUCAGCCAAGAAGAAUGGCUGGCUCUUCUAGAGAUCUGGUGGCCGCCGCAGGUAGAGUAGUGUCAAAUUUGUCUGCUAGAUAUGACGUGAUUUCCUCGAUUUUGGGGGCCCUGUUCUGUAAGUUGUAUAAGGUGGUGUAGUAUUCUCUGAAGGACUCUGCUAUGUCCUCUGUGGUGGAUGCUAACGUGUUAUUGGCACGUUUUAUCCUAGGAAUGUAAGUCUGAGAUUGCUUUUGUUUCAGAGCUUGAGCAAGUAAUUUGCCACUCCUGUUUCCCUGAGAGUAAUAUAAGUGUUUGGUCCAUAGUAGGGCCUUUUUAGCAUUGUCUAGGAGGAGUGAGUGGAGUUCCUUUCUUAAUGCUAUAAGUGCUCGGAAUAUGGGAUCUGUAGGGUUAUGUUUGUGUGUUUCCUCUGUUGUUCGGAUCUCCCCCAGUAACUCUGCGAUCCGUUUGUGUUUGUUUUUUUGGGUUUGUGCGCCCCAUUUUAUUAGUUCCCCCCGAAUCUUCUCAGUGAUUUAUUUAUGUUUGACACUGCACUGGGUCCAGUUGAGCCAAUGCACCCCCCAGUAUUCUCACACAUAACAUAUCAAUCAUUCACAUGCCUAUAUUUAGCCACUCACGCAACAGUUUUGUCAUACAUUCACAAAUAAACAAGAUACAAAGAUAAACAUACAAGUUUGGUCUUGCUGUUUUAUACAAAAUGCUGAAAUAGACAAGCACACACAGACAUGCACAAACACAAAAAUACAGACACACAAAGAUUACCUAUUCUCACCCACCCCCUUGUUUCCUUCUCAUAUCCCACAUUUUAUCACCCCUUCCUCCCAUCUCUCUCUGUCUUGGUUGCUGUAGUGACAUGGUGCUAUUUGCAUACGAGAAAUAUUGCAUAGCUUCACAGAAGACUCAUCCUACAUUUUCCAUUCACGAGUGUCACCCAUUACUGCUCAUGUCUAGAGUCAGUAUUCCCAGGAAAUGUAUAGCUUGACCACAGCUAUAAAGGCACAACCAUUCUCUUCCCCCUUUAGCAUACAGUUCUAAACCUCAGCAUCAAGGAACAUUCAGAGCAUCAAAACAACUUAAAUGCAUCUCGUAUCAUCUGGCAUUAAUAGUGUUGUGUAUUUUUUGCAUGUGCAAAUGUGUACAGUUUUUGCAGAAAAACGGAAAUAUUUUGUAUCAUUCUGCACUGUUAGAAAACAGGUUGCGCCAAAUAACUACACAGUACUGGUAUUGCUAAGGAAUACAGUUGUAUGCAAGUAGUAGUAACUGGAAUCUAUAAUUACAAAGAAUGCCCUCGAAAAACCAUAAGAAAGUCAAACAAGGAACCGUCUGUAGGUUUGAUUGUAUCUGCUUCUGACAAUAUAAUCCUUGUCACAGGGUAUUAGGUGAAGAAUCAGAACAAGGUCUUUGUAGCGACACUGGUACGUCUUACAUUAUCUUCACAGCAUACGCAUCUCACAUGGAAUACAUAAAAAGGGGAUCUCAAUAGAACAAACCCAGUGUGUAUAUAAAAAGAGAAUAAAAUGCACUCACAAACAAAGAGCUUCCAAUUCAGCUCUUAGUAAGAUCUUAAAGUUGAAUAAUCCCUGCUCACGGAUAUAAUUUGUAAAGGAUGUUCCUCUGUAUUUUCCAAGGGUAUAUAGUAAAAGAUAGAAAUAAGGAGAAUAGUGCUCUCUGUAUUGGAAGAUAAAAUAUGUAAGUAAAAUAAAUUGUACUCACAUUUAAAGGAGCAUAUACAUGCUUGUUGGAAUCAGCGUGGGUGGUACAAUCCCCACCUGGAAUAUGUAAGUUGAUCAAAUGCAGCACUGUCAGCAGGUAUUUUUCAAAAAUUAUAAAAUAAUGAAGGAUAAAAUUAAAUAAAAAGUAGGACCAGAUAAAAUUAAAUAUGUUGAAUGGUAAAAUUCACUUUAAUGAAAAUUUUAAAUUACAUUGUUGUUUUUUUAAAUAAAAAUUUUUUUACCAAACAAAUAUUAAACGAUAAAUGCAUUAAAUACUUAACAAAUGGUUAAAAUCACAACACAUUUGGCAGAGAUGGCUUUUUUAAGUGACAAAGCUAUCUGGGCGAAACGCGUCGUGAUUUUAGCAGAUUGUUAAGUUUUUUUGUUUUAAUUCAAAAAAAAUAUUUAAAAAUAAUAAUUUCAUUUUAAAUUUUAAUUAAAGUGGAUUUUACCAUUCAAUAUUCAGUUUGGCUGGCUAUUCUGGUUUAAGAUUUGAAAGUUACUUUGAAUUCCCCAAAGAUCUGUGCAGGUUUAGAGUAUUAAACAGUGUUUCACUUUGAGAUGAAUACCGAUAGCUGAAUUGCCGUUACGCCCAACUGCAGGCCCUGUCUGCAAGAUAGAAGCUCAAUUCGCCAGUUGCCAGCAUGCAAUGCUGUCUGUCGACAGACGUAUUUUAUGCACAAUAUUGACAUUAGGCAGCCCGGGUUUAACUAGCACUAAAGUACGGAGAUCUCAGUAUGUGCAGUGCUGCAGAAAUGCUGCACAUACACACUCCUACAACCAUGACCACUUCAAAUCACUAAAAUACUAAGGGUGGCUGGGCUUUUAUUGUUGGUCUUUUUAAUCUAUUGUACAGUGCUGCAGAAUAUGUUGGCGCUAUAUAAAUAAUUGUAAUUGUCAUGAACUUAGCUAUAACUUGAAAGAAAAUCAUGUUUUAUUUUCUCGCUCUAGAACCAAACACAGUGAAACUCCUCAGAGACAAUGGCAAAACAUCAUAUUCUGUUUCCCUGAUUUGGGAUCCACCUGACGAGUACAAGGCUGAAUAUAAAUACAGAAUACUAACAGCAAAUUCAUCAUCUGUCGUGAUAAAUGAAAUUAUUGUGACAAAUCAAACUGUUAAUAUAACUAAUCUGACACCCGGAGUAACAUAUACAUUCACUGUAUUUACAAGAGCGGCUGAUAAUGUCACUGAAAGUCAAUCUGUCUCAUAUACAACCUGCACAGGUGAGUACAGACUGACCUCUCUAGGGGGAGAAUUGUGGAUAUGGUCAUUAUAGCAGGUAAAGGGGACUUCAAGUGUAUUGAAAAUAUGGUUUGAGGAUUUUCUCUCUCUUUCUUUUCUAUCCUAUUUUUCCUUUCGAUUUGUGUGAUUUCUAUUCUGAUUUUUUUCAGUUCCGGGUCUGGCUCAGAAUAUCACAGUAAAUAAUAAGAAUACUACUAAUUCACUCAGUGUGAACUGGACAAUACCAGCAGGGAAAGUGGAUAAUUACACAGUCACUCUGAGUGGAGACGUCAAUAAAAUAAUCACAACUAAUUCUACACAAGUGGAUUUCACAGAUUUACUGCCAGGCAGAAACUACUCCAUCACUAUACAGACAGUUAGUAGUAACUGCAGCCAGUCAGCAGCUCCAGUGAUAGAGGCAACAUGUGAGUAUGAUGGGAUCAUUGGGACAGAGCUAUUUGCUUAUAUGCAAAUCAUACACAUUAAAUAAAAUGUAGUGACACAAAUUAAGAUAUUCUAUCAUCUGUUUUCUGAUAUUAUUGGAUUAUUUUCAGAUGUUGGUUAUAAAAAUCUUUGUAUACUUUUUUUUCUUCUUCCUUCGUAGAUCCAACUCCUCCAGUGUCCUUAAACGUUACAAAUAUCGGAACAAACUACAUUUCAUUGUCCUGGGGAGAACCAGUAAAUAUGACCAAUGUGACAAAGUCUUUCAAGAUAAUUUACAGCAAUUCUUCAUCCUCUUGGACUGUGACAGUAAACACAUUAAAUGUCACCCUUCAGAACCUCACGUCUGGGACUAAUUACACAAUUACUGUAGUAACAGUUGGUUCUCUGCAGUAUCAGAGUUCUCCUGUGACCAUAUCAGCGUACACAAGUAGGUUUUCUCAGUGAUUUAUUUAUGUUUGACACUGCACUAGGUCCAGUUGAGCCAAUGCACCCCCCAGUAUACUCACACAUAACAUAUCAAUCAUUCACAUACCUAUAUUUAGCCACUCACGCAACAGUUUUGUCAUACAUUCACAAAUAAACAAGAUACAAAGAUAAACAUACAAGUUUGGUCUUGCUGUUUUAUACAAAAUGCUGAAAUAGACAAGCACACACAGACAUGCACACACACAAAAAUUCAGACACACAAAGAUUACCUAUUCUCACCCACCCCCUUGUUUCCUUCUCAUAUCCCACAUUUUAUCACCCCUUCCUCCCAUCUCUCUCUGUCUUGGUUGCUGUAGUGACAUGGUGCUAUUUGCAUACGAGAAAUAUUGCAUAGCUUCACAGAAGACUCAUCCUACAUUUUCCAUUCACGAGUGUCACCUAUUACUGCUCAUGUCUAGAGUCAGUAUUCCCAGGAAUUGUAUAGCUUGACCAGAGCUAUAAAGGCACAACCCUUCUCUUCCCCCUUUAGCAUACAGUUCUAAACCUCAGCAUCAAGGAACAUUCAGAGCAUCAAAACAACUUAAAUGCAUCUCGUAUCAUCUGGCAUUAAUAGUAUUGUGUAUUUGUUGCAUGUGCAAAUGUGUACAGUUUUUGCAGAAAAAAGGAAAUAUUUUGUAUCAUUCUGCACUGUUAGAAAACAGGUUGCGCCAAAUAACUACACAGUACUGGUAUUGCUAAGGAAUACAGUUGUAUGCAAGUAGUAGUAACUGGAAUCUAUAAUUACAAAGAAUGCCCUCGAAAAACCAUAAGAAAGUCAAACAAGGAACCGUCUGUAGGUUUGAUUGUAUCUGCUUCUGACAAUAUAAUCCUUGUCACAGGGUAUUAGGUGAAGAAUCAGAACAAGGUCUUUGUAGCGACACUGGUACGUCUUACAUUAUCUUCACAGCAUAUGCAUCUCACAUGGAAUACAUAAAAAGGGGAUCUCAAUAGAACAAACCCAGUGUGUAUAUAAAAAGAGAAUAAAAUGCACUCACAAACAAAGAGCUUCCAAUUCAGCUCUUAGUAAGAUCUUAAAGUUGAAUAAUCCCUGCUCACGGAUAUAAUUUGUAAAGGGUGUUCCUCUGUAUUUUCCAAGGGUGUAUAGUAAAAGAUAGAAAUACGGAGAAUAGUGCUCUCUGUAUUGGAAAAUAAAAUAUGUAAGUAAAAUAAAUUGUACUCACAUUUAAAGGAGCAUAUACAUGCUUGUUGGAAUCAGCGUGGGUGGUACAAUCCCCACCUGGAAUAUGUAAGUUGAUCAAAUGCAGCACUGUCAGCAGGUAUUUUUCAAAAAUUAUAAAAUAAUGAAGGAUAAAAUUAAAUAAAAAGUAGGACCAGAUAAAAUUAAAUAUGUUGAAUGGUAAAAUUCACUUUAAUGAAAAUUUUAAAUUACAUUGUUGUUUUUUUAAAUAAAAAUUUUUUUACCAAACAAAUAUUAAACGAUAAAUGCAUUAAAUACUUAACAAAUGGUUAAAAUCACAACACAUUUGGCAGACUUGGCUUUUUUAAGUGACAAAGCUAUCUGGGCGAAACGCGUUGUGAUUUAAACAGUGUUUCACUUUGAGAUGAAUACCGAUAGCUGAAUUGCCGUUACGUCCAACUGCAGGCCCUGUCUGCAAGAUAGAAGCUCAAUUCGCCAGUUGCCAGCAUGGAAUGCUGUCUGUCGACAGACGUAUUUUAUGCACAGUAUUGACAUUAGGCAGCCCGGGUGUAACUAGCACUAAAGUCAGUGGCGUCUCUAGGAUUCAUUUUUCGGGGGGGCACAUGGAGGGCCAGUGACAAAAGUAGGGGGGCACAUUUAACCCCGCCCUCGCCGCAGUUUGACCCCGCCCCUGUCACAUGUUAAGCCACGCCCCCGACACAAUGUGUUUUGUUUUUUUAAUAAUACCUGGUGGAGGAUUCAUUAUUUUCCACCAGGGAUUAUUAAAAAAACAAACACAUUAUCCUUGAUACAGUGCCAUAGUUGCCAACAUUUGAAAAAAAAAUUCCAAGGACAUUUUGCAGCACAGCUAUCAAUUACUGUCUGGGUAUAAUAUCCCUGGACAGUCAGUGCUCUCUGUAUAAUACAGGGUUGUGUGUAUAAUAAAUUGCGACACUCAGUGCUCCCUGUAUAGUGCUGCUCUCUGUAUAAUACAGGUCUGUUUGUGUAUAAUAUCCCAAGACAGAGAGCAGCACUAUACAGGAAGCACUGACUAUCCCAGGAUAUUUUAUACCCACAGAUCUGUAUUAUACAGAUAGCUGAGCAUAUACCCCAAUCUCUAGACUACUAGUACCUGUCAACAGCAGCUCCCAGGCGCGUGUAACAGGGCUAAAGUGUGCGGCAGCUCACACAGAUUAUUCAGCGGUAAAGUUCACUCGCUGGCAGAGCCAAACUGGGAGUCCCUGGGAAUCCAAAGCAGCCCUGGAAAAAAAAAAACGUAUGCCAUUCCUACAAGUCAAAAUAAAUAUAUAUAUAUAUAUAUAUAUAUAUAUAUAUAUAGUACAGUGAGCACACAAGCUCACUGACAUGCGCAAAUAGGCUUACUGACAGACAAAACUCCCUGACUCACACACAAGCUUACUACAGACACUCACUUGUAUAAACAGAAGGCUCACUACAAAGAAGUUCAGGGACACACACACAAGCUCACUAAAGACAAGCUCACUGACACACACAUGCUCACUAAAUAGAAGCUCACUGACACACACAAGCAGUACCAUUUUAACAGAGUUAAGGGCCCCUGGGCAAAGCAAUACACUGGGGCCCUUCCUACACAACAACUCACAGGAAUUUUAAUUAUUGAUAGACUGCGGAGUCCAUACACACACACAGACUGCUGAGUCCAUACACACACACAGACUGCUGAGUCCAUACACACACACAGAUUGCUGAGUCCAUACACACACACAGACAGAUUGCUGAGUCCAUACACACACACACACACACACACACACAGAUUGCUGAGUCCAUACACACACACACACACACAGAUUGCUGAGUCCAUACACACACACACACAGACUGCCGAGUCCAUAUACAUACACACACAGACUGCUGAGUCCAUACACACACACAAACUGCUGAGUCCAUACACACACACACAGACUGCUGAGUCCAUACACACACACACAGACUGCUGAGUCCACACACACACACAGACUGCUGAGUCCAUAUACACACACACUGCUGAGUCCAUACACACACACACACUGCUGAGUCCAUACACACACACACACAGACUGCUGAGUCCAUACACACACACCCAGACUGCUGAGUCCAUACAGUGUGUGUGUAUGGGAAUAGUGUAUGUGUGUAGAGUGUAUGUGUAUGGGGGGCAGAGUGUGUGUAUGGGGGGCAGUGUGUGGGGCAAUGUGUGUGUAUGGGGGGCAGUGUGUGGGGCAAUGUGUGUGUAUGGGGGGCAGUGUGUGUGUGUAUAGAGGAGGCAGAAAUAUGGGGGAGCAAUGUGUGUAUAGGGGGGGCAGUGGAGCAAUGUGUGUGUAUGGGGAGCAGUGUCUGUGUGUGUAUAGUGUGUGUGUAUAGAGCUGUAUGGGGGCAGUGUGUGUAUGGGGGCUUGAGUGUGAGGGAAAUGUGUGUGUAUGAGGGGCAAUGUGUGUUAGUAGUGUGUGUGUAUAGGUGUGUAUAAGGGGGUAUGUGUGUCUAUGGGAGCAGUAUAUAAUAGAACAGUUGUAAUGUGUAUAGGGGGCAGUAUGGGGGACAGUGUGUGUCUAUGGGGGGCAGUGUGUGUGUGUGUGUAUGGGGGCAGUGUGUGUGUAUAGGGGGCAGUGUGUGUGCUAUGGGGGGCAGUGUGUGUGUGUGUAUAGGGGGCAGUGUGUGUGUGUAUGGAGCAGUAUGGGGACAGUGUGUAUGGUGUAUGGGGGGCAGUAUGGGGACAGUGUGUGUAUGGGGGCUAUUAUGGGGGGCAGUGUGUGUGUAUGGGAGGCUGUAUGGGGGGCAGUGUGUGUGUAUGGGGGGCAAUGUGUGUGUAUGGGGGGCAGGGUGUGUGUAUGGGAGGCUGUAUGGGGGGCAGUGUGUGUGUAUGGGAGGCUGUAUGGGGGGCAGAGUUUGUGUAGGGGGGCAGUAUUGGCGGCAAUGUGUGUGUAUGGGGGGGCAGUAUAGGGGGCAAUGUGAGUGGGGGGGCCCAAGGGGGGGCACAGCAUGAUGUAGGGGGGGCCAUGGCCCCCUCUGACCCCCCCCACUAGUGACGCCACUGAUCUCAGUAUGUACAGUACUGCAGAAAUGCUGCACAUACACACUCCUACAACCAUGACCACUUCAAAUCACUAAAAUACUAAGGGUGGCUGGGCUUUUAUUGUUGGUUUUCUUUAAUCUAUUGUACAGUGCUGCAGAAUAUGUUGGCGCUAUAUAAAUAAUUGUAAUUGUCAUGAACUUAGCUAUAACUUAAAGGAAAAUCAUGUUUUAUUUUCUCGCUCUAGAACCAAACGAAGUGAAACUCCUCAGAGACAAUGGCAAAACAUCAUAUUCUGUUUCCCUGAUUUGGGAUCAACCUGACGAGUACAAGGCUGAAUAUAAAUACAGAAUACUAACAGCAAAUUCAUCAUCUGUCGUGAUAAAUGAAAUUAUUGUGACAAAUCAAACUGUUAAUAUAACUAAUCUGACACCUGGGGAGACAUAUACAUUCACUGGAUUUACAAGAGCGGCUGAUAAUGUCACUGAAAGUCAAUCUGUCUCAUAUACAACCUGCACAGGUGAGUACAGACUGAUCUCUUUAGGGGGAGAAUUGUGGAUAUGGUCAUUAUAGCAGGUAAAGAGACUUAAAGUGUAUUGAAAAUAUGGUUUGAGGAUUUUCUCUCUCUUUCUUUUCUAUCCUAUUUUUCCUUUCGAUUUGUGUGAUUUCUAUUCUGAUUUGUUUCAGUUCCGGGUCUUGCUCAGAAUAUCACAGUAAAUAAUAAGAAUACUACUAAUUCACUUAGUGUGAACUGGACAAUACCAGCAGGGAAAGUGGAUUAUUUCACAGUCACUCUGAAUGGAGACGUCAAUAGAACAAUCACAACUAAUUCUACACAAGUGGAUUUCACAGACUUACUGCCAGGCAGAAACUACUCCAUCACUAUACAGACAGUUAGUAGUAACUGCAGCCAGUCAGCAGCUCCAGUGAUAGAGGCAACAUGUGAGUAUGAUGGGAUCAUUGGGACAGAGCUAUAUCUUUACGUGGAAAUCAUACAAACUGAGUUCUAGUAAACUUUUUUGCAUAAUUUUUAUUUAGAUAUCAUUGGAUUAUUUUCAGAAUAAUGAAAUAUGGAUUUCUUUAACUAAUUAUUUUGUUCUUGGUUUUCCAUAGAUCCAACCCUUCCAGUGUCCUUAAACGUUACAAAUAUCGGAACAAACUACAUUUCAUUGUCCUGGGAAGAGCCAGUAAAUAUGACCAAUGUGACAAAGUCUUUCAAUAUAAUUUACAGCAAUUCUUCAUCCUCUUGGACUGUGACAGUAAACACAUUAAAUGUCACCCUUCAGAACCUCACGUCUGGGACUAAUUACACAAUUACUGUAGUAACAGUUGGUGCUCGGCAGUAUCAGAGUUCUCCUGUGACCAUAUCAGCGUUCACAAGUAAGUUUUCACAGUGAUUUAUUUAUGUUUUACACUGCACUAGGUCCAGUUGAGCCAAUGCACCCCCCAGUAUACUCACACAUAACAUAUCAAUCAUUCACAUACCUAUAUUUAGCCACUCACGCAACAGUUUUGUCAUACAUUCACAAAUAAACAAGAUACAAAGAUAAACAUACAAGUUUGGUCUUGCUGUUUUAUACAAAAUGCUGAAAUAGACAAGCACACACAGACAUGCACACACAUAAAAAGUCAGACACACAAAGAUUACCUAUUCUCACCCACCCCCUUGUUUCCUUCUCAUAUCCCACAUUUUAUCACCCCUUCCUCCCAUCUCUCUCUGUCUUGGUUGCUGUAGUGACAUGGUGCUAUUUGCAUACGAGAAAUAUUGCAUAGCUUCACAGAAGACUCAUCCUACAUUUUCCAUUCACGAGUGUCACCUAUUACUGCUCAUGUCUAGAGUCAGUAUUCCCAGGAAUUGUAUAGCUUGACCACAGCUAUAAAGGCACAACCCUUCUCUUCCCCCUUUAGCAUACAGUUCUAAACCUCAGCAUCAAGGAACAUUCUGAGCAUCAAAACAACUUAAAUGCAUCUCGUAUCAUCUGGCAUUAAUAGUAUUGUGUAUUUGUUGCAUGUGCAAAUGUGUACAGUUUUUGCAGAAAAAAGGAAAUAUUUUGUAUCAUUCUGCACUGUUAGAAAACAGGUUGCGCCAAAUAACUACACAGUACUGGUAUUGCUAAGGAAUACAGUUGUAUGCAAGUAGUAGUAACUGGAAUCUAUAAUUAGGGCAUAAAGAAUGCCCUCGAAAACCAUAAGAAAGUCAAACAAGGAACCGUCUGUAGGUUUGAUUGUAUCUGCUUCUGACAAUAUAAUCCUUGUCACAGGGUAUUAGGUGAAGAAUCAGAACAAGGUCUUUGUAGCGACACUGGUACGUCUUACAUUAUCUUCACAGCAUACGCAUCUCACAUGGAAUACAUAAAAAGGGGAUCUCAAUAGAACAAACCCAGUGUGUAUAUAAAAAGAGAAUAAAAUGCACUCACAAACAAAGAGCUUCCAAUUCAGCUCUUAGUAAGAUCUUAAAGUUGAAUAAUCCCUGCUCACGGAUAUAAUUUGUAAAGGAUGUUCCUCUGUAUUUUCCAAGGGUAUAUAUUAAAAGAUAGAAAUAAGGAGAAUAGUGCUCUCUGUAUUAGAAAAUAAAAUAUGUAAGUAAAAUAAAUUGUACUCACAUUUAAAGGAGCAUAUACAUGCUUGUUGGAAUCAGCGUGGGUGGUACAAUCUCCACCUGGAAUAUGUAAGUUGAUAAAAUGCAGCACUGUCAGCAGGUAUUUUUCAAAAAUUAUAAAAUAAUGAAGGAUAAAAGGAAAUAAAAAGUGGGACCAGAUAAAAUUAAAUAUGUUGAAUGGUAAAAUUCACUUUAAUGAAAAUUGUAAAUUACAUUGUUGUUUUUUUAAAUAAAAAAAAUAUUGCCAAACAAAUAUUAAACGAUAAAUGCAUAAAAUACUUCGGUUAAAAUCACAACACAUUUGGCAGAGAUGGCUUUUUUAAGUGACAAAGCUAUCUGGGCGAAACGCGUUGUGAUUUAAACAGUGUUUCACUUGGAGAUGAAUACCGAUAGCUGAAUUGCCGUUACGUCCCACUGCAGGCCCUGUCUGCAAGAUAGAAGCUCAAUUCGCCAGCUGCCAGCAUGCAAUGCUGUCUGUCGACGGACGUAUUUUAUGCACAGUAUUACAUUAGGCAGCCUGGAUGUAACUAGCACUAAAGUACGGAGAUCUCAGUAUGUGCAGUACUGCAGAAAUGCUGCACAUACACACUCCUACAACCAUGACCACUUCAAAUCACUAAAAUACUAAGGGUGGCUGGGCUUUUAUUGUUGGUUUUCUUUAAUCUAUUGUACAGUGAUGCAGAAUAUGUUGGCGCUAUAUAAAUAAUUGUAAUUGUCAUGAACUUAGCUAUAACUUGAAAGAAAAUCAUGUUUUAUUUUCUCGCUCUAGAACCAAACAAAGUGAAACUCCUCAGAGACAAUGGCAAAACAUCAUAUUCUGUUUCCCUGAUUUGGGAUCAACCUGACGAGUACAAGGCUGAAUAUAAAUACAGAAUACUAACAGCAAAUUCAAUAUCUGUCGUGAUAAAUGAAAUUAUUGUGACAAAUCAAACUGUUAAUAUAACUAAUCUGACACCUGGGGAGACAUAUACAUUCACUGUAUUUACAAGAGCGGCUGAUAAUGUCACUGAAAGUCAAUCUGUCUCAUUAACAACCUGCACAGGUGAGUACAGACUGACCUCUUUAGGGGGAGAAUUGUGGAUAUGGUCAUUAUAGCAGGUAAAGAGACUUAAAGUGUAUUGAAAAUAUGGUUUGAGAAUUUUCUCUCUCUUUCUUUUCUAUCCUAUUUUUCCUUUCGAUUUGUGUGAUUUCUAUUCUGAUUUUUUUCAGUUCCGGGUCUGGCUCAGAAUAUCACAGGAAAUAAUAAGAAUACUACUAAUUCACUCAGUGUGAACUGGACAAUACCAGCAGGGAAAGUGGAUAAUUACACAGUCACUCUGAGUGGAGACGUCAAUAAAAUAAUCACAACUAAUUCUACACAAGUGGAUUUCACAGACUUACUGCCAGGCAGAAACUACUCCAUCACUAUACAGACAGUUAGUAGUAACUGCAGCCAGUCAGCAGCUCCAGUGAUAGAGGCAACAUGUGAGUAUGAUGGGAUCAUUGGGACAGAGCUAUUUGCUUAUAUGCAAAUCAUACACAUUAAAUAAAAUGUAGUGACACAAAUUAAGAUAUUCUAUCAUCUGUUUUCUGAUAUUAUUGGAUUAUUUUCAGAUGUUGGUUAUAAAAAUCUUUGUAUACUUUUUUUUCUUCUUCUUUCAUAGAUCCGACCCCUCCAGCGUCCUUAAGCUUUACAAAUAUUGGAACAAACUACAUUUCAUUGUCCUGGGGAGAACCAGUAAAUAUGACCAAUGUGACAAAGUCUUUCAAGAUAAUUUACAGUAAUUCUUCAUCCUCUUGGACUGUGACAGUAAACACAUUAAAUGCCACACUUCAGAACCUCACAUCUGGGACUAAUUACACAAUUACUGUAGUAACAGUUGGUGCUCGGCAGUAUCAGAGUUCUCCUGUGACCAUAUCAGCGUUCACAAGUAGGUUUUCACAGUGAUUUAUUUAUGUUUGACACUGCACUAGGUCCAGUUGAGCCGAUGCACCCCCCAGUAUACUCACACAUAACAUAUCAAUCAUUCACAUACCUAUAUUUAGCCACUCACGCAACAGUUUUGUCAUACAUUCACAACUAAACAAGAUACAAAGAUAAACAUACAAGUUUGGUCUUGCUGUUUUAUACAAAAUGCUGAAAUAGACAAGCACACACAGACAUGCACACACACAAAAAUUCAGACACACAAAGAUUACCUAUUCUCACCCACCCCCUUGUUUCCUUCUCAUAUCCCACAUUUUAUCACCCCUUCCUCCCAUCUCUCUCUGUCUUGGUUGCUGCAGUGACAUGGUGCUAUUUGCAUACGAGAAAUAUUGCAUAGCUUCACAGAAGACUCAUCCUACAUUUUCCAUUCACGAGUGUCACCUAUUACUGCUCAUGUCUAGAGUCAGUAUUCCCAGGAAUUGUAUAGCUUGACCACAGCUAUAAAGGCACAACCCUUCUCUUCCCCCUUUAGCAUACAGUUCUAAACCUCAGCAUCAAGGAACAUUCUGAGCAUCAAAACAACUUAAAUGCAUCUCGUAUCAUCUGGCAUUAAUAGUAUUGUGUAUCUGUUGCAUGUGCAAAUGUAUACAGUUUUUGCAGAAAAACUGAAAUAUUUUGUAUCAUUCUGCACUGUUAGAAAACAGGUUGCACCAAAUAACUACACAGUACUGGUAUUGCUAAGGAAUACAGUUUGAUGCAAGUAGUAGUAACUGGAAUCUAUAAUUACAAAGAAUGCCCUCGAAAAACCAUAAGAAAGUCAAACAAGGAACCGUCUGUAGGUUUGAUUGUAUCUGCUUCUGACAAUAUAAUCCUUGUCACAGGGUAUUAGGUGAAGAAUCAGAACAAGGUCUUUGUAGCGACACUGGUACGUCUUACAUUAUCUUCACAGCAUAUGCAUCUCACAUGGAAUACAUAAAAAGGGGAUCUCAAUAGAACAAACCCAGUGUGUAUAUAAAAAGAGAAUAAAAUGCACUCACAAACAAAGAGCUUCCAAUUCAGCUCUUAGUAAGAUCUUAAAGUUGAAUAAUCCCUGCUCACGGAUAUAAUUUGUAAAGGGUGUUCCUCUGUAUUUUCCAAGGGUGUAUAGUAAAAGAUAGAAAUAAGGAGAAUAGUGCUCUCUGUAUUGGAAGAUAAAAUAUGUAAGUAAAAUAAAUUGUACUCACAUUUAAAGGAGCAUAUACGUGCUUGUUGGAAUCAGCGUGGGUGGUACAAUCCCCACCUGGAAUAUGUAAGUUGAUAAAAUGCAGCACUGUCAGCAGGUAUUUUUCAAAAAUUAUAAAAUAAUGAAAGAUAAAAUGAAAUAAAAAGUGGGACCAGAUAAAAUUAAAUAUGUUGAAUGGUAAAAUUCACUUUAAUGAAAAUUUUAAAUUACAUUGUUGUUUUUUUAAAUAAAAAAAAUAUUACCAAACAAAUAUUAAACGAUAAAUGCAUAAAAUGCUUAACAAUCGGUUAAAAUCACAACACAUUUGGCAGAGAUGGCUUUUUUAAGUGACGAAGCUAUCUGGGCGAAACGCGUUGUGAUUUUAGCAGAUUGUUACGUUUUUUGUUUUAAUUCAAAAAAUUUUUUAACAAUAAUAAUUUCAUUUUAAAUUUUAAUUAAAGUGGAUUUUACCAUUCAAUAUUCAGUUUGGCUGGCUAUUCUGGUUUAAGAUUUGAAAGUUACUUUGAAUUCCCCAAAGAUCUGUGCAGGUUUAGAGUAUUUAAACAGUGUUUCACUUUGAGAUGAAUACCGAUAGCUGAAUUGCCGUUACGCCCAACUGCAGGCCUUGUCUGCAAGAUAGAAGCUCAAUUCGCCAGUUGCCAGCAUGCAAUGCUGUCUGUCGACAGACGUAUUUUAUGCACAGUAUUGACAUUAGGCAGCCCGGGUGUAACUAGCACUAAAGUACGGAGAUCUCAGUAUGUGCAGUGCUGCAGAAAUGCUGCACAUACACACUCCUACAACCAUGACCACUUCAAAUCACCAAAAUACUAAGGGUGGCUGGGCUUUUAUUGUUGGUCUUCUUUAAUCUAUUGUACAGUGCUGCAGAAUAUGUUGGCGCUAUAUAAAUAAUUGUAAUUGUCAUGAACUUGAAAGAAAAUCACGUUUUAUUUUCUCGCUCUAGAACCAAACGCAGUGAAACUCCUCAGAGACAAUGGCAAAACAUCAUAUUCUGUUUCCCUGAUUUGGGAUCCACCUGAUGAGUACAAGGCUGAAUAUAAAUACAGAAUACUAACAGCAAAUGCAUCGUCUGCAGUGAUAAAUGAAAUUAUUGUGACAAGUCAAACUGUUAAUAUAACUAAUCUGAUACCUGGGGAGACAUAUACAUUCACUGUAUUUACAAGAGCGGCUGAUAAUGUCACUGAAAGUCAAUCUGUCUCAUAUACAACCUGCACAGGUGAGUACAGACUGACCUCUCUAGGGGGAAAAUAGUGGAUAUGGUCAUAAUAUCAGGUAAAAAAGACUUGGUAAGAGCAGGUAAAAGUGUAUUGAAAAUAUGGUAAAAAUGUGAAGUUUCCUCCCUUCUUCCCUCUCUCUCACUCUCUAUGCCUCUUUUCCUUUCUGCCUGUUAUUUGGUAUUUUAAACUGACAAAGUGGGGACAAUCUGUUAGCCUCCCCCACCCCUCCCCAGCCCCCACCAGCAGCUAAAGAGUUAAAAAAAACCUUUGCUCACUUACCCGAUUACAGCACUGAUGUCAUCAAUGGGGGAGGGGGCUAAUGCGCGGCGAGUGCCGCAAGCGCACAAAGCCCUCCCAAUAGUAAACUAUUGCUUCAAUUCUUUCCUAGGUGGGGAUUUCACUGAUGCUGGAUGUCCUCAUGCAGAGCGUGAGGAUGUCCAGUGUCAUUUAGAGGACCUAGAGUCCAGUAGCAUCCACAAAGUGCCUCUUGUGACUGUCUGACUGACAUCCACUGGAGGCAGUCUUAGUCCUGCAAAAUAUUUAUUACAGUUUCUCAACAACUGCAAUGAUUUACAUUGCAGGAUUACGUAGGAUAGAGACAUUGCACCCAGACCAGAAGUGUCCCUUUAAUAAGUUAAACAAGUUGACCAUUUUGAGGCAAUUCAGUUUACAAGUGUAAUUUAGCCACAAGAUGUCACCAAAGGAUUACUUUUUAAAACUAAUUUUACCAUAAAUGUUUGAUAGAAUUUCUCUAGCCACAAAAAUGAAAAAUAUUUGAGAUUUUGAGUUAUAAAAUAUUCUACCGAGGAAAUUCUUCAGGAAACUACUAUAUAACUAAAAAAAAAAACUAACACAAAAAACACAUUAAAUAAAAUCAAGAAAAACAGAUACAGACACAUAUCUGGCACAUAAUCUUUGAUGACCACACUUACACACACUCACAUACACCCAGAAACACACUCAUACAAACACUGACACACAUACAUUGGCACAUAAUCACAAAAGCAAACAUUCUAACUGACAUACACUGGCACACAUACAUAAGCACUGUGACCCAUGCAAACACACUGACAUAAACACUGGCACACACACUCACAUAAACUCUUUAACACACACUGCAACACAUUUAUCUACACUGACACAUGCACACAUUGAUGUAUAUUGACACACACACAGUGCUCCAUGCAAACAAUGGCAUGCACACACUCACAUAAACUCAUAAAACACACUGACACACAUUGAUCAGUACCAACACAUACAUUGAUCCAUAUUGACACAAACACACACACACAGUGAAUAAUACAAACACUGGCACACACUCAUUAGCACACACUGGCACACUCUCACAUACACUCAUUAACACACACUUUCACAUAUUGAUCCAUAUUGACACACGCAUUGAUCCAUAUUAACACACAGUGACUCUAAAAACACUGGCACACAUACUCACAUACACUUAUUAACACACUCUGGCACACAUUGAUACUUAUCGACACACACAUUGAUCCAUAUUAACACACAGUGACCCUAAAAACACCAGCACACACACUCACAUACAUUUAUUAACACACACUGGCACACAUUGAUCCAUAUUGGCACACACAUUGAUCCAUAUUGACACACAAACACAGUGACCCAUAAAACACAGAUACAGUCAUUCACACACACUGGCACACAUUUCUCCAUACUGAUACACACAUUGACACAUACAAUUACUGACACUCACAUACAUGCCCAUAAAUUCAUAUACAUACUAGUCAUGUUCUUUCCUCCCUUGCCAGACACUGUGUAACUGCGGUAGUACAGGCUGGUAAUGCCUGUCCUCUGCCGCUCGGUUGACAUCAUUAUCUCGACAGCCUUCAUAUCUGUGACUUCUGCGAGUAGCACCUGGCUCCCACCACUUCUCGCACCUCCCACCGCUCUUUUCAUUUCAUGGUAUCUUAUAAAACUUAAACAUGUCCCUUUUACACUUUGUCAAAAGACAGCUUGAAGCAUCUCCCUCUGUAUCAUCAGAACAAUAAUUCUCAGCUGCAGCACAAAUCUCUUGUAUGCUGGAACUCAGGAGUCAGUUAUUGCUCUGCUAUUAAAAUAACGUCAAAAUGUGAAAUAUAAAGCAUAGAUUGUUAUUAAUAUUCAUUUUCUUCCAUGUAACCUGGUACAAAAUAUGUAUUGAUUUUACAAAAGAAAAACAUCCUAUCUUUUCAUUUCAGUUCCAGGGACUGUGUCUUCUUUCAGUUGUUCUUCCAUAUAUUUGGAGAAAUCCCUGUCAUUCACAUGGACAUGUCCUGCCGGAGUGUAUACCUCCUUCACUCUCAGUCUAUACAACACAAGUAACAGCAUCUUAAGUACCACCGUUACUGUUAAUCAGAACUGUAUGAAUGACACACAGACUUAUAUUCAGCCAGGCUUGCAAUAUUACACUAAUUACACUGCUAAUAUAUCAACUUCCAUGCAGUCGUGCAGCCAAACAAGUGAUGACGUCAUGAUUGCCAACUGUUUAACUUCCAUAGGACGUAAGUAACAAUAAUUAACGCGCUUAUAGUAUAGACUUUCCCUCUGAGCUAUCAGUUCCUAAUUGAUGAGGGCUGACAUUUUACCUUCUUGACCACCAUUGGUAUAAACAAUUUGAUAUAUUACAAAACUAUAAGAUUAUUUUAAAAAGUAUAAGUAGAGGCAUAAUCAUGUGUUGAUAUAUUACAUAAAGAUGUAUUGUAUAUGAAUUAUAAACUCUUUACUAAAGGAUUAUUCAGAUUAAAUACAUCUGUUUAUAUAGAGUGAAGUAGUUUCAUGAUAUACAUUUAUGUUUUGUAAUAUUGUAUCUGCUUUGUCUUUGCAAAAAAUGCUUAAUAUUAUAAUUAUUAUUAUUAUUAUUGUCAUUUAUAUAGCGCCAACAGAUUCUGUAGUGCUUUACAAUAUUAUAAGAGGGGGGAUUUAACUGUAAAUAGGAAAAUUACAAGAAGACUUAAAGGAACGAUAGGCUGAAGAGGACCCUGCUCAAACGAGCUUAAAGUCUAUAGGAGGUGGGGUGUAAAACACAAUAGGACAGGGAAAAGCAAUCAAAAUAGGUGGGAGUGAAGCAGAGCUGGAGGAGAGAGUAGAGUGCUGCCCUUCAGCAGAGAGCAAGAGACAGUUAUGUGAGGUAGAGGUUACUUUGGGAGGCCAUAAGCUUUUCUAAAAAGAUGGGUUUUAAGGCACUUCUUAAACGAUUGAAGACUAGGGGAGAGUCUGAUGGUGGUAAGCAGGCUAUUCCAUAGGAAGGGAAGUCCUGCAAGUGUGAGUUGGCUGUAUGGAUGCCAGUAGCGGACAGGAGGAGGUCAUGGGCAAAGCAGAGAGACCGAGAAGGGGCAUACCUAUGGAUCUGUGAUAAGAUAUAAGAGGAGCUAGAAUUGUUCAGUGCUUUAUAAGUAUGGGUUAGCAUUUAGAAUUGACUCCUAUAGGAAGGAAGCCAAUGUAAGGUCUGACAAAGGGGUGAGGUGUGAGAGGACCAACUAGAGAGGAAAAUCAGUCUGGCGACAGCAUUCAUUACAGACUGUAGCGGGGCAAUAGGGUUUUUGGGAAGACCAUUUAGGAAAUGGUUACAAUUAUCCAUGCAGGAAAUUACUAGAGCAUGAACAAGCUGUUUGGUACCAUCUUGUGCAAAAAAGGGGCGAAUGCGGCUAUGUUUCUAAGAAGGAAUCUACAGAAUUUGGUAACAUGCUGGAUGUGAGGCUCAAAGGUGAGGUUAGAAUCAAAUAUGACACCAAGACAGCGCGCUUGCAAGGAUGGACUGAUGUGGAUACCACUGACUUGAAGGGAGAGCAAAAGAAGAGUUCAGUAUUAGGAGCAGUGUUAUUUUGGAUUUGUGCUGCCCUAGGCAUGACUAGAUUCGGGCACCCCCAAAAUCUAAAUUUGCCCCCGCAAUUCGUGUCAAGGCCACUUUUCUGACUGACAGACACAUGCCCUAAUUGAUACAUGCACUGAUAUACACUCAUGGACAGAUACACAGUUAUUGGCACACACUGUUUAACCAACACACACUUUCACUGACAGACACACACUGACACACCCACUCACUGACAGGCACACACUCUCAGAUACACAUAAAAUGACAUACACACACUGACACAUACUCACAGGCACACCCAUUCUCACUGAAAGACACACACACUUUCACUCGCUCACAGACACACACUGACAGCUACACUCAAUCACAGUAAGUUGGACAGCUCCAGAACAAGAGGCAAACAAGGCAUUUGUCUGGGAGCUUGGGGUGGAGUUUUUUGGUGCCCCCCCUUGAAAGUGCUGCCCUUGGCAAAUGCCUUGUUUGCCUUGUGGUAAAUACAUCCCUGAUUAGGAUGAGGAAAAACAAGGAGUUCAGUUUUAGUGAGAGUUAGUUUUAGAAAGUGGGGGGACAUCCGGUCAGAGAUGUAGGAAAGGCAAGCAGUGACAUGUUGCAGGACGGCAGGGCAGAGGUCUGGGGAGGAGAGAUAUAGCUGGGUGUCAUCAGUGUAAAGGUGGUAGUGGAAUCCAAAUGAGGCAAAAAGUAUACAAAGAGAGGCAGUAUAAAGAGAAAAUAGAAGGGGACCAAGGACAGAGCCUUGGGGGACUCCAACAGAGACAGGAUGAAUGGAGGAGAUAUCAUUAAAAAAAGAUACACAGAAUGAGCAUUGUGAGAGAUAGGAGGUAAACCACGAGAGGACAGCGUCACAGAGACGAGUGAUUGAAGUGUUUGAAGAAGGAGAGCAUAAUCAACAGUGUCAAAGGCAGCAGAGAGGUCAAUAUGUAUUAGUAUGGAGUAGUGGCCUUUAGAUUUAGCUGCAAUUAGGUCAAUAGUAACUUUGAUAAGAGCAGUCUCAGUGGAGCGGAGGGGGCGGAAGCCAGAUUGAAGAGGUUCAAGGAGAGAGUUGGAAUUGAGAAAGUGAGACAUACGGAUAAAGACAAGUCUUUUCAGAAGCUUUGAGGAAAAAGGGAGCAGGCAUAUACGAUGCUAGUUAGAGGGGGUGGACCGGUCAAGGGAGGUUGCCAAAACAGGGCGAAGAAGAGAGUUAAAGGUGUCAAAGAGAUGCCUGGGAUUGCGGGAGCAUGAAUUAAUGAGAGAGGGGGGGUGUCCUCCUCGAGGUGCAUGUUUGAAGCAGGGCUGCAGUGUUCAAGGCAGAGGUGAGGGUAGUGUUAUAUGUGGAGAUGGCCAGUAAGGGAGAGGAGAGGGAAGGGAUGGAUAGGGGUUGCGAAUCAAUAUCAGCUGACAGCUGCUGGAGGUCAAUAUAAUUAAGGUUCCUCCUGAGUUGAGGGGAGUUAGGCUUAGGUUGUUGGGUGAGAGGGUACUCGAGAGCAAAUGAUAAGAGGUGGUGAUCAGAGAGAAGAAAUUGAGUAUUGGAGAUAUUAGAUACUGUACAUGCAUAAGAGAAAAUGAGGUUGAGGGUAUUGCCAGCUACAUGGGUGGGAGAAUUAGCCCACUGCGAUAGCCCAAGGGAGAAAGUAAUUGAAAGUAGUUUAGAGGCUGCUGAGGUCAGGGGUGGGUUAAUGGGAAUAUUGAAGCCCCCGAGAAAUAGGGAUGGUAUGUUAGAGGAGAGGAAGUAGGGUAGCCAGGCAGUGAUGUGGUCAAGGAAGAGGAGAAGGGUAACCAGGGGGGCUGUAAAUAACAGCAAUGUUAGCAGAGAUGGGUUUGAAUAAGCAAAUUGAGUGAACUUCAAAGGAGGGGAGAGAGAGGGAAGGGGGGGGGGGGGGAUAGAGUUUUGAAGGAGCAGUGAGGGGAAAGGAGAAACCCUACACCACCACCUUUACUGUCAGACUGUAUUGGGUUGUGUGUAAACUGUAGAUCACCAUAGUUUAAUGAGGCAGGGGGAAUGUGUCAGAAGGAGAGAGCCAAGUUUCAGUUAAAGCAAGUAAGUUAAGGGAGCGUGAGAGGAAUACAUCAUGGAUGGAAGUAGAUUUAGUUUGGUUGCACACAGAGCGUGCAUUCCAAAGGGCAGAAUGGAAGGAGGGUUUAAAGGGAGAAAUACAUGGGAUGGAUAUAAGAUUGGAGAGGUUUCUAGGGUGGACACAAGGUAGGUGGGUAGAUACAGGACCAGGGUUUGGAGAGACAUCGCCAGCUGCCAGGAGUAGAAGUGUAGUCCUUGGUCCCCUACUGUUCUCUAUAUAUACUGCCUUUCUUGGUAAACUCAUUAGCUCCUUUGGCUUCCAAUAUCCUUUCUAUGCGGAUGACAUCAUGCAAACCUACCUGUCCUCUCCUGAUCUCUCCCCGCCCCUCUUGACUAGUGUCUCUGACUGCCUCUCUGCAAUUUCUAACUGGAUGGCUGACCACUUCCUUAAACUCAACUUGACCAAAACGGAAAUUCUAGUCUUUCCUCCCUCAAAUGUUGCUACUCUUGUGUCUGUCUUCCUCCAAGUCAACGGUGCUACCAUCAGCUCCACCACGCAGGCUCGCUGCCUAGGUGUUCUAUUUUGUUAUAGAGGAGGAAAUUAUAAAGGCAGCUAGCACUGUAGGAGAGUGUGGCGGUAUUACAUGUGAGGAGAAGAUAAUAUACAUGAUUGGUGUGUUUGGAAAACAAGGUGAUUUGAACUAUCUAUAAAUGUAGUGAAAACCAUGGGGAUGGUGGGAAAUACUACCUCAGCAUAAGGCUUUAGUGCUGCAAGACUGGCUGGCUGUGAGUCUGUUGGGCUCUGAUUGAAAUAGAAAUUCUGGGUUUAGAUAAAAAACAUAAAUUGUGGGUGGAGAUAUAUAUGCAGGCACUGGCGUACAUACUGUGGUCGCAGCUGCAACCGGGUUUGUGUGCCAGUUUGUCAGCCUCUUCUCCUGGGGGGCCCACUCUCCCAUGAGCGCUCUCUGCCCAUCUCCUUGCGCACCGCAGUGAUGCUGGAGCCGGAAUAUGACGUCAUUCCGGCUCCGGGAUCAGUACACGGCACGCAAGGGAGCUGAACAGGAGGCUCAGUGCUCCCUCGCCGCCUGCAGGACCGGCCGCCCAGCAGCCCCACUGGACCCCAGGGAAUCCCCUCAGCACACCCAAAGGAAAGGAGGCCGGGGGAUUAAAUUUAAAAAACAUGUUUGUGUCUGUGUAUGUGUGUUAGUGUUAGAGUGGGUGUGUGUGUUAGUGUUAGUUUUUGUGUGUCAGUGUGUGUCUGCUAGUGAGUGUCAGUGAGUGUUAGUUUUUGUGUAUUUUACUGUGUGUGUUUGUGUGUGUCUGUUAUUGAGUGUGUGUUAGUUUGUGUGUAAGUGAGUAUGUGUGUCAGUGAGUGUGUUACUGUGUGUGUCUGUUACUGUGUGAGUUAGUUUGUGUGUGUCUGUUAGUGUGUGUGUCUGUUAGUGAGUCUGUUUGGUGUCUGUUAGUGAGUUUGUGUUUGUCGGUGAGAGUGUAUGUUUUGUAAGUGAGUGUGUAUGUGUGUCUGUCUGUCAGUGAGUGUGUAUGUAUGUCUGUCAUUGAGUGUGUCUCUGUCAGUAAAUGUGUGUCUGUUAGCUAGUGUGUAUGCGUCUGUUCGUGAGAGUGUGUGUGUAUUUAAGCACUUACCUUUCUCCAGCGCCGUACUCCCUUGGCGCUGGGAAACCUCCGCCCGAUCCGCCUCUCAGCUCCGAAUACGCAUGCGCGGCAAGAGCUGCGCGCGCAUUCAAACCGCCCAAAGGAAAGCAUUACUCAAUGCUUUCCUAUGGACGUCCAGCGUCUUCUCACUGUGAUUUUUACAGUGAGAAUCGUGGAAGCGCCUCUAGCGGCUGUCAGUGAGACAGCCACUAGAGGCUGGAUUAACCCUCAGUGAAACAUAGCAGGUUUUUCUGAAACUGCUAUGUUUUUAGCUGCAGGGUUAAAACUAGAGGGACCUGGCACCCAGACCACUUCAUUGAGCCGAAGUGGUCUGAGUGCCUAUAGUGGUCCUGUAAGUGUGUGUAUCUGCAUGCACUGGCAGGCACACUGUGGUCGCAGGCAGGGCCGCCAUCAGAAAUUUUGGGGCCCCUGACAAAGCACAAGGUCUGGGCCCUCCCCCCCGGGCCCGCCCACGCCCUACCUAGUCCGCUGACAAUGAUGCAGGACUGAAUGUGGUGUGUAUAGUGGAAGUGAAUUAGAAUGCGUGUAAUGGAUGUAGUGUUUGUGUGUAUUAUGUGUGUGUUGUGUUAGUGUAUGCAGUGUGUGUGUGUUGUGUUAGUGUAUGCGUUGUGUUAGUGUAUGCAGUGUUUGUAAAUGUGCAAUCUGGGGGUGGAGGAAGGGAGGGGCAUUUUCACAUUAAUUUUUGAAUUUUAUAUUAAAUGUAUUAAAUGUUUCUCCCCCUCCCUGCUUCUUACCUGAGUCCAGGGAGGGGGGAGAUUCCAUCCCUGGUGGUCUGGUGGCACAGUGGAGCCCCCAGCUCCCUGUUACCGCAGAGGGGGCCCAGCACACUGUCUCUACUUUUCUAUUCUCCUCUCUUCUAAUAACUCUCAUGAGACUCGCGGUCUGCGUACCGCGCGGAGCAUUGCCAUGGCAACGCUCAGAAGGCCGCGGGUCUCGCAAGCGUUAUUAGAAGAGAGAAGAGUAGAGGCAGUGUGCUGGGCCCCCUCUGCGGUAACAGGGAGCCGGGGGCCCGCAGCUGCACACAUAGCGAUAUUCGCUAUCUAUGUGUGCAGAAAGGGAAAGUGGGGCUCGGGACUGCCAGAGCAGUCCAGGACCGCCGGGCCCAUGACAACCAUCAUGGUUGUCACCCCCUGAUGGCGGCCCUGGUCGCAGGUAUCGCAGCCCUGCGACCAGGUGCCCGCCGCCAUGUGUUGCGGCCUCGGACCGCGCAGAGUAAGUGCAGGGGGGUGGGAGGGCCCACAGAUCAAUUUUCGCAGUGGGGCCCCAUGGGUCAUGUGUACGCCACUGUAUGCAGGUAUAUAAGUGAAAGAGGGCAAUUAAGGGAUGAAAGCAGAAGAGAGGAAAUGUGGGAUUCAGAGAUAGGAGGGCAUGGUAGAGUUCCAAUAUGUGAAAAUAACAAAUGUUGUACUUAAAUUAACAGGACUAUAAAUUAACAGGACAAUAAGUUCAAUAACCAAACUAACAAAAAAUAAAUAAAUACAUUUUAAGUUAUCAGUUAAGCAAAUAGACUGUAGGGGGGACAAAUAGGACAGCAAAAGUAAAUGAAACAUGACUAAAAGUGCAUAUAUUCUUGUGGAAAUUAUCCAGAAAUGCUACCUCAGCAUAAGGCUUCAGCCUGCGAGCCGUGCUGGCUGUGAGUCCUGGGCAACCUUCAAAUGUGUCUGUUGGGCUUUGACUCAGCAUAAGGCUUUAGUGCAGCAAGACGUGCUAGCUUCUCUGUCUAUCUAUCUGUCUGUCUGUCUUUCUCUAUCUCUCUCUCUCUUCCUACCUAUCUACAAGGAGUUGGACACUAAAAAAACAAAUUCAUUGAAAAAAAGUAUUCACCAACACACCUCAAGAAGACAUUGGAAAUCGUCACUUGUAAACCCAGAAAUGACCGCUUAGCAUACAAACCAAAAAACAAGGAAGAUUCUAUAUAUAUAUUUAUGUCUGUCAUAUUUAAUUUUAAUAAUAAAAGCAAAACUUCGGACCCCAAUACAAAGUCAAAAACUAUGCACUUAAUAUCCAAUAAUACUGAAAUCCUACGCUAUAAAAGACCUGAUAUGCUGCAAAUCCAAAAAUUUGAUAUAUUUACUUGAGUGCCCAUGCGGCUUACAAUAUGUGGGCAUGACUUCAAGAUGCUUAAAAACUAGACAGACGGAGGAGCAUUGUCAUGAUAUUAUAAAAGGAUACCCUAAUCACUCUGUAUCUAAGCAUUUUUUUUUUUAAAACAUGGGAAAAAUCCCAAAUAUCUAAAGUGCACAGGGAUCCAAAAAUACAAACUCCUUUGGAGAGGUGGAGAUUUAAAAAAAAACUUUAGGUAAAAAAGAAAUGUAUUGGGUGUUCCUUUUAAAAACCCUUGCCCCAGAAGGUUUAAAUGCAGACUUCUAUCUUUUUAAUUUUUUAUAACUUAUUGUACAAUUUUAUUUUCACUUACCAAUAAUUUAUCAUUACUUCUUAUUUUAUUUUAUUUGUUUUACUAUUGUAAUAUACGUAUUUUUGUACAUGCAAAUAUUUGUAGCUUGUAUUAUGAUGUAUUGCACUUUAUUAUGCAACAGUUUUCCCUCCUGUCUUCCCCCCUUUAGUUAAUUUCACCAGUCUAUUAUAAUAUUUGCUUAUAUAUUCUUAAUCUAUUAGCCUUUUCACGGCUGAAAACCACGCCCCUUUUAUCACACAGCUUUACACUACGUUUCCCAUAAUUCCCCUAAAUGGUCAACGGCCAAUAACCACGCCCCCUUUUCCUCGCGCAGCAAGGUAUGCUCAUACUACAUUUCCCACCAUUCUACUCAAGGCCAAUGGCUGAAUACCACACCCUUUCCCUCCUCCCACCCAGCAGAUAAUGUCCGAUACCACAUAUCCCAAACUACAUAGCGGCACGUCCCGGUUUCCACUAUGGCCGCUGAUCAUGUGAUUUCUUUUAACAUAAUUUCUAACCAAGUUAAAACCUUAAUUUUCACUCCAAAAAUGAACUACAAGUCCUACAUAACCCACACUAUUCAUAUGUAUAACUCUUUUUACAAUUUUAAUAUGUUUAUUUUAUACCUAUGAUGUCAUUUGGGCACCAAAAUUUGUAAUUGUUUUAUUACCUGUCUCCUAUAUAUACCAAACCCUACCAGGCAUGUCUUUUUUUUUUAUCUCCACUUGAGAAAGCCAUAUAGGCGAAACGCGUUGUGGAUAGGCCGUUGGUUAUCCUCCUUGCAAGUUGUGCAUUUGCACUCUUCUUUCUUCUUUUUUUCUGCUAUUGAUUGUGAUCUGUUACCAUCAUCAUUGUUAUUGGACUCUUUCAUAUAUUUUUGAUAUUUUAUGAUUUUCAUAUUACUUCCAUUAUCUUUCUAUAUAGUUUGUUAUUUGGCGCAACCUUUUUUCUAUUUAUCUUGUCUAUUACAUUUGUCAGUGGGGCUUAGAGGGAGCCCUACCUCAGUUUUGCUGCCCAUUAUAUCAUUUUAUAGUUUUGGUUUCUUUAGCAAUGUUCCCCCUCCCCAUGUACCCUCCCCUGCAAUUUUUACUCCACAAUUGUUAAUGUCCUAAAAAUCUAACAAUCCAAAAUCUUUGAGAAUAUCUACAUUCUGCAUCUGAAAAAUUUACAUAUUUCCUCCCUAUUACACUGCACAUUGAAUUACACAUAGAUUCAGGUAUAUAUGUACAAAGUACUAAAUGCACACUUCAUACCCCAUGCCCUUACAGUAGGGUAUCUGUCAGUGGGUUUUGUUAUAGACAUUCCGUCCUGUUGUGUGUGUUUUUUUUUUUUUUUUUUUUCCGUUCUCAAGGUUAUCAAUCAGGCUUUCUAUGCCACAAUAGCAAACACAAUACAUUUCAAAAGACAGUGCACUAUGGCAUGUGAGCACUAUUUUUUUGUUUUUUAGAGAUGUUAAACAGUUUAGAUCAGGAUGAUCAGGAUGUGUCAGUAAAUGAGUAAGCAAAAGGAAAAAUGGAAACAUGCUUUGUAGACUGACACUGGGGUGAGAAAAUAGACUUGUGUUAAAGACAGUACAGGUAGAAUCGAUAUAACUGUAGAUUAUUAUUCCCCUAGGAGGCAGUGGUGGACACAUACAUUUAAGCCAUGAGUCCCAAUAAUCCCAUCACGCAGCCCCACUCAGCGGAUGCCCUCAAGUGGUAGGGUGCUGUUGUGUGUUUUAAAACUGACUCUCCCUUUACUUUGUGCUUACAUAUCACCAAGACAAAAAUAUGUCUUACCAGCUAACCCUUGUCUUUAAUACUAUAACAGCUUUAAGCAACAAUCGCUUUGCUUAUAAACCUGUCCCAUUCUACCUAUGUUUUGGAACCAAAUCUAGGUGCACUGUUUAGUGAAUAUGCUCAUUAACUUGAAUAUGAUACCCAAACUUGAGCUCACUAUAUUCUUCACAAAACAUGAGUCGCUACAGCUCACACUCGUUUGCUUAGAUGGUUUGCAGUGUGUCUCUCGAAGGUGGUAGUUUAUGACAAACAGUACAAUUCUUUGUAUAUAUUCUCUCCAGAUAAAGUUCUAACCUGAGGGUUUUACUAAAAAUCAGUGCUACAUUGGGGUGGGCUAACCAUGUAUUUUUUAUAUUUGCAGCACCAAUACAGAUAAAUACUACAGAUUAUUCCAUAACUGGACCUCCUACAUUUAAUCAAUUUGAUUGUACUUUCAAUGAAUUUGAUGCCAGCAAUGGACGCAUAACGCACUAUGCCGUUAUCGUUACUACACAAAAUGGUAAGAUAUACUUACGUUGAAUUAUUGGAUUGCUACAAUGUUAAUUGUGUUUUCUAUAGGUAUACUUUGUAAUAUUGUGAACAUAUAUAUAACUUUGUCUAGGACUAUGUUAGUCAAGUAUAUGUUCACUAGCUGGCCUGAUGACUCAGUGUCUUGAGCACCACUAGCUUAAAGGCUAUUGAAAAAGUUUCAUAUAUUAGUAAAUAUUUCAAAUGUUUUAUAGUCUUAUUACUUUAACUUCAGAAUCGUGUACAAUUCCACUACACUCACUACAUUAAAAUUGGUACGAUGUUGCUGUAGGCUAAGUUACUCUUUUCUUUUUGAGAAUUUGAAUCAAAGUAGUUGUGAUUUUUCAAACAUUUAAAGCACUUUUGAAAUAGUUUAUUUUAUACAGUCAUAACAUCAUUGCUAAAUGUUUCGCUGUUCAAUAAAGGUGACAUCAUUACAUGGCAUUAAAACAUGUAAGGUUUGAUUUAAGAGGAGGCUAAGAUACGGUUUGUUGUAUACUGACUUAACCUAACACAGUGGGGAUAACUAUAUAAAAGUUCUCUUUCGUGGGUUGAGUAGUAAUUCUGACCAUAGACCACACAGGUUAGUGAUAGUUAGUGUUUGUUCACCAUCUCUGGCAAGCCCUCAGCAUCUCAAAAAUACACCAUGAGGGGGUGUGGGCGAUUGAGUAACUGAAUAGACACAUGUUCGCAGAGCUCCACACAUACUCUGUAAUAAAAAUUGAAUUAUUCUACUUACGAGCUUAGCAGAGACCUCUGCUAUACUUCACCCCCCAGAUGACAUUAUAGGGCGCAAGCACAGAAAAAAAUCCCACCAGGGAGCCCUAAAAUGCCUGAUAUUAGGCUUUCAUUUGAGUGGUCUACACCGCAAGUACCCCCCAAGAUGGCGCCUGAGACAAGUGUUGAGGAAGAAGCCUCAGUUGAGUCCCAGGAGGAUGUGGAGACACUCACCUCAUCCCGACAGGGCACGGUUAAUCAGGAGAUUGACUCCGAAGAAGACCCAUCUCCCUCCACGAAGGGGGAUAUUACCAGAGGAUCAGAAGGGAGGGGCUGCUACCCUACAUCCAGAGGCUUAUCGCAUCUGUGGGUCUUAAAGAAGGGGCAAAUCCCUCUACGCUGUUCUCGGUGUCCAGAGUACGUAAAUCCGCAAUCAUGCCUGAUCCAGGGCACUGGGAUCAGUAAAAUUCAAAGGAAGCUCGGUGACACUGUUUGGAGACCUUUCAUUUAAUGUCCUUCUGGAGAAACGUAAGCUGGCCUGGUCACUAAAAUGCUACAAGAUCACUCCAUCUGAUACCGCUGGGGAGUGGAUGGCGCUCGAGUGGUCCCACACGGGGACACAGUCCUUACCUUCACCUCAGAGGGAGACCCAGAGACACUCUUACAGCACCACAACCGGGGGUGGCCACGACUCGGAGGGAGGGGAACAUGACACAGAGAGAUCCCAGAGAAGGCAUUUUAAAAUUCCCGACCGAGCUAGCUAAAGUUACAGUAAUCAGACAGUGAUCCCAUACCAAACAUGCUGGUCUUGUGAGUUCUUUGCUCCCUUUCCACUGCCCACAAAGGCUGCAGCUUACCUACAUGACAGCUUUCCCACUGUGCAGUGUAUUACACACAUUAUAGUAUGGCAGCAAGUUUUUUACAGCCUCUAGAAGAAAUAUUGUUCCUAGGCAUCUGUCACGUUGUUUACCCUACGACCAUGUAAUGCCUGCACUCACUGUUGAACUUUAGGUUUAACAUUUCUUAUCUUCAUUUGUUUGUUACUAUUUUCAUGUUAUGCACAUCUAAUGUAUACCUGAGUAUGUGAAAACCAAAUAACAUGCAAAUGGAAAAAAAACAAAAAGAAAUACACUGUGAGAUGGAUUUAAUAAAUUAUGUUUAUCGUAAAUGGUCACAUUACUGUCGAUUCUUACCAACGGUUGCCUAAAAUGGACAUCUUCUAUGAAAAAGGGUAAGACAGGAAAUGCAAAUGAAAUUUGUAAAUUACAUAUACCUAUUGCAAAAUAAUACAGAUUAUAUGUGACAUGUAAUGGUGACAGUUUACUUUUAAAUAAAAACAUAGAUUUUAUUUUUCUAAUAACACAGUUCUUAUUAAUAAUGCAGUUUUUUUUCACACAUCUUGUUUUGUUCCCAUAUUGAAUUCCUCAGUUGCUGGUACCUUUCCAACAAAGGAUAUUCUGUCUAAGACUUACGCUGAUUUUAAAAGCAAGACCACCACUGCUUAUGUAACAAAAAUCAUAGAAAACGGGCAAAAAACUCUAUCAAACAGGGCAACAAGUAAAAAGACUGUGAGAAUUGGAGAUGCAUCUAAAACAUAUGGCUAUACCAAUGAGCCCUUGGAACCCUUAACAACAUACUGGUAAUUACAAAUCUUGUUUCAGACAUAUUGCUAAGUACCUUAUUUUAUAUCAUAAAAAAUGUAGCUUUUGUUAUUGUAGUUAUAUUAGCUCUUCAAAUUGCAUACUUAACAUUUGGAAAAGUGUUCUUUUUUCCAAAUUCUUAUUUUUUCCACCUGGAGGCUCCAUACAAUGGAAAUGUUUUGUUAUGCUUUCAUGACCAAUCUAUGACUAGUUAUCCUGGAGAUUUUUCUUCGUCUUCCUCAUCUUGUAGGGUUAAUCCAUAUCAGGUAGUCCAGCAUGGGUUUCUCGACCAUUUUUAAUUUUCCUAUUUUCAUUUGUAUAACAAAUAGUUUUUAUUAGAGUUUCAAUAAACAAUAAAAAAGAGAAUAAGUGGCAUCAAUUAUCUAAAAAUAUACAAUUUUGCUUUUGUUAAGAGGUAACAAAUAUUUUUAUUACACAUAAAUCUUAGACAUGGAUAGGCGAUAUUGGAUAAACAUAGAUAGAACGAUAAGUCUUCAUGUCAGUAUCCUAUUUUCUUUUUUUUUUGUGAUUACCUCUGUUUAUUUGUUUUGCAACCCCCUUCCCACCCCCAAGUUUUUUAAUUACUCUUAUUUUUAACUCUAUUUAUUGGUAUUGCAAAACCACCAGUGUUUAUUUUUAGAUUACUUGGUUUAACCAUGGUGGCCAUAUUUUAAUCAUGGCAUGUGGCAAAAUUUGGUUAAACAGAUGUUUACAGAAACCUCAAUAUCUCAGCAAACAACAAACUGACCGGUUUAGCCAAUGGGAGUCAAGAGAGCACCAUUUAAACUCCUUAAUUCUUUAAAACUGUUCCCCCUCGAAGAGCUGCCUGACUGGUGAAACGUGGGUCGGGGCUCGGGGAAGUGUUUAGGAAGGCUGUGCAAGUCACAUGCAGGGAGGUGUGACUAGGGUUCAUAAACAAAUGGAUAUAACUCCUAAAUGGCAGAGGAUUGAGCAGUGAGGCUGCAGGGGCAUGUUCUAUACACCAAAACUGCUUCAUUAAGCUAAAGUUUUUUUGGUGACUAUAGUGUCUAUUUAAAUACCCCUUAAGGACACAUGACAUGUGUGACAUGUCAUGAUUCCCUUUUAUUCCAGAAGUUUGGUCCUUAAGGGGUUAAACAUGACUUUCUAUGCUUAUUUCAAGAACAUGUAUAAAUAUGUUAAAUAGAAGAUGUCACAGAAAAGAACCCUGUGGACCCACUUACCAUUUUGUCUAGCUUAAAAAUAUACCAUUAUUGACAACUCUCUGUACUCUAUCUUUAAGCCAAUGUUCUACCCAAGAACGAGAAUUUUCACCUAGGCCAAUUUCUUUUAGUUUUAAUAGUAACCAGAUUGGUUUUCCUAAUAACAAUGUUAUCUUAACUAAUAACACUAACUUUUUAUUUUUUUAUUUUUCUGUCCGUUAAAUUCAGCAUAUAUACAUUGCGAAUAUGUAAAAUUUACUUCUGUUCAUUGCAGAGGUUGGGUUAACUUGCUUUCACUAAAAUGAUUAUUCAUUAAAGGGAGAAUUGUCAUGAUUUUAAAGUGAAUUCAGAGUAAAUUAUAAAUUCACAUACAAGCUAGACAAUUUUGGCCUUACAUUUAAAAUUACUUUGAAUGGCUGACAGUUCUUAUUUUAGUGAAUAAUUCCUGUUAGAAAAUUCAAUAGAAUUCAUUAUUUUGUCAGCAGCACCCAAAUAAUUGCAUAAAAGUGUAGUUUCUCAUAUAUUUACAUGUUUUCUAUAUGUAUUUCAGGGUCGCUGUGGCUGGAUUUACUAACUUUACAACUACCUCUGAUAUUAUUUCAGCAGAAAAAAGUGUAUUUUCAUUUGCUCCUUAUGCAUUGGCAACUACAACCACCCAGAACCCAGGUGGGUCUUUUUGACUAUAAUAUUUGCAGUACAAACAAAACACUCACAGUUCAAAUUGAAUUUAAAAAAUUAUCUUCUUUCUUGAGGCAGUUGAAGUAUACCUUCAAAACAAAUCAGUUUAUUAAUUCUUCAUCUCCGAAGUUGCUUCUAAAUUACCUCAAACUGCGCCGAAUUUAUAAAUAAAUUUUGAAAAAAAAUCACAACAAUGAACAACCUGACUUGUAUCACUGCUUAUUUUAUUAUAUUAAAGGACCACUAUAGGCACCCAGACCACUUCAGCUUAAUGAAGUGGUCUGGGUGCCAGGUCCAGCUAGGGUAACCCUUUUUUCUAUAAACAUAGCAGUUUCAGAGAAACUGCUAUGUUUAUAAAUGGGUUAAUCCAGCCUCUAGUGGCUGUCUCUUGACAGCCGCUAGAGGCGCUUGCGUGCUUCUCACUGUGAUUUUCACAGCGAGAAGAUGCCAGCGUCCAUAGGAAAGCAUUGUAAAUGCUUUCCUAUGAGACUGGCUGAAUGCGCGCGCAGCUCCUGCCGCGCAUGCGCAUUCAGCCAAAGAGGCGGAGAGGAAAGAAGGAGGAGAGCUCCCCACCCGGGGCUGGAGAAAGAGGUAAGUUUAACCCCUUCCUCUCCCCAGAGCCCGGCGGGAGGGGGACCCUGAGGGUGGGGGCACCCUCAGGGCACUAUAGUGCCAGGAAAACAAGUGUUUUCCUGGCAUUAUAGUGGUCCUUUAAUAAUAUAUAUUCUCCAUCUUUGACUACCAUGUAAUAUCAUGUCGUAAAAUAAUUAUUACUAAAAUUCUCUAAGCAUUUUUUUGUGAUCUAUAAAUCUAUUUUAUUCAUGUCAGUAUGCAUAAAUAACGCAUUAUUUGAUAACAAAACAUCAUCUAUACUGUUGGAUGUAGGACACCACUUCCACUGGGGUAUUGUUAUCAACCCCCACCUCCCUUUCCCCCCCAGAUGUCUGAAACCACAGAUAGUGGCCAAUUCUAUGUAUACAUGUAUACAGGUAGCAAGGGUAGAGCACACUAUUAUCGAUAGUAGCAAACAAUAUAUAUAUAUAUAUAUAUAUAUAUAUAUAUAUACACAUGUAUACAAAUUUAUAAAUUGAAUCAAAUCAUUAUGUACAGUAUCAUGGUGAUAAAGUUUAAUUUAUACAUUUGGCACAAUACGACAUUAACACAAAUGACUAAUACUGUAAUAAAAUACUGAUAAUAAACACUCGUCUUACUACUUCUUCGUCAAAAGGAUUACUGCAAAAUACUGCAAUAUAGUGAGACUUGACAAGACCAUACAAGAUUUCAUCACGUGCAAAGAUGAAUUCUUGGCACCACAGUUAGGUGAAAGCAAGAGAAAUUGAGUUUUCCCUGUAUUUAUCCUUAUUUAGCGGACUGUGAAAAAACACAAUUGAGUUACAGAAUAAUGGCGUAAAACUAGAACAUAAUCUUAAUUUCCAUUUUUGCAAGUUAUUAAAAUGUUGAGAAACAUCUAUAAAAGUGAUUUGGGGGGGCGGAGCCAAGCAACUAAGCAGCCCGGACGUGCAGGGCAAGAGCUCUCACGUCUGGGGACAGAAAACGGGAAAUUACACCCAGCCACUACUCACUACAACCCGCAGGCCAAGAUAAUCAUAACCGGGAGGGGCUUCUGCACCAAACAGUACCUCUCCCGAGUACCGUCACAGCCAACUGGACACAUCGAGGCCUGCGGCCUACCAGCGCCCGCGCCCGGGGAGACGGCCGCUCCCCGUGCACGAAAACAGAGACUGGACCCCAGGGAAAAAGCCUUCCCCCCCCAGCACCGGUGGGGGUUAUCCCAGUCCACACAACAGAGCUGAAUACCCGACCAAACGCAACAGACAAGCGAGAGCCACAAGGCCGGACAAAAAAUGGCCGACGGCACCAAUGCACAGCAGCAGACUCCCAGCGACUGGGCGGUGGCCUCCAAUGCGAGGUUCAAAGCAAUGUGGGAGAAAUUCUGGGCUUGACUAGAACGCAAACACAAGCCACCCAGGCCACCACAGGUCAGAGUGGGGUCCAGAGCACCUACGGCACAGAAAUCAGCAGAGGCUGUACACCCUAACCAGCCCACGACCGGGACAAGAAAACAAGUCAUAUACCUGAGACAAGCCACAGUACCCGCGAGGCGUACUCACACCCGUUCGGGCCAGAAAGCACCUCCUGCCAUCCAACCGAACUCCGGCAAAUGCAGAGCCCCCAGCAAUACCUCCAGGAGGAAAAGCAGGAGGAACAGACCCCGGCAAGCCCGGGGCAUAGGCGCUCAAUGGAGGAAAGGCCUACGUAAGCCACAGCGCCUAGCUCACACACAAGUAUACACACCAAUUGGCACAGAGAACUUUCCCCAACAGACUGAGCUGCAGGCAUCUUUGACGCAACCAGCCCAACAGUGCUCCAACGACCACCUUGGGCGACACCCGAUCCCUGCGACCGGACUGCGGGCGCUGAGAUCUGGAAUCGGAUAAGCGAUUACCCUAAUCUGGCUACCGGAGCCCAACACCUACUCCGGGUUCCGUUGGGACGCUAGCUGACCUUGCCUACACUGCGGACAUGUAUAACUACAGACAACAGAGGACUCUAAUUAUGGCAAGAAAGCAAAACGUACCUUGAUUUCCUUCAUGUUGCAUCUAUUGUUGUACUUACCUUUCUUUUGCUCUAAAUCUGCCCCACAAUUGCAACUACACACUAGGUGCACGACUAGCCCCACAGUCGAUAACUAUCCACUAUGCCCAAUGUCCUAGUAGCGCAACGUACAUAUAACAAGCAAUUUAACUCAGCAUACACUACUAUCCAUACCAGAGAAUAGGUAAUAGGAGUAGGUGAUAUGUAGAGUCCCACAAGGGGAAACCAACAUCAGGAGAGCUCCACUGUAUAAGAAAUUAGGAAGGGAGGCCCUACCUUUAAUCAAUGUAAGAAUAAAAAGGAUAUGCAAACAAAAAGUAUAACUUGAAAAAAAGGUUUAGUAGAUGUCCCUUGUUUUCAAGUUAUACUUUUUGCUUGCAUAUCCCUUUUUAUCCUUAGAUUGAUUAAAGGUAGGGCCUCCCUUCCUCAUUUCUUAUACAGUGGAGCUCUCCUGAUGUUGGUUUCCCCUUGUGGGACUCUACACGUCACUUACUCCUAUUACCUACAUAUUUUGGAGGGUUACCCCCUCAUUGGAGCUCCCUAUUAGGUGGUUACAGUGGUCUAGCUCAUGAGCCCUUGACUUGUAUCUGGACUCCUGACCAGCACUCUGUUUACUUUAUUUCUCCAUUUUGUGUUUCAUACCAGAGAAUAGCCUCAAAAUCUUACUUCCAAGGUUGGUCCAGCAGACCUACCCGUGAGACCACUAAUCUAUCACCUUAAAGGUCAGGAGGGCUCUGGUUACCCAUAAGCCCAACUCCCAUACAUAAGUUAACAAACCAGCCUGCUGUGAGGAAGCACAAUUUAAUGUGUCACUAACCUAUGUCAGCCAUGUCUAUAUAUAACUUGUAAAUAUAAUAAAAAUAUAUAUGGAAAACACAAGAGACCGGAAGGUAGGGAGAAAAGAACCUACCUCCCGUCUCUCGAGUAAAUAAGGUCACCAAGACUGGGUAAUAGGGGAUAACCCAAAAAAUUAUAAAUUAGAAAAUAAUACCCAAAAAGCUACCUUACUAGAAGAUAGCCAAUAGGAGAAAGACCCAGUCCAAUCUCAACAGUAAGUGUAAAAAUAACAAACAAAAAAAAAACUUUAUUAGAAUCUAGUAAAAACCUGGGACUAGACAAAGGUAUCUAGAAUCUCAUAUGGAGAGAGGUGUAGCAUACUAAAAGGCUAAUAAUAAGCCUAAUAUGAUAAAGGUCCUAAAAAAGGGGGGACAAUAGACUAAACAAUGCACACCUCAGGGGAUAAGAGCAAAGAAGACAUGGAAAGGGAAAGGAGGGAGGGUUAAUUGAGUAGGUCCAGAGUAUGCAGUAACCCAAAAAGGGUCAUAAAACCCUAAAUUACGUAAAGGGAUGCAAAUAGCAAUACUAAACCCAUAAGCAAAAACCCUUUCCCAAACCAAAAAAAUCCCAACCAUCUCUCUGAGCUAAUCCUCUAUCUCCUAUAUAACACCUUCAUGGGUGUUCUGAUCUAGUAACUCGACCUAAAUAUCUGUAGCCCCAGGUGAAUGAUACAAAAAUAUCAUUAGUGCAGAGUGCUCAUAAGUGCUAACAAACAAAAUAAAUAAAUAAACCCGACGCGCGUUUCGGCGUAACCGCACGCCGUCCUCAGGGGUAUCGCAAAAGAGGCUAUCCCGGCGGUAUAAUAUAUACCCGUUGUGAAUUACAAUCACCUGUGUGUCAGUCAAUAGGUACGUUCGGCUAUUCAGGUCGCCUCACCAAUAGUAUUGUGGGGGCGUGGUAUAAUAACCAUCACCUGUGUGUCAGCCAAUAGGUGCAUUCAGCUAUUCCGGUCGCCACACCAAUAGUAUUGUGGGGGCGUGGUUUAAACGCCACAAUUCCUGCCCAUAAUGUGUGCGGCCGAAACUAUCUGAUAUAACCAGGUUCAAAGAAUUUUAACCCUUAGUGUUCCGAACUGGCUAUUCAUGCAAAAUUAUUCAUGCAUAAUCGUAAGUGACCAGAAUCAUCUAAUAUAAUAUAACCGGGUUAAGAAAAGUUAAGUUAACCCUUAGUGCUCCAAGCUGGCAAUUAAUACAAAUUCCUAGACUUAAAUCAAUGAUUAAAUAGUCAGCUUGACAAUAUACAUCAAAGGAACAACUAAACAGAAUACUAAGUUACCACUAUGAUCUAUCGAAAAUUCGGUACAUAAUGUUGCCAGUACACCUGUGUAUGAGUACUCAAUUUAACAAUGUGUACUCAUACAUAAUCUUGGGCAAAUUUAAUAGUGUGUAUAACAGAACUAUGGUACAGGCACACUAGGUAAAAAAGGUAAAUAUAUAUUUCAUAAACCAAUCAUGUAAUGGGUAUAAAAUCAAGGGAUAACCGAAAAAAAAAAAAAACAACUAAUAAAGAAUUAUAUACAUAUGUGCAAACUUAACAAGAUAUACCAUUAUGCAUUUUAUCAGUCAAUUAAAUAAACGAAGAAUAAGAGAAGCCUUCAUUCAACCCAAGUGGAGACAAAGUUUUAAGACAGUAAAGCCAAAAGGCCUCUCUUUGUCUUAGUCUUAAAUCCCAACUUCCUUUUCGCGGUGGCUGUGGUAUGUGUUCAAGACCCAUACAAUGGAUACCUGCUGAAGAAUGAUUAUGAACCCGACGCGUGUUUCGGCAUAACCACACGCCGUCCUGAGGGGUAUCGCAAAAGAGGCUAUCCCGGCGGUAUAAUAUAUACCCGUUGUGAAUUACAAUCACCUGUGUGUCAGCCAAUAGGUACGUUCGGCUAUUCAGGUCGCCUCACCAAUAGUAUUGUGGGGGCGUGGUUAUAUUAUAUUAGAUAAUUCUGGUCACUUACCAUUAUGCAUGAAUAAUUUUGCAUGAAUAGCCAGUUCGGAACACUAAGGGUUAAAAUUCUUUGAACUUGGUUAUAUCAGAUAAUUCCGGCCGCACACAUUAUGGGCAGGAAUUGUAGCGUUUAAACCACGCCCCCACAAUACUAUUGGUGUGGCGACCGGAAUAGCUGAAUGCACCUAUUGGCUGACACAGGUGAUGGUUAUUAUACCACGCCCCCACAAUACUAUUGGUGAGGCGACCUGAAUAGCCCAACGUACCUAUUGGCUGACACACAGGUGAUUGUAAUUCACAACGGGUAUAUAUUAUACCGCCAGGAUAGCCUCUUUUGCGAUACCCCUGAGGACGGCAUGCGGUUACGACGAAACGCGCGUCGGGUUUAUUUAUUUAUUUUGUUUGUUAGCACUUAUGAGCACUCUGCACUAAUGAUAUUUUUGUAUCAUUCACCUGGGGCUACAGAUAUCUAGGUCGAGUUACUAGAUCAGAACACCCAUGAAGGUGUUAUAUAGGAGAUAGAGGGUUAGCUCAGAGAGAUGGUUGUACUUUGGGAUUUUUUUGGUUUGGGUUUAGUAUUGCUAUUUGCAUCCCUUUACGUAAUUUGGGGUUUUCUGACCCCUUUUUGGGUUACUGCAUACUCUGGACCUACUCAAUUAACCCUCCCUCCUUUCCCUCCUGUAUGCCUGCACUGCAAAAAUAAAGAAUUCAAAAAAAAAAAAGUGAUUUGGAUCUGGAUGCAUACAUCUGCAAUUUUUCUAUAAACAUCAUUAAUAUUGAAUAGAGCUAACUGACAGCACUAUGAGCAGUGACAUAUUAUUUUCCUUCUUAAAUAUAAAAUUAAUUUAGAUGUGAUGAUGAUUUCGUCAACAACAGAUUCAUGAUAUAUCCAACUACACAGUGUAAUGAAAUCCUCAGAUUACGGAUCAUUUUUAUCUUGACAAGGUUGAUAGAUCACUGUCUCCUCUAGGGUUUUUGAUGAAAAGCAUUUUGUAUCAAAUAGAUGAUUUCACACUACUUAUUAUUGCCCAAAAUGAUGAAAGAAAAAUAUUCUUCCGCCCUUUUUACAGGUCACAAUAUACCCCAAGUGAUCCGCUUUACGAGGGACAUUCCCUAUGUUUUGUAUCUUCAUAAAUUGACCAAGAGUUAUUAAAACAUAUUAUUCCUGUAUGUCUCUCAUGGGUAUUAUUCCAUUAGAACUGCAAAGGAUACAUUUUGGGGCUACAUUUAUCCCUCUGAGUUGUCUUUUGUUUUACAUGGGAAGUUGAGCUGGAGUGGGAAUGCCAUCGGUAUAUGAGUGUCAUUUUACACACUCACUCUCACCCUAAUUAACCCUAACUGGGCAAGUAGCAAAGAUGUAACACUAGCCAGCCAGGAUGAGGCCAGGUGCAUGCUGGUAAAUAGAAUUUAAUAACGAGGCCACUUUAUUAGUUACGCAAGUUUGUACGCUUUUUCAUGCGGGGCCUUCUUUACCUUUUGUCUCUGUUAAUAUUUUAUGAAUCAACUACUUGUUGUUCAUUAUUCCCAUUCUAUGACUGUAAAUGGCUGUGGAAUAUCUUGUAACUAAUAAUUUGGUAUCAUUUUUCAUUAGGUGUAAUCGUAGGAGCCGUUGUGGGAUGUAUCCUCGGAGUUAUUGUGAUUGGUAUCAUGGGCUUUUUUAUCUGGCGGAGAAGAAGGUAAAAUUACCAUUACUGUCCGAUAUGGGAAACCUGCUACAUGCCAAGCAUUUACAGUGUUUAUCUUUCUUUAAAAAAAAAACUGUUUAAAAGAACAUAUUCAUAGAACAAGGAAUGAGUUUUCUUACAUAGCGGAACAAUAGGUGAUUUUUCAUAGUUAAAUAAUUUUCCAUAAACAGAACACUGGAUUCAGACAAUGGCACUUAGUCAUAAUUAAAUGAAUAAACGUUGUGACAAACUCCCCUUCCCACGUGUGUUUGCCACAAGCUUCUGGAGGACCUUGCUUGCCAGCCUCCUGCCCACAAACUAUAGGCCCUGCAGGGAAACCUGUAAAAGACUAGUGAACUUGACCAACCGUUAGCACUGAUUUCAUGGAACUGUUUUGUGCAUAGGACCAUGUGCACGGUCGGUCAAAAUUAUGGCUUCCAUGGAAAUCCUGAACCAAUCUGGGUGGUUUUGGGAUAUGUCGGUCCCCCAGAUCGGGGCUACCAGGGGAUAUGACUUUUGUGGGGGUUCCCUGUGUUUUAGGGGUACUUUUGGGAUGUUUUGAAAAAGUAUGUUUUUUUCUAUGCUUGGAGAUAAUUGGAUUAGACUUAGUACAGUUAUUGAACCAAUUAUCUCACAGAGGGGAGGGACUAUAUGGCAAAGGGGGAGGGACUAUAUGCUUGUAUAUGGGAGUUUCAUGUACUUAAACACCUUUGGCCCCAGUCAAGUCACGGCGACUGUGGGCAGAAGUGCUGCGGUUUGUCCUCUGUUCCAGCUAGGAAGCAGUCCUUGGCAGAGGUACCCAGCCGGGGUAUAGGGAGCUCUGCUACAUACGUCUCCACAUAUUACUCAACAAAUAUAUUUAGCAACCUAUUGAACAUGCUAACAUAAGAAAAAUUAUUAAAUAAAAAUUUAAUAAAAUAUCCAGGAGUAGUUUAUAGCUUUGGACUGAUAUUUAUGUAAUGGUUAUAGAUUGCAGAAAACUAUUCAAUAAAAAUGAAGCAGUAGUAUCCAAUAUUGUGCUUUCACUGAAAAAGAAACUUGAAACUUUAAAGUCCAAUAUAUUACAGUCGGAAAGCAAUGCAGUGUCGUCCUGAAAGGACGACAUUCAGGACGACACUGCAUUGCUUUCCGGCAUCUACCGAAAAACUGCCGACUUCUAUCUGGAACGCAGAAGGGGAGCUCGGUGAAACGGCUUGAAUAUCACCGAUCCAUCUAUCCAUCGGACGUUUUAUUUAUUUUUUCCUAGCUGCUUACACCAUCCUCCUGCUUCAAAUCCAGCAUAUAUUUUAUACAAUGUGAGUGUAUCUUUUACUUUUUUAUACAAAGCUUAUUCUACAAUAAAUAUAUUUUUUAUCAGCACUUGGAUUUUAUAACUUUAUUUCCUAUCAUUAGGAAUAAAGUAUUACUAUAACUAAAGGCUACUUAUUAUAGUCUGUUGGUUACGUUAUGUUUCCUCUUUUGGUACAAGAUACAAUAUUUCAAUUAUAAGGACCACAUACAUUGUUAUAUUGUACUAUACUAAAUAACUAAUUCAGUAUCCAGAUACCAGUUCAUCAAUAACUGGAGUGAACUGAAUUAGCUUACAUUUUUAUUUUUAAUUUUAAUUUUUUUUUUACAUAGUAUUAAUCGAAAGACUGUAAUAUAUUGGACUUUAAAGUUUCAAGUUUCUUUUUCAGUGAAAGCACAAUAUUGGAUACUACUGCUUCAUUUUUAUUGAAUAGUUUUCUGCAAUCUAUAACCAUUGCAUAAAUAUCAGUCCAAAGCUAUAAACUACUCCUGAAUAUUUUAUUAAAUUUUUAUUUAAUAAUUUUUCUUAUGUUUGCACUAUUAGGGAUUUUUUAGUGGAGUCUCUAUUUUUCCCAGUUGAGCAGUUUUAGCCCUGCCAUAAUUUAUUCUCUAGACAGAGGUUUCUUUUCUUUUCAAGUAAUCUCAACUAUUAACCCUAUUGAACAUGCUGCUGUUUGUCUUACUAUGUAUUGUCAAUGUAUUGAUAACAAACUAUCCCAAAAUAACAAGGGGGAAAAAUCCAAAACAGUUUUAAAAAGUAGCCAGCUUUAUGGCUCCAAAUUCUUCCUCCUUUCAUCCCGUAUAGAAGAAGCAAAUAGUAUAUUUUAUGGGAAUACAAACCACCUUCCUUAGCCAUGAUUGUAUUUUCAUUAUGUGUAAAUAAUGACUAUGCAUACAUAAGAAAAAUAAAGUGCAUCUUGGGUGUAAAAAAAGGUCAGAGUACAGAAUAUUUGAUAGAGUCCUAACCUCAACAUCUGAGGAAAGGGAUUUAGGAGUAGCUAUUUCUGAUGACUUAAAGGUAAGCAGACAAUGUAAUAGAGCAUCAGGAAAUGUUAGCAGAAUACUUGGUUGUAUAGGGAGAGGUAUUAGCAGUAGAAAGAGGGAAGUGCUCAUGCCAUUGAACAGAACACUGGUGAGACCUCACUUGGAGUAUUGUAUUGUAUUGGAGACUGUAUCUUUAGAAGGAUAUUGAUACUUUGGAGAGUAUAUCAGGAAGUACUACAUAACAGGGAGGGUAGUGGAUGCAUGGAAUAGCAUUCCAGCAGUGAAGUGGUAGAGGUUAACACAGUGAAGUAGUUUAAGCAUUUGUGGGAUAGGCAUAAGGCUAUCUUAGCUAUAAGACAAGGCCAGGGACUAAUGAAAGUAUCUAGAAAAUUGGGCAGACUAGAUGGGCCGAAUGGUUCUUAUCUGCCGUCACAUUCUAUGUUUCUGUGUUGCUAUUUACUCCAAAAUGUACACACAUAGGUACAUGUUUGUAUGCCUCUUGGUAUCACCAAGUUUCAUUUCACUGUGGAUAUGUGGAGAUUAUCCAGCAGCUUUUACUGUUAAUUUGUACAAUUUGACAUUUGCCAUUGCAUGCGUUAAAUGUCAGCUGCAGUUUGUAAAUGUUGUUACACAUUGCUUGACUGUUUGUGGCCAGCAUGUGGCAGUGUUGUAUCAUUUUAACACAAUGUAACAUGUAUUAGUUCAUCUGAUUAAUGUUUUUGAACAAUUUACUGAGAGUUGCACAUUCUGCUUCUUGCCAGAGAGAUACAAUUCAUUACUUAUAUAAUGCUGUCAUAUUUUGCCGCAUUGUGCACUUUAUGGAAGGAUAAACAAACUGAAUGUGAAGAUUAUGCUAGAAUUAUGUUAUUAUAUUAAUACCUGGCCAAGUGAAAAGAAUUGUGCGCAUUGCAAUUGUUUUUUAUUUUUAUUUUAAAAAGAAAUGUAUUAAAUAACAAAAUACACAUAAGUAUAUCUGGAAAAAUCUAUGUUUUCCCCAAAGGCUACGGGGUUUAUUUAAUAAAACCGCGAAGAAUCUUGAAUUGUGAAGAAACUACAGUGAAAUAGAACUAUUUAGACCGAAGUAGCCAAAUUUGUAAAAUUCUUCAAUACAGAGAUGUAUUCCGUUUCUUAUCGUUUAAAAUGUGCAUUUGCCUUUUCCAUUUUUUCAAGUCACCACAUGCCCUGGUUUAAUAAAUAACCCCCUAAAUAUUUGUAAGAAUUCUUAGAUAAGUGGCCAGAUUAAAUGCUUUUUUUUUCAAGGUGAUAGGCCAGGAAUAUUAUCAGGGUGAAAGGGCAGUUUAUCAGAGUGUAAGGAUGAUGGGAGGAUUGUCAGAGCUUUAAGGUGAAUUGACAUAAUUUGGGGGUUUUGGAGUAAACUGACAGAUUCCCAGGGCUGCAUAGUCUGGGUUCACACAAUAUUCUUUCUAAAUUUGCAAAUACUUGAGCCUUACAACUCUUUUAUUACUAUAUUAUUGUUGUAAGUCCCACUUUUAAUUCAGUAAUGAGUUUGAUUUUUUUUAAACUAACUUGCAUAUGAAAUUAGGACAAGGCAACAAUCUCAUGCAUAAAUGUCUAUACAGUUCCUUGGCUACAUCCAGUCAUCUUUGCUGUGUAAAUAAUAAUAGUUGGAAUCUGAAGUAGCAGUUGUAGCAAAAUGAAAAUGAUAGGUAGAGAGACACAGACAGAUUCAUUCACAAACAGAUCACAUCAUAUGCAGUCACCUUAAAUCACAGAAAGACAGUUGUUCCACAGAAACACGCAAUGUCAAGCUUUGGUCUUCAUUAUCUACCUUCUUGCCUCAAUCUUAAUUAAGAAGUGUAACUGAUCUCACACACAUACCCAAACCUAUCUAAAGUUACAGGUCUCCUGUAAAUUGAUUUUUGAGUCAGCACACGAUGUGAGCAUAUGAGAAGCUAUGCUGUAGAUUUUGUAUAUUCGUAGAUAGUCUUCAGGUCGUGUUUACAAUGUUCUUUGAAUAUACAGCAAGUCAAUUAAUUUAGCAUAUAUACAAAAUAAGUGUUUUCCUUAUUUGUCAGUAAAGUGAUGGCUCGUUAUUUUUCUAAAAUCUUAUACUUCUUUGAUUCCCUGCAGGCAAGGAGACAAAAAGGAGACAUUAGAGGGAGAAAAAAUGUUGUAAGUUCUGAUUAUUUCACAUUUUGUAUUUGUAGACUUUGAAUGCAUUAUGUGACAUAAGAUAUGUUAUUACAUGUAAUGAAGAUGGCUGUUCACUUAAAGGGCCAUUGUAAUGAUGUCUAAUUGACUUGCAAUUUUUAGACCUAAAUAUAAGAUUUUUAAAAAGUUCCAUCUGGGCUUAAUGGCUGAUAUUCUUUUUCUUAAUCCACUAUGUCACCUAAACUGUAAGUUAGUUUCACACUCAGCCCAUUUUUUUGUAGACAUUUUAG